This 89125-nucleotide long non-coding RNA is filed under the name Triticum aestivum (bread wheat). Its description in RNAcentral is "long non-coding RNA (TAES_LNC016154)". The record is from RNAcentral. Lineage: Eukaryota; Viridiplantae; Streptophyta; Magnoliopsida; Poales; Poaceae.
UGAGAUUUUACAGUUUUUCAUAGUUUAGAUCGCAUCUGUCAUUCAUACCUACAGUCCAUGAAAAAGCCACAAAAAAAAGUUAGAUCUGUUCAUCCUUUAUCCAAGCCAGUCUGAGCCUUUGCAAUUUUCUAUUCAUUGCUUGCAUAGUUGAAUUAUCGGUUGCAUUGUCGUGUCAGUUGCUGGUCUUAGUGUCUAGUUCCUUUAGAGUUUCGAGUUCUGUUCACAUUAGUCACGCCGCCGCUGCAUCAUUAUCCCUUCCGUUGUCCACCAUCCCAUCUAUUAAUUUCCACCACGUGCUACGCACUGUUCAUUAUCAUAAUCAUAGUUGAGGUCAUUCACAUCUUCGCCUAAUCCAAUCUGCAUCUUAUCUAGUUUGUCUUGGAAAGAGGGAAAAAAAAGAGAGAGAAAAAAAAAGAAAAAAAAGGAAAGAAAAAAAAGAAAAAGAGAGAGAAGAAAAAGAAAAAAAAGUGUGAGAAAAAAAAUGAGAGAAAAAAAAUCGAAUCUAUCUAGAAUCAAUCUCGUACCUGAAUUCGGAUUGGAAUCUAUUUUGCGCACUGUUCAGUAAAACAGGUGUAUCUUCCUCAUACGAAGUCCGUUUUGGCUCCGUUAGUACUCAAAUUGAAGCUAGAGACGAGCCGCAUCUAAAUAGUUGUAGAAGCUAGUUCAAUAUUUGACACCUCAAAAUCGGCUUCUAAAUAGGUCUUUUUGUCCUCUGAAGUUCGUGAACACAGCUUGUUCCAAUUUUUCAGGCCAGUUUUAGAAUUCUUUGACUCCUCAUAUCAACUCGGAAUUGAGUGAUUCUUUUUGCAUUGGAAAGCAUGAGUUAGUAGCAUUCUUUGAAAGAAUUUAUCAGAAAAUUGUCUCAAACUUUUCAAGAGAAAAGUUGGAGAGAGAGUUGUUGUAUAUCCUGCUUGGCAGUUGUUUUUCAUCAUUAUCUUCACUGCCGUUGUGAUCUUCACUUAUAUCUUGCUGUCAAGAGCUACUUAGUAUCCUUCAUUGAUGCUAGUUGUGCUACGCCAUGACCUCAUUAGUGUUCUAGGCUCGCGUCUCUAGUCCGGUCUAGCCUAGGACCAGCACAGUACCGUCGUUGAGCGUUUAUUCAACAUUGCAUCUUUGAAUUGAUUAUUGCUAAUUUUUUUGCUACCAUAUAUAGCCAACCCAGCUCCACAUAUUUCUACACCGUGUAUACGUACGCUCCCCUGGCAAUCACUUUACUCAAUAUUCAGAGUUACUUGACACCGCUGGUUGCCGAUCACCGCCUGCUGCAUGGUAAGAACGUGUAAGACAUUGAUAUUUGCUUUACUGUGAGCGUUUUACCACCACAUCCUAGUAGUUAUAGGAACAUUAUUUUUGGGUUUUGUUUCUUGUUCUACUAAUCAUGACAGGAUCCAGAGUCAAUUCAUGGGCUUCGUCGAUCGCGGGAGACGUGCCACCACCUUUGCAAAUACCACAACCGUCACGAGAGGUGCACAGACAUCCAAAUGCGCAUGAUCAGGUUAAUGUAUCUAUACCACCAUUUAAUGGCCGUUUGAAACCUGCUUUAUAUAUUGAAUGGGGGUUCGACAUAAAAAAUAUAUUUGCUUCCCAUAAUUUCAAUGAACAUAAAAAGGUUAAGGUUGCGGUUGGUUCUUUCACUGGUUAUGCUUUGGUUUGGUGGAGUGAAUAUUGUCGGUUACACCCUGAUUAUAUACCUACUACUUGGGAUGAUUUGAAACUUGCCAUGCGACAUACUUUCGUCCCUGCUUAUUAUACUCGUGACAUGAUUAAGAAGUUGCAACACUUAAAACAAGGUAGUGAAACUAUAACAAAAUAUUAUAAUGAUUUACAAACUACCUUGUUGCAUUCCUCUUUAGAAGAAAGUGAAGAUGAUUUUGUGGAUAGAUUUUGGGGAGGAUUAAACCGUGAUAUUCAAGAGAUACUAAUUCAUGAAGAGUGUUAUCCUAUGGACCAUUUGUUUCAUCUUGCUUGCAAAGCUGAACAGGAAAUAAAACGACGUGUUGGCCACGAGGAGAACAAGCGCACGGUGCACAUUCCAAGAGUUGAUAUGAUUGUUCCUUCAACUACUAGGCAUACUAUGACAACCACAUCCGUUGUUGUCAGGACUACAUCACCUCCACCAUGUGACACAUCGCCCCCGAGAGUGGCUACAUCAUCUGAGUUGAUCAUAAGAGGUAAUGACAAAGGUACUGAUCUUCCAUCUCUAUAUGAGAAUGAUGAAUGCCUUGUCAAUUUGAAUGCACCAUCUGAUGAGCUACCCACUACUUUGAUCACACCACCUAUUUUAGAGGACUACGUUGAUAAUUUGACUUUGCCAUGUGAUCAAACAACUGAAAUACCAACAAUUUUGAGUGCACCCAUUGAAUUAACUAUUGAUGCAAAAGAACCAAUGUUUAAUCAUUUUGAUAUGACCUCUAAUCUUGGUGAUGAUUCUUUGUUGAAUGACUUAUUGCAUGUUUGCUUAUUUAAGCAUGUUGUAGCAUGUAAAUUUGAUGCAAGUAAGGUUUAUUCACCAAUGUUGGGAUGGUUUAAUGAUGAACAUUGUCAAUCUUUUGAAAUGAAUAAGAGCUUCACUUAUAUGUGCAAACUGAGUUGCAAUAUUUUCAUGCCUUCUACUUCUUGUGCUAAUUUUUUGGCUUUAGAUUUUAUGAACUAUGCAAGUUACGCAUCUAUUCAUGUGUCAUAUAUGCAAAAAUCAAGGGAAGUAAAAAUGGAUGACAUAUACAUGUACAACAUGUACACCUUGUCUCUUUUGUUAGCCACAUUUCAGAUUAAGCAACGCCGAGGACGGCUUUAUUUUCAAGAAGGGGAGGAUGAUGAGGACAUGACUACCUUGGAUAUGACCAAAAAUAUUGCAUAUAUGCAUAUUUGUCAGGUGAUUUCUAGUGCAAACUAUUCAAUAAUCUAUUUAUGUUAUCCAGAACAAAAAUACUUCACACACUUUUGUGUUUUGUCCAAUUGCAGGUGUAUGGGACAUUUGUACAAUCCACAUAUGAAGAUAAGGAAGAAAGAGAUGUUUAUUUGCUGUCCAAAAAGUUCUCUCACGUCACUUUUGGCCCAAGAGAAGAUAGAGUCCAAGUCUCUCACGUUCUGGAUUCAGAUUCGGACUGCACAGACACACCUGACUCAAAACGCACACAAGUUUUUCAUACGGACUCCGAAUUGGGUGAUUCUUUUUUUGUUGGAAACUAGAUUUCGUGCACUUUCCAACACAAUUGGAAUCACCUUCAAAUUCGUCCGGAGCGUUGAGUUGUGGACGAAACAAUCUGAUGCUGCAGCAAAAUCCGAGUCAAACUACAAGUCCAAAGGUGUUACAUCACCUCCACUUGGGCCCAUUGGCCUUGUACGACCUAGAUUUAGUCUUAGGCUGCCUUGGGACGUCCUCCCACCUCCUUGGCCGCCACCCCUUGCUCCUAUAUAAGUAGAUCCAUCUAGUAGCUUUUCCUUGGGAUUUGUUUAGUUAAAAGUUAGCCAUUGCAACUUCGUGUACUUCGGUUGUGUCCAACGACCAGACCAAGACCGCUUACGGAUCCCCGCCUUUAUCAAUACUUCAUAUAUACUCGCAAUAUUCAGAUUGCUUUUAUCAUAUUCUUGCUUGUUCUUCGAUUGCUUGCAGGAAUAGACCUUCGUGGUCAGGUUGAUUGUGCUCCAGCGUGGUCAAUAACCUCUCGGAGUUGGUUUAGCGAUUGCUAAGGCGCAACGUCGUGCACGUUUGUAGUCGGAUCGUCAAAGUCGUCUCCACCAAAUCGAUAGUUAUCAUCUCAUCGAAAGAUCGGGACACCCCGCCUCUAUCAGGCAACCUCAAUUCCCUGUGUUUUUGUAGUUUUAUUAUAUAAACCAACUAGUGAUAAAACAAGAAACUAAAAGAUUCAAUUGCAAGAUCUAAAGAUAUAUCUUCAAGCACUCACCUCCCCGGCAACGGCGCCAGAAAAGAGCUUGAUGUCUACUACACAACCUAUUCUUGUAGACUCGUGUUGGGCCUCCAAGCGCAGAGUUUUGUAGGACAAUAGCAAUUUCCCCUCAACUGGAUGACCUAAGGUUUAUAAAUCCGUUGGAGACGUGGGGUGAAGAUGGUCUCUCUCGAACAACCCUGCUAUCAAAUACAAGAAAUAUCUUGUGUCCCCAACGCAGGCAAUACAAUGGCAAAUUGUAUAGGUGCACUAGUUCUGCGAAGAGAUGGUGAUACAAGUGUAGUAUGGAUAGUAGAUAUUGGUUGUUGUAAUGUGAACAACAAGGUAGCAAGUAACAAAAGUGAGCACUAACGGUAUUAGAAUGCUUAGAAACAAUGCCUAGGGUCAUACUUUCACUUGUGCAAUCUCUCAAUAGUGCUAACAUAAUUGAAUCAUAUAACAAUCCCUCAACAUGCGGCAAAGAGCACUCCAACGUUCUUAUCUAGAGGAGAAUAUAAGAUGAAAUUGUUUGUAGGGUAUGAAACCACAUCAAAGCUAUUCUUUCCGAUCAAUCUAUUGAGCUAUUCCUAUAAGUGUCACAAACUGCCCUAGAGUUCGUACUAAAAUAACACCAUAUGAUACACAUCAACAAACUCUAGUGUCACCUAGCUAGAUACUCCAAUGUCACCACGAGUAUCUAUGAGUUGAUUAUAUGAUAUGCAUCAAACAACUUCAGAUUCAUAAUAUUCAAUCCAAGACAAAGAACUUCAAAGAGUGCCCCAAGAUUUCUACCGAAGAAAGUAGGAGGAAAGCAUGCAUCAACCCUUAUGCAUAGAUUACCCCAAUGUCACCUCGGGAAUCCACGAGUUGAGUGCCAGAACAUACAUCAAGUGAAUCAAUAUAAUACUCCAUUGUCACCACGGAUAUUCAUAUGCAAGACAUAAAUCAAGUGUUCUCAAAUCAAUAAAAGUAUUAAUUCUGAUAAUGGUGAAACCUCAAGGUAAAAACUCAAUUCAUCACAACAAGAUAGAGAGGGAGAAACACCAUAUUAUUGAACUAUAUUAACAAAGCUCGCGAUACAUCAAGAUCGUGCCAAAUCAAGAACACGAGAGAGAGAGAGAGAGAGAGAGAGAGAGAUAAAAAACAUAGCUACUGGUACAUACCCUCAGCCACGAGGGUGAACUACUUCUUCCUCAUCAUGGUGGCCGCCGGGAUGAUGAAGAUGGCCACCGGUGAUGAUUUCCCCCUCCGGCAAGGUGCUGAAACAUUGCCCUGAUUGAGUUUUCUUGGAUACAGAGGCUUGCGGCGGUGGAACUUCUCAUCUAGGAUUCUUUUGGAGGUUUGGGUAUUUAUAGGAAUUUUUGGCGUCGGUCUCAUGUCAAGGGGGGCCCACAAGGGGCGACAAGCUUGGGGGGCGCGCCCUCCCAGGCUUGUCGUGCCCUCGUGGCUCUUCUGGCUUGGCUGUGGUGCUCCGUGGGUCUCUUCUGGUCCAUAAAGAAUCAACAUAAAUUUUCAGUCCAUUCCGAGAACUUUUAUUUCUGCACAGAAAACACCAGCACGGUAGUUCUGCUGAAAACAACGUCAGUCCGGGUUAAUUCUAAUGAAAUCAUACAAAGUCACAUAAAAUUGUUGUAAACAUGGCAUGAAUACUUCAUAAAUUAUAGAUAAGUUGGAGACGCAUCAGAAACUAACAAACUAUCACUACUAGGGAAAAUGUUAUACACAGAACUUUAGCAGUAGCGCUUGUUAAAAAAGCUCGCUACUGCUAGACAGCAGUAGCGCGUGCCAAAUAAGCGUGUUGCAGAUGCAUAUAUAGCAGUAGCGCGUCUCGCUGAAAACUCGCUACUACUAAAAUUUCGACCACUAAGCCGACGGGCUACACAUAGUAGUAGCGAUCUUUCAGAAAAUGCGCUGUCGCUAAUAUUCUUAUAGCAGCGCGUUUACGUGUAAAGCGCUACUGCUAACGAAAAUAAAAUAAAAUGAAAAACAAAUAGAAAAGUAAAUGAAAAUGAAAGAAAUAGAAAAAGGAGAAAGGAAAAAUAUAAAAUAUAAAGAAGAAUAAACGAAAGAGGGAAAAAAAGGAUGAAGGAAUAGCAGUAGCGCGUUUGUGAAAACGCGCUAUAGCUAACUUAGCUAUAGCGCGUUUUCCCGAACGCACUACCAUUAUUUUUGACUUAACCCAAAAAACGGUUUCCCCCGGCCACCACUUCUCCCCCAAAUCCCUCGCCCCACUCUUCAUCGCCGUCUCCCCCACUUCACCGUCGCCCCCACUUCACCGCCAUCUCCUGCCAGCGUUGACGCCACGCUCAUCCUCACCGCCACUGCCCGAGGCCACCCAGCCUCUCUGCCUCCGCCUCUUGGGCCGCCCUCAACCUCACUGUCACCGUCCUCGACCUCUCUGCCGCUGCACUCAACCUCACCGCCCCCGAGCCCGCCCAGGAGCGUCGCCUCUCGAUCCUGAGCCCGCCCUCACCGCCCCUACCUCCGUCGCCGAGCACCUCCCCGCCACCGUCUCUCCCCUCUCUGUAAGCCCCCCACCCCUCCCCAACCCCCUCUGUGUAAGCCUAGCGGUAGAUGUUAAUUAGUACUAGGGUUCAUACAUAAUGAUUUUUAGUAGUAGUAGUUGAUGUUAAUUAGUAGUAGUGAUUGUACUAGUUAACUAGGGCGAUAUGGUUAAUAGUAGAUGCUUUUUAGUUAGGGUAAUAAUAGAUGUUAAGUAGUAGAUAAUGUUGAUGUUAAUUAGUUCAGUAGGGUUUAGUUUUUGAAUUGAGUUUCUUUAACUAGAUGUUAAUUAGGGCAGUAGGAUUUAGUUUAGAGUAAAGUAAUUUAGUUCAGUAGUUAACUAAAUAUAAUCUAUAUUUGGUUUUUGAAUUGAGUUUGAUAGAGCAUGAUAUUUGUGUAGAUUUUCUUGUAGUGUCAAACGCUAGGACAUGCAAAUUUGAAGUGGUCAGGAUAUAUGCAAAUUCCUCAAUUGUGUUUGCACAUGCAUGUUUCGAUUGUGCCCAAGUGGCCUUUUGUUGUUUCCAGGGAAUGAAGCCGAGUGGCCUAUGUUUUGCUGGAAUGUUGAUUCAUUUUUGUUCCGGCAAAUUUCAGGUUCUCGAUUUGUCCACUUUUUAGCAAAGGUCAUGCCGAAAUUUUCCGUGAAUUUCGGCAUGACUUGUGCUACAAACUAGGACAUAUCGAGUGCCCGGGAUUUGCCGCACCGGGAAGGAGUCAACAUUCCUGCAAAACAAUAGGCCUUUUUAUGUCAUUAUUCAUUUUAUUAGGUCUAUAAUUAAUUGACUAGAUUUAGUCGUAGGAAACAUGGCUAGCAACAAUGAAGGGCAGGGUUCUGGUGAUUGCGACGACGUCCACCGGGCGGCUGACGAUUUUUUGAGCCUUGCCGACAAUCAACCGAUGUUGUUGCUGGGCCCACCGGUGGCAUCGGGGACUGAGACCAACACACAGACCGGUGCUGAGACUCAGACCGGCAUCGAGACCGGCGCUGAGACUGAGACCGGCGCUGCCUCGGGGAGUGGAGCCGGUGUAGAACCAAAAGCAAAGAGGAAACGACUUCCUAACAAACUCAGGACUACUAGACUGAUGGUCAUGGAGUUGGACGAUGGCAAUUUUGAGCCAAACGCGCCCGAGGAAUCACGCGCGUGCUACGGCAAUCAAAUAGGCUGCAUCGUAUGGACAACCGCACCAUCAACGAUGAGAAACUACAGAAGAUAGAUAAUAUGAGGCCCUCCCUCCUAAAGAAGUUUCACCAGAUAUUCUUGUUCCCGGGCCGGAAUGAAAAGGAUUAUGAAGAUCCAGAUAAGGACCCGACAAUGAAGAAGAUAAAAAAACAUGCCAUGACCAAGUUUAGCGAUCCGUUGGCCUCCUGGAAAACAAGGGUGAAAGCAAGGAUCAUCGACAAGAAGGAACCCUACUCCGAGAUUGUAAAGGAUAAUCCGACAAUCACGGAAGAGCAGUUUCAAAUAUUCAAGGCGACUUGCGAGGCCGAAGCUGCCAAAAAAAAUCUAAGUACAUGAAGGGGCUUCAAGAGAGGAACAUUGGGAGCCACCACCUCGGAAGCCGUGGUUACGGCGGGAAGAGGUCGAAAUGGGCCAAGGAGGACGCGGAAGCCGCGAGUCUGGGCAUCCCAGACCCCUUGGCGGAGUUCACCGUCCCGCAGGAGCGUGCUGUCCUUAGGGCCCGACACCGCUAGGACCCGGUGAAGAAGGUUUAUGAGACAAACGUGGUCACGACGGAGUCCAUUAGACUGCUAGUAAUUUUAGUUUCUAAUCAAUUCGACGCACACGUUAGUCAUAUUUGUAAACGAUCCUUGUACCUUUUGCAAAGAGAGCAGCACAGGAUUGCGGUCGAAAGCGACUCGCCGUCUGAGGCAUUGGCGAGGCCCAAGUGGGACACUCCAUUCAACCGGGCGUUGAACAUAUUGAAGCGACUCCCAGUGGAGACUCGACCGUCGUAUGGACGCGUGCACGGUGUCGGAUACGGCGCCACGUGGAAGAAGUACUACCGUGAGACCACAGAGGAGAGAAAGGAAAGACGGAGGUUAACUAGAAAACAUCGACAAGAAGGUUGAGAUUGUGGUCGAGAAGAAAUCAUCUCAGACAGUUGCAACAAUGGUAGCUGCCGCAAAACAGGUGGUUGUAGAUAUGUCUACUUCCUUGGUUCCGGCCGUUUUCAAUUGGACCAGGCAAAAUCUAGAAAAAAAUGCAGCAGACUUUCCCCUUGCUGACUUCUUGGGGAGCAGCUCGGCUAGCGUUGCACCAGCACCUGCUCCCGCACCGGACGUGCUCAGCAGUGCUUCGUCUUUGGCUGAGCUCGACGCCCUCGCGGUAUCUGUAACACCGGCCCCUUCAAUAAAUGUAUGAUCUCCCGUUUUCAUUGCCUUCUGGAUGUCUCACAUCGCAGACUUUUCUUUGCAGGCCGACGAAACCCCGUGCACCAUAUUGUACACCAUCGGUGACCAGAAGGUAGAUGUGGGGAAGGCGACAAUAAUGGAGCCGAAGGAACCAUUGUUCCAUAGCCGGCCGAUCCCCCCGAAUGUCUUCAAAGUUUCCGUGGCCAGUGUCAAACCGGGCCACGAGAAUUUGCCUCCUCUGAUACUAGUGGGGGAUGACGACGAUACCCCGCGGCGGUUUGGUGAUUGUUGCAAUGGUUGGGUCCUGUUGUGGCCAAAGAGUCUUCUUUGUCUGGAGGCGGUCGGGAGCACACCCACGAGCACGCAGCCUCAGCAAGGUAUGAACAUCAACACCCCACCUACCCAAUUAGCGUCGGGUGUCGGGUUGGGUGAUAGCGGAUGGGGUAAGGAAGAGGCUCCAUUAGUCGCUGAUGACGUUUCCAUGGAUGAGGAUGAGGAUGAUGAUGGCACUCAAUAGUAUGUCUAUACUGGCACCUACUCAGGGUUUGAGCGUCAUGAGUCGGUGCCUGAAUUUCCGUCUCCGGAGGCUGAACCUAUUAUGGACGACCUUCCAGUAGUAAAGAAGUCUAGGAAGAGAGCGAGGAAAGGCAAAAAAGCUGAUUCUAUGAUCCAGCCGCCUCAGCAGCCUCGGCUUUAGGACCAUAUAGAUAUCCCCGAUGCGGAUAAAUGGCAUAUCCCCGGUCAACCAAUCCUACAUGCAAGAGCGCUAGGGGCCACAUUCGGCGAUCUAGGGAGACUUCAUGACGAUGUGCUGCGGAUAGAGAAAUGCCUCAUCGCCUUGAAAGAUCCAGGAUACCCACUCUACGUGGUUAACGUUCCGUGGCAAUUGUCGUACGUCGACUGCUUCCCCGCGGAUAAGUUCUUCCUUCGAUUCCAUUACAUAUUCGACAUGUUUCACGUGAAGAAGCUGGAUUUUACGUUUGUCCGCCUUUAUGCCUUGCACAUGAACUACAUCAUCGGGGUUGAGCAGAUACCUCAUAUCUAUGUUGUUGAGCCGUACUACAUGCACGAGGGCUUCUUGGGAGUCUGCGCAAAGCACCAUGAAUAUGCGAGGGAAUACAUCGUCGGUUUCAUGCUCGCCAAUAAGGACAAGGAGGCGAUUCUCAUGCCUUAUCAUCGCGUGUAAGUCAUCCGCGCGGAUAUCCUUCCUUAGAUUUCAAUCAUUCAUUUGCACGGUGGAGGCUAAUUAAUUUGAGGUGUACUUAUUUUGCACAGCGGCGGGCGCGCCGUCCUCAUAAUCCUCUACCCCCGAUACUCCCACGCUCUUUACUUGGACUCAUCGAAGAACAUUCACAAAAAGGAUUACACCCACAUUAAGGAUGUUCUCGACAGUGCUACGUUUUACUACCAAGCACGAGGUGGAGAGGUCAAGGACAAGAAGAGAAGGGGCGGCUGGCUUGCCUUCGGCCAUAAGACCGACUUCUGUUGCAUCCAGCAACCGAGUGAUUCUCUUAAUGAUGGAUUCUAUGUCCUACACCACAUGCUGGAGUACAGACGGGAUCACCAGAACCUUCGCAUGUCACCUAGAUCUGGCGAUGCCCAUAUUCUGCAAUGGGCAAAGGACGUAGGAGAUAUUGAGGAUCAUCGACUUCGAGCUGAGUUCUAUAACAUCCAGCGCGAACUUGCCCAAAUCAUCAUGAAGGAGGUCGUCAGAAAAACAGGGAUGUUCUACGAAGAAGGACAAAUGUUGCGGGAAGACGUCCGAACAUGGGUAGCCUCUCAGCGUCUCGACAUGAAGCCUUUCACUAAGCUCGGGGACUAUCUCCUUAACAUCGAUGGAUGGCACGACAUGUUGGAGUGAUUGUCGAUAUAUGACAAUGUGUCCCUUUAGUCCAUACUUUAUGUAUGACAAAACUUUGAGUUAUGCACGGCGAAACUUUAUUUGUGAUGUAAUUAAUCCGUCCUCCUUUUGUGCUGCGGGGGUACGAUGAACUUUGUUAUUUAUGCUUAUGAUAUGUUGUUUCUAUUUUUGCCAAGUCUGUCUCUUUCUAUUGCUCAACUAUAUAUGUUGCAUAUCAUCGACUCAUGUGACGAUGCAGGUGCAUAGAUCAUCGAUGGCAAAGAAGUGCUACGCCAGGAGUGUAUAUAUGAUGAGUGGCCGGAGUGUCAGGCCCAGGUGUACCGGUUUCCGGUUUCCGAGCGAUAGGCAGUAGUUAGUUUAGGUUCACGCUAAUGCGAGAGACUUGUAUCGCUAUUUUCGAGAUGAUGACAAGUGACCACUUUGUGUUGGAUGAUGAUUAUGAUGAUGCCAUGAUUUGAUGAGAUUAGUUGUAGUAUAUGCUAUGAUUAAAUUUGUAUGUGUAUGAUAGCGCAUCGUCCCGCGCUACUGAUAGGCCUAAAACCCGCGCUGCUGCUGGGCUUUUCCCUAGUAGUGUAUGGUUUCAGUCAUGGAAACAAUCACAAUCCAUCAUAUUUCAGAAAGAGAGUCUAUGUAAGAGCUUUGUUUAGCAAGUUCACAUACUCAACUAUCAUUUAGUCUUCUAUGAUUACUGACACUCAAGGCAUAUUCAUAGAGAAAACUUUUCAGUCAGACACAUAGAAAGAUAGGGGCUUAUGGUUUUGCCACCGAACUUAUUUACCUCAAGGGUAAUGUCAACAAUAAUAACUCAUGAUCACCUACAUUCAAUGGGAUAUAUAUAGCUGGAUCUAUCCACCAUAUGAUGCUUGCCACUAAAGAGUACAUAGGGAGGAAUAGGAUGAACACUAUUGACUAUUGCAUAAAAAUAAAUUCACGAAAGUAAAAGAUAGGCCCUUCACACAGGGAAGCACAUGUUGUCAUUGCUUUUUUUGGAUGUGCAAACUCUUAAUGUAAAGCAACGUCACUUUAUAUUGCCCCUUGAUAACCCACAAGUGUAGGGGAUCGCAACAAUUUUUGAUAAGUAAGAGUGUCGAACCCAACGAGGAGCUAAAGGUAGAAUAAAUGUUCCCUCUAGUUCUAUUGACCACCGAUACAACUCUACACACACUUGACGUUCGCUUUACCUAGAACAAGUAUGAAACUAGAAGUACUUUGUAGGUGUUGUUGGAUAGGUUUGCAAGAUAAUAAAAAGCACAUAAAUAAAAGCUAGGGGCUGUUUAAAUAAAGAUGCAAUAAAGUAAAUAUAGCGAGUGUGGAUAAGUGGUGGUAGGAGUUGUGGAAUUGUCCCUAAGCAAUUGACUAUGUUACUAGACCGGUAAUCACUAUUGCAAUUCUAUUUGAGGGAGAGGCAUAAGCUAACAUACUUUCUCUAGUUGGAUCAUAUGCACUUAUGAUUGGAACUCUAGCAAGCAUCCGCAAAUACUAAAGAUUCAUUAAGGUAAAACCCGACCAUAGCAUUAAAGUAUCAAGUCCCCUUUAUCCCAUACGCAACAAUCCCCUUACUCGGGUUUGUGUUUCAGUCACUCACGCAACCCACUAUAAGUGAAUCAUGAACGCAUUGCAACACCCUACAUCGGGAAUCCCUCAUGAUUGCGCGACACAGAGGGCACCAUAGGACAGCACCAAUAAUAAAACAUGCAACUCAAACCAAUCAUAGCAAUUCAUCAAUCACCGAUAGGACAACGAAAAUCUACUCAGACAUCAUAGGAUGGCAACACAUCAUUGGAUAAUAAUAUGAAGCAUAAAGCACCAUGUUCAAGUAGAGGGUACAGCGGGAUACGGGAGAGUGGACCGCUGGAUAUAGAAGGGGGAAGGUGAUGGAGAUGUUGGUGAAGAUGACGGCGGUGUUGGUGAAGAUCGCGGUGAUGAUGAUGGCCCCCGGCAGCGCUUCGGCGCCACCAGAAGCAAGGGGGAGAGAUGCCCCCUUCUUCUUCUUCUUCUUUCUUGACCUCCUCCCUAGAUGGGAGAAGGGUUUCCCCUCUGGUCCUUGGCUCCCAUGGCUUGGGAGGGGCGAGAGCCCCUCCAAGAUUGGAUCUAUCUCUCUGUUUCCGCGUUCUAUGUUUCUGCCCCUUCACCGUUUCCUUUAUAUCUGGAGAUCCGUAACUCCGAUUGGGGUGAAUCUUUCGCCCAGAUUUUUCUCGUAAAAUGAGCUUUCUUGCGGCAAAAGAAGGGCAUCAACCGCCUUACGGGUGGCCCACGAGAGUCCAGGGCGCGCUCAGGGUGGGGAGGGCGCGCCCCCUGUCUCGUGGCCACCCCGGACACCAUUUCGAGUUGAUUCGUCCUCCGGAAAAUCCCAAAUAUUCCAAAAUAAUUCUCCGUCCAUUUUUAUCCCGUUUGGAUUCCGUUUGAUAUUGGGUUUCUGCGAAACAUAAAACAUGCAACAAACAGGAACUGGCACUGGGCACUGGAUCAAUAUGUUAGUCCCAAAAUUAAUAUAAAAAGUUGCCAAAAGUAUAUGAAAGUUGUAGAAUAUUGACAUGGAACAAUCAAAAAUUAUAGAUACGAUGGAGACGUAUCAGCAUCCCCAAGCUUAAUCCCUGCUCGUCCUCGAGUAGGUAAAUGAUAAAAAAGAUAAUUUUUGAUGUGGAGUGCUACCUAGCAUAAUCUUGAUCAUAUGUCUAAUCAUGGCAUGAAUAUUAAGACACGAGUGAUUCAAAGCAAUAGUCUAUCAUUUGACAUAAAAAUAAUAAUACUUCGAGCGUACCAAUAAAGCAAUCAUGUCUUUUCAAAACAACAAGGCCAAAGCAAGCUUAUCCCUACAAAAUCAUAUAGUUUGGCCAUGCGUCAUUUUCGUCACACAAAAUGCUCCCAUCAUGCACAACCCCGAUGACGAGCCGAGCAAUUGGUUCAUACCUUUUAACGCGCUUCAGCUUUUUCAACCCUCACGCAAUACAUGAGCGCAAGCCAUGGAUAUAUCACUAUAGGUGGAAUAGAAUAUGAUGAUGGAGGUUAUGUGGAGAAAACAAAAAAUGAGAAAGUCUCACAUCGACGCGGCUAAUCAACGAGCUAUGGAAAUGCCCAUCAAUUUAUGUCAAUGCGAGGAGUAGGGAUUGCCAUGCAACGGAUGCACUAGAGCUAUAAGUGUAUGAAAGCUCAAACUGAAAACUAAGUGGGUGUGCAUCCAACUUGCUUGCUCAUGAAGACCUAGGGGAUUUGAGGAAGCCCAUCAUUGGUAUAUACAAGCCAAGGUCUAUAAUGAAAAUUCCCACUAGUAUAUGAAAGUGACAACAUAGGAGACAAUCUAUAUGAAGAACAUGGUGCUACUUUGAAGCACAAGUGUGAAAAAAAAGGAUAGUAACAUUGCCCCUUUUCUUUUCUUUUUUUUUCUUUUUUUCUUUUUUCUUUUUUGGGUGGGCUUCUUUGGCCCCCUUUUUUAUUUAGGCUUCUUUGGCCUUUCCUUUUUUUUCUUUUUCCUUUUUUUUCAUGGGGCAAUGCUCUAUAAUGAUGAUCAUCACACUUUUAUUUACUUACAACUCAAUAUUACAACUCGAUACUAGAACAAAGAUAUGACUCUAUAUGAAUGCUUCCGGCGGUGUACCGGGAUGUGCAAUGAUCUAGCGUAGCAAUGACAUCAAAAAAUGGACAAGCCAUGAAAACAUCAUGCUAGCUAUCUUACGAUCAUGCAAAGCAAUAUGACAAUAAAUGCUCAAGUCAUGAAUAUGAUGAUGAUGGAAGUUGCAUGGCAAUAUAUCUCAGAAUGGCUAUGGAAAUGUCAUGAUAGGUAGGUAUGGUGGCUGUUUUGAGGAAGAAAUAAUGAGGCUUAUGUGUGAUAGAGCGUAUCAUAUCACGGGGUUUGGAUGCACCGGCGAAGUUUGCACCAACUCUCGAGGUGAGAAAGGGCAAUGCACGGUACCGAAGAGGCUAGCAAUGAUGGAAAGGUAAAAGUGCGUAUAAUCCAUGGACUCACAUUAGUCAUAAAGAACUCAUAUACUUAUUGCAAAAGUUUAUUAGCCCUCGAAGCAAAGUACUACUACGCAUGCCCCUAGGGGGAUAGAUUGGUAGGAAAAUACCAUCGCUCGUCCCCGACUGCCACUCAUAAGGAAGACAAUCAAAGAAACACCCCAUGCUUCAAAUUUGUCACACAACGGUUACCAUACGUGCAUGCUAUGGGACUUGCAAACCUCAACACAAGUGUCUCUACAAUCCACAACCACCCACUAGCAUGACUCUAAUAUCACCAUCUUUAUAUCAAAAAACUAUUGCAAGGAAUCAAACAUAUCAUAUUCAGCGAUCUACAAGUUUUAUGUAGGAUUUUAUGACUAACCAUGUGAAUGACCAAUUCCUGUCAUCUCUCUAAAUAGAUAUAAGUGAAGCAAGAGAGUUUAAUUCUUUCUACAAAAGAUAUGCCCACACUCUAACAAAUAUAAGUGAAGAAAAAGAGCAUUCUAUAAUUGGCGGGUUUCUAUGUAAAGAGAAACAUGCAAUCCAACUUCAAAUGAUAUAGGUGAAGCACAUGAAGCAUUCUAUAAAGCCACAAUCAAAAGAUUUAAGUGAAGUGCAAUGAGCAUUCUAUUAAUCAACCAAUGACUAUCUCAUACCAGCAUGGUGCAUAAAAGAAAAGUGAAAACUAAAUGCAAAAGAUGCUCCAAGACUUGCACAUAAUGCAUAGCGAAUACGAAAACAUACUGAUACUUGUUGAAGAAAGUGGGGAUGCCUUCCGGGGCAUCCCCAAGCUUAGACGAUUGAGUCUCCUUGAAUAUUUACUUGGGGUGCCUUGGGCAUCCCCAAGCUUGAGCUCUUGCCUCUCUUUCUUUUCCUCAUAUCGAGACCUCCUCGUUUAGACACUUCAUCCACACAAAACUUCAACAGAAAACUCGGUAAGAUCCGUUAGUAUAAUAAAGCAAAUCACCACUCUAAGUACUGUAGCAAACCAAUUCAUAUUUUUGUUUUUGCAUUGUGUCUACUGUAAUAUAACUUUUUCAUGGCUUAAAUCCACUGAUAUAAAUUGAUAAUUUCAUCAAAAGAAGCAAACUAUGCAUCAAAAACAGAAUCUAUCAAAAACAGAACAGUCUGUAGCAAUCUGAACAUCCAGCAUACUUAUGGUACCCCAGAAAUUCUACCAAAGUUAGGAAAAAUAAACAAGUUGUAUAGCAAGACAGUGCAAUAGGAAUCAGAACCAAUUGACGUUCCAGUUAAAAAUGUAAAAUCGAGCACUACAGCUAAAGUUUCUGUCCUACACCGUACAAACCAACAAGCAUUGUAAACAUCCUAAAGGCAAACCUUGGCACAUUAUUUUUAUAAUACAAUGGAAUUGUACAAGGGGAUAAUUAUUUUUGUUGAAAUUUUUUUGUAAUCAAGAUUCACAAAGUUUCCGUGAGCAUGAACAAAGUUCAAGGAGCUCUCCCAUGUAACGCCCCGGAUUUGAUGCGCUAGGUGUCUGCCAGUUAUUCGCCGUCAUUGCCAUGUCAUUUGCUUGCGUGUUGCAUAUUGCCAUGUCAUCAUCUGCAUUUCAUUUGCAUGUUUUUCAAAACUUGCAUCCGUUCGGGUUCCCCCGGUUCUCUCCGUUGUCCGUUAGGAGUCCAGACCUCUCGUGCGCGCCCGUCGCCCCUCUCAGACCUUGUUUUCGUUAGCAGGUUAAAAACGUUCUCGGAAUGGACCGAGGUUUGCCGAGUGGCCUUGGUAUAGCACUGGUAGACCGCCCGUUAAGUUUUGUGCCAUUUAGAGGUUGUUUGAUACUCCAACGGUUAACCGGGUAACCGUAAAAGCCCUCUUUGUGUUGCAGCCCAACGCCCCUUCAAAGUGGCCCAAAACCCAUCCAAACCCCCUCCAUGCUCUCGGUCGUUCGAUCAUGAUCGCGUGGCCGAAAACCGCUCCUCAUUUGGACUCUCCUAGCUCCCUCUACCUAUAAAUAUGCCCUCCCCGUCCAAAUUCGCGGUCUAAUCCUACCCUAACCCUAGCCCCGCUCCCCUCGCGCCGCCGGACAUGUCCGCUUCCCCGCCGGACAUGUCCGCGUCUCCGCCCGCGACCAACCGGCAUCCGCCACGCGUCCCCGCGGCCCUCCUCUCUCCACCGCGCGCCGCCACGGGCCCGCUGAGCCCAAGGCUGGCCCGCUCGGCCCGUCCCGCCGCCGCCGCNNNNNNNNNNNNNNNNNNNNNNNNNNNNNNNNNNNNNNNNNNNNNNNNNNNNNNNNNNNNNNNNNNNNNNNNNNNNNNNNNNNNNNNNNNNNNNNNNNNNNNNNNNNNNNNNNNNNNNNNNNNNNNNNNNNNNNNNNNNNNNNNNNNNNNNNNNNNNNNNNNNNNNNNNNNNNNNNNNNNNNNNNNNNNNNNNNNNNNNNNNNNNNNNNNNNNNNNNNNNNNNNNNNNNNNNNNNNNNNNNNNNNNNNNNNNNNNNNNNNNNNNNNNNNNNNNNNNNNNNNNNNNNNNNNNNNNNNNNNNNNNNNNNNNNNNNGCCUGGCCCGCUCCUUCGCCGUCCUCCGACAUCCGCGCCGCCCCGCCGCCGGCCGUCCCCGUCGCCCCGCCACCGGUUCCCCGCACCUCCCACGCCUCUCCGCCUCCGCGCCGCCCGCUACCAUCUCGCCGGAGCCGGAGCUCGCCGGACUCCACUCCGGCCGGAUCUACCCCGGGUGGAUGAGAUCCACCGGGAGUCGAACCAAACGCGCCCGCGCCCCAGUCCCGGAUCCCGCCAUCCCGCGUUGUCUUUUCGCGGAGGUAUAAUUUUGCCUAAGUCCCUGAGAUUUUCAGCAUUCUGGUGCCUUGUUCGACAUGUCAUAACUCUUUGCGUACUGCUCCAUUUUGUGCGUGUAAUAUGUCAAAAUGUUCGUUGGGAGAUGCUAUACAUUCCAUUCCAUUGUGCCAUGUUCAUUUGAGCUCAUCUUGAUGCCUGAAUCAUCGUUGCAAGAGUUCUAUGUGAUGUUAAUCUGCUGAAACUGUUAUAACUUGGUGAUUUGUCAUUUUUGUUGCAUUUGAUGUGUGCAUCCUAUGAGCAUGAGCUCUACAUGUGUUUUGAACUACAUCAUGCCAUCUUUACAGGGGUGCCAUCCAUGUAGUUUUGUGAGUUGUGUAGUGAGUGCAUCAAGCUUGUUAAGUGUGGUACUUGCUGUUACUGUUUUGCUAGGCUGAAUCUGUUAUUUUGUGAUGCUAUGUAAAUCUGCUGCUACCAGUCAUUCUAUGCAUAAUCUGGAGAUGUUCACUAAGGAUGUUUUGUUAUACAUGUCAUGAUCUAUCCAUCCAUGCUCCUGGUUGCAUUUAUAGCCUGCUUUAGCUUGUUGUAAUCUUGAUCUCAAAUUGCUAAAUAAUGUUGCUGUCAGCCUGUUAACAUUAAGUUCUAGUAUUGCCAUGUGUUUUGCUAGUGAUCCAUGCACCCUAUGAACUUGCUCUUGCCAUGCUUAGCUUCAUAAUCAUGUAUUAUUACUGUUGGUUGCCCUGUCAUGCCAUGAAUUGCUCUGUGGUGAGUGGUACAAGCUCACCAACAUGCCUACUUAUUGUUGCUCCUGCCAUGUAUGAAUCUGUCAUAUAACUUGCUAUGUUUACAUGGGUGCCAUCAUAUCUUCUGAUCCUUUUUGGCUCAUGGUCAGUAAGGGACUUUUGUUCUAUACAAUUAGUAGGUUCAUGCCAUGCCUUAUUUUUCUAUGAUAAGUUCCUAUAGCAUGCAGUUUGAUAGCUCUAAACAUUGCAACCUGAUGUUGUUUCUGCAAAGUCUGAAACUGUUAUUAUUUGCAAUCUUGCCAUGUGUGUUUGAGCAUGUUCUAGUGAUUUCUGGAGAUAGCUCAGUGUUCAUGUUUUGUUAUGAUUUACCUGUACAACAUGUCCAUGCCUUUUGUUCUUAUGUUGAGGUGUUGUAGCAUGUUGUUUUGAUGCUUGCAAUAUGCCUAGUUGCUGUUUUGGACAACUUGUCCUUUUAAACUUGUAUAGCGUGUAUGUGUUGAGCCGUUGCUCCGUUUUGAGUGUGCUCUAUAUGAAACUUGGUUAGAAUUGCAUGUAGUUUCAUAUUAUCAUGUUGCAUCCUUGUUUUUAGGUGCUUGCUUGAUGUUUGAAUGCAUUUUGCAUCAAUGCCUUGUUUAACUUGUUUUGCUCAUAUAUUUUAGGCCGUAGCUCCGAAUUAAAUGAACUUUAUAUGAAACUUGACUAGGAUUUCCUGUAGAUCCUCUUGGUGCAUCUUAACUUGCUGUUUAACAACUUGAACAUAAGGUUUAUUCAGAUCUGGACCAAUUUCGAAAUUUGCAUAUGAGGACUUACCGGAAUUGUUAUAUGUUGUUCCCGGCCUCAUUUAAACUUGCCUUGAUGUGUUGUUCUUGUUUGAAUCAUCUCUUGCCAUGAGUAGCUUCAUGUAGCCUUGUCAUGCAUCAUACUUGUUUGUGCAUCAUGUCAUGUUCAUGUGUGGUGUGUUUUACUAUGUUGUGUGCUUCUUCUGGACAUUUCCUGUUUCGUUGCGAUCUUGAGGAUUCGUUCGUCUACGCUUGGUUCGGCUUCAUCCGUUCGUCUUCUUCAUGGACUCGUUCUUCUUCCUUGCGGGAUUUCAGGCAAGAUGACCGCUACCCUGGAUCUCACUACUAUCAUUGCUAUGCUAGUUGCUUUGCUCUAUCGCUAUGAUGCGUUACCUAUCACCUGUUUAUCAAGCCUCCCAAAUUGCCAUCUCAGCCUCUAACUUUUUCACCCUUCCUAGCAAACCGUUGCUUGGCUAUGUUACCGCUUUUGCUUAGCCCCUCUUAUAGCGUUGUUAGUUGCAGGUGAAGUUGAAGAUUGCUCCAUGGUGGACAUGAUUAUUUUGGGAUAUCACAAUAUCUCUUAUUUAAUUAAUGCAUCUAUAUACUUGGUAAAGGGUGGAAGGCUCGGCCUUAUGCCUGGUGUUUUGUUCCACUCUUGCCGCCCUAGUUUCCGUCAUACCGGUGUUAUGUUCCCGGAUUUUACGUUCCUAACGCGGUUGGGUGAUUUAUGGGACCCCCUCGACAGUUUGCUUUGAAUAAAACUCCUCCAGCAAGGCCCAUCAUUGGUUUUACCAUUUGCCUCACCAACACCUACAUUUCCCUUGGGAGUAAUUAACCCAAGGGUCAUCUUUAUUAUAGCCCCCCCGGGCCAAUGCUUGUCUAAGUGUUGGUCCGAACCAGAGCCCUUUGCAGCGCCCCCUCAGGGAAACUUGAGGUCUGGUUUUAGUUGUACGGAUUGCUCAUCCGGGGUUGCCCUGAGAACGAGAUAUGUGCAGCUCCUAUCGGGAUUGUCGGCGCAUCGGGCGGUCUUGCUGGUCUUGUUUUACCAUUGUCGAAAUGUCUUGUAAACCAGGAUUCCGAGACUGAUCGGGUCUUCCUGGGAGAAGGAAUAUCCUACGUUGAUCGCGAGAGCUUAUCAUGGGCUAAGUUGGGACACCCCUGCAGGGUAUAAACUUUCAAAAGCCGUGCCCGCGGUUAUGUGGCAGAUGGGAAUUUGUUAAUGUCUGGUUGUAGAUAACUUGACACUAGAUCCGAAUUAAAACGCAUCAACCGCGUGUGUAGCCAUGAUGGUCUCUUCUCGGUGGAGUCUGGGAAGUGAACACGGUUUUGGGUUAUGAUUGAUGUAAGUAGGAGUUCAGGAUCACUUCUUGAUCAUUGCUAGCUUCACGCCCGUUCCAUUUGCUCUCUUCUCGCUCUUAUUAGCGUAUGUUAGCCACCAUAUAUGCUUAGUCGCUGCUGCAACCUCACCACUUUACCCCUUCCUUUCCCAUUAAGCUUUGCUAGUCUUGAUACCAUGGUAAUGGGAUUGCUGAGUCCUCGUGGCUCACAGAUUACUACAACAACAGUUGCAGGUACAGGUUAUGCGAUGAUCAUGACGCGAGAGCGAUGUUUACUUGUUUUGGAGUUCUUGUUCUGCUUCUUCUUCGAUCAGGGGAUAGGUUCCAGGUCGGCAGCCUGGGCUAGCAGGGUGGAUGUCGUUUGAGUUUCUUUUUGUGUUUCAUCCGUAGUCGGAUGAUGCUCUUAUGUAUUGUGAUAUUGUAUUUGUGUGGCAUUGUAUGCCUCUUGUAUGUAUCCCCAUCUAUUAUGUAAUGUUGAUGUAAUGAUAUCCACCUUGCAAAAGCGUUUCAAUAUGCGGUUCUAUCCUUGGUGGGUCCUUCGAGUCUCUUUAGGAUAGUAUCACAUAUUGGGCGUGACAAGUUGGUAUCAGAGCCUCGACCGACCCUAGGAGCCCCCCUUGAUUGAUCGUGUAGUUUGGCCGUUGUUGAGUCUAGAAGUAAACUAUUUUUCGGAGUCUAUAUAUAUCGGAGAGUAGGAAUUCUUUUUACUCCUCUGCCCCUUCGUCGCUCUGGUGAGGAAUCUUGACGUAUGUGUUUUGAAUUACUCGUCUUCCCCUUCAAAUUUUUCUUUAGGAUCACACAGUUGGUUUUCUGGUAGUUGUUCCUCAGCUCUUUUUAUCCGAUGCAUUUCUCGUCAAGUUGACUUGAGCCUCUUCAUCUUUGAGUUCAAUCCUUAGUUAUUUUCUUUCCCACCCGCCCACCCUUUUCUUCUCGGAGUCGGAGGCCGUAAUCGAGUAUCCAUCCUACUCGUGCGAAGUCUUUGCUUUCUUUCCUCAAUGAUUUCAACUGGUGUUUUCUCUUCAAGUUAUUCAUCGGUUCCCCCUCCCAAGUUGCUUUUGUUUUCCCGCCCUCCCAACCUUUUCUUCUCGGAGCCCGAGUCUCUUUCGAGCAUCAAUUUCAUUCGUGUGGAGCCUCUUCAGUCUUCCCUCAAUCAUUUCAACCGGUGAAUUCUUGCUUCGUUUGACAUUCGUCAUCUCUUUUUCUUCUCAGGUGGACUCAAUUCAAGUUUUUUCGGGUUGAUCGUUUUCUUUCCCUUGGAUCAAAUGUUUCCCCUUGCUCGUUUGCCUCUCACCAUUCAAUCAUUCCGGAGUUCGGAAGACAUCUCAGGAGAUUCGUCUGUGUUCGAAUUAAUUCGUGGUUGUCACCUUAUUCAAAUAUUUCAAUUGUUCCGGUGCUUCACCUAUCUGUUCAACAUCCCUUUCCAACGGUGUUCUAUUUUAGUGGGCCCAUGACCCACAGGUCUUUUCCCAGGAUCUUACCCGACUCAUCUAAUUCCCCCGGAGUUAUUCUCAAUUCUUUUCAGGUGUGACGUAAGAAUGAAUUUCAUCAGUCAGAUGCUUGUCCAAGAUCGUUUUCAAAUUCUUUCAUUGUUGGCUCAACCUCUUCGCUUGUCAUUCUUUCGGAGUGUCUCAAUAAAAUUUGGUGGUGUUUCUCAUCGUCAUUUGAAGACCGAAGAAGAGUUUUUCCUCUAAAUCUUGCCCGUUCUCUCGAAGAUUCGUGGUUCUAGCUUCUUGUUAUCCUCGAGAAUUAUUCCAUUUGUCAGAUAUUCUUUUCAUCCAUCCGGAGUAUUUCAGGAGUUGUUUUUCCGUUUCUUUCACCGGAGGCCAUCAUUCUAGUUAUCGUUCUCUAUUUAUCCCGGUGCUUCGUUCAAGUGUUCUUUAAUCUGCUCAUGAUCUCUUUGUUCUUUUGCAUCUAAAUCCCCUCUAGCAUAAUUGUUCUUCUAAUUCUUCCCGGUGAUUCAGUCUCUUUCAUCAGUCAUUUUCGAAUUCUUACGGUGGUUCGUUCAAGAUUCUUUUUCCUUGUUUAUCAUUUUAAUCCAUUCGUUCUUUCAAUCCUACCAGUGGUUCAUGAAGACUUUCUCAAGUUUUGUGCUAUAUACCCCCUUAAUCCUUUUCAAGAAGAAUAAGUGGUAUGCAAAAUCCUUUGGUUGUCAUCAAUUGAAUUUGAUGAAGGAUAAGCAUACAAUAAAUCUUAUUCUUAUUUCAUCAUCGUCAAGUAAUCCCUUCCUUCGGAGUUUGUUCUUGAUGAAUAAAUUCUAGUUCCAAGUGUUUUCAUCUUUUCUUUUCCGGAGUUCAAAUUUCCUCGGCCAUUUCGUCGGAACCUCCAUCUAAAUCAUCGCAAGCUUUAAUCUUAUUCUUUAAUCCUUCACUUUAUCUCAUUGUCCUUUUGUUUACCAGAGUUCUUCAUGGUGGUUCUUCAUGAUUUAAUUCAAUCUUCAAGUGUUCAUCAAGAUUCUUGUCGGACGAGUUCAAGUAUCCUUCUUCUUGCUUCUCGAGGUGCAAUUAAUUCUUCGUAUUGUUAAUGGAGUUUUGCAUUUCUUCUUUCUUCUCGGCUAUUCAGACAUUGGUUGUGGUAUUAUUUCACCUCAAGUUUUGAGAUGUCAUCUAUAAAUCCACAACAAGCUUAUUCUUUCGUUGUUGAUUUUCUCAACAACUCCGUUCAAUCCUUCCUUCUAAGUUCUCUCCAUUCCACUACGUCAAUUCUUCCGGAGGCAUUGCAUUGUUCAUCUCAUCAAGUGCCAUCCCAUCUUGUGAAGUUUGUAUUCUAUUCUUUCCUUCUUCAACCGGAGUGCUGCCUAAAUCCUUUUUCAGUCUUAUUCGUUUCUUAUCUCGUUCUAACCGGAGUGGUUUCAGAGUCUAUCUGAUUCCGUGAGCUUUCGAUUCUCGUCAUUCUUGCCGUUCCUCUCUUUUUCUCGAGUGAUCUCGAUUCUUUGUUUGUUCUCUUGAGUUCUUGCUUCACCUCUUCCUCUUUCCCUUCUGUCUCGGUCCUAAGAUCUCGGGACGAGAUCUCUUGUUAGUGGAGGAGUGUUGUAACGCCCCGGAUCCGAUGCGCUAGGUGUCUGCCAGUUAUUCGCCGUCAUUGCCAUGUCAUUUGCUUGCAUGUUGCAUUUUGCCAUGUCAUCAUCUGCAUUUCAUGUGCAUGUUUUACAAAACUUGCAUCCGUUCGGGUUCCCCCGGUUCUCUCCGUUGUCCGUUCGGAGUCCAGACCUCUCGCGCGCGCCUGUCGCCCCUCUCAGACCUUGUUUUCGUUAGCGGGUUAAAAACGUUCUCGGAAUGGAUCGAGGUUUGCCGAGUGGCCUUGGUAUAGCACCGGUAGACUGCCUGUCAAGUUUCGUGCCAUUUGGAGGUUGUUUGAUACUCCAACGGUUAACCGGGUAACCAUAAAAACCCUCUUUGUGUUGCAGUCCAACACCCCUUUAAAGUGGCCCAAAACCCAUCCAAACCCCCUCCAUGCUCUCGGUCAUUCGAUCACGAUCGCGUGGCCGAAAACCGCUCCUCAUUUGGACUCUCCUAGCUCCCUCUACCUAUAAAUAUGCCCUCCCGUCCAAAUUCGCGGUCUAAUCCUACACUAACCCUAGCCCAGCUCCCCUCGCGUCGCCGGACAUGUCCGCUUCCCCGCCGAACAUGUCCGCGUCUCCGCCCGCGACCAACCGGUGUCCGCCACGUGUCCCCGCGGCCCUCCUCUCUCCACCGCGCGCCACCGCGGGCCCACCGAGCCCGAGGCCGGCCCGCUCGGCCCGUCCCNNNNNNNNNNNNNNNNNNNNNNNNNNNNNNNNNNNNNNNNNNNNNNNNNNNNNNNNNNNNNNNNNNNNNNNNNNNNNNNNNNNNNNNNNNNNNNNNNNNNNNNNNNNNNNNNNNNNNNNNNNNNNNNNNNNNNNNNNNNNNNNNNNNNNNNNNNNNNNNNNNNNNNNNNNNNNNNNNNNNNNNNNNNNNNNNNNNNNNNNNNNNNNNNNNNNNNNNNNNNNNNNNNNNNNNNNNNNNNNNNNNNNNNNNNNNNNNNNNNNNNNNNNNNNNNNNNNNNNNNNNNNNNNNNNNNNNNNNNNNNNNNNNNNNNNNNNNNNNNNNNNNNNNNNNNNNNNNNNNNNNNNNNNNNNNNNNNNNNNNNNNNNNNNNNNNNNNNNNNNNNNNNNNNNNNNNNNNNNNNNNNNNNNNNNNNNNNNNNNNNNNNNNNNNNNNNNNNNNNNNNNNNNNNNNNNNNNNNNNNNNNNNNNNNNNNNNNNNNNNNNNNNNNNNNNNNNNNNNNNNNNNNNNNNNNNNNNNNNNNNNNNNNNNNNNNNNNNNNNNNNNNNNNNNNNNNNNNNNNNNNNNNNNNNNNNNNNNNNNNNNNNNNNNNNNNNNNNNNNNNNNNNNNNNNNNNNNNNNNNNNNNNNNNNNNNNNNNUCUCCGCCUCCGCGUCGCCCGCUGCCGUCUCGCCGGAGCCGGAGCUCGCCGGAGCUCCACUCCGGCCGGAUCUACCCCGGGUGGAUGAGAUCCACCGGGAGUCGAACCAAACGCGCCCGCGCCCCCGUCCCGGAUCCCGCCAUCCCGCGUUGACUUUUUGCGGAGGUAUAAUUUUGCCCAAGUCCCUGAGAUUUUCAGCAUUCUGGUGCCCUGUUCGACAUGUCAUAACUCUUUUCGUACUGCUCCGUUUUGUGCGUGUAAUAUAUCAACAUGUUCAUUGAGAGAUUCUCUACAUUGUAUUCCAUUGUGCCAUGUUCAUUUGAGCUCAUCUUGAUGCCUGAAUCAUUGUUGCAAGAGUGCUAUGUGAUGUUAAUCUGCUGAAACUGUUAUAACUUGGUGAUUUGUCAUUUUUGUUGCAUUUGAUGUGUGCAUCCUAUGAGCAUGAGCUCUACAUGUGUUUCGAACUACAUCAUGCCAUAUUUACAGGGGUACCAUCCAUGUAGUUUUGUGAGUUGUGUAGUGAGUGCAUCAAGCUUGUUAAGUGUGGUACUUGCUGUUACUGUUUUGCUAGGCUGAAUCUGUUAUUUUGUGAUGCUAUGUAAACCUGCUGCUACCAGUCAUUCUAUGCAUAAUCUGGAGAUGUUCACUAAGGAUGUUUUGUUAUACAUGUCAUGAUCUAUCCAUCCAUGCUCCUGGUUGCAUUUGUAGCCUGCUUCAGCUUGUUGUAAUGUUGAUCUCAAAUUGCUAAGUAAUGUUGCUGUCAGCCUGUUAACAUUAAGUUCCAGUAUUGCCAUGUGUUUUGCUAGUGAUCCAUGCACCCUAUGAACUUGCUCUUGCCAUGCUUAGCUUCAUAAUCAUGUAUUAUUACUGUUGGUUGCCUUGUCAUGCCAUGAAUUGCUCUGUGGUGAGUGGUACAAGCUCACCAACAUGCCUACUUAUUGUUGCUCCUGCCAUGUAUGAAUCUGUCAUAUAACUUGCUAUGUUUACAUGGGUGCCAUCAUACCUUCUGAUCCUUUUUGGCUCAUGGUCAGUAAGGGACUUUUGUUCUAUACAAUUAGUAGGUUCAUGCCAUGCCUUAUUUUUCUAUGAUAAGUUCAUGUAGCAUGCUGUUUGAAAGCUCUAAACAUUGCAACCUGAUGUUAUUUCUGCAAAGUCUGAAACUGUUAUUAUUUGGAAUCUUGCCAUCUGUGUUUGAGCAUGUUCUAGUGAUUUCUGGAGAUAGCUCAGUGUUCAUGUUUUGUUAUGCUUUACCUGUACAUAAUGUCCAUGCCUUUUGUUCUUAUGUUGAGGUGCUGUAGCAUGUUGUUUUGAUGCUUGCAAUCUGCCUAGUUGCUGUUUUGGACAGCUUGUCCUUUAAUCUUGUAUAGCGUGUAUGUGUUGAGCCGUUGCUCCGUUUUGAGUGUGCUCUAUAUGAAACUUGCUUAGAAUUGCUGUUUUAGGUGUUUGCUUGAUGUUUGAAUGCAUUUUGCAUCAAUGCCUUGUUUAACUUGUUUUGCUCAUAUCUUUUAGGCCGUAGCUCCGAAUUAAACGAACUUUAUAUGAAACUUGACUAGGAUUUCGUGUAGAUCCUCUUGGUGCAUCUUAACUUGCUGUUUAACAACUUGAACAUAAGGUUUAUUCAGAUCAUGACCAAUUUUGAAAUUUGCAUAUGAGGACUUACCAGAAUUGUUAUAUGUUGUUCCCGGCCUCAUUUAAACUUGCCUUGAUGUGUUGUUCUUGUUUGCAUCAUCUCUUGCCAUGAGUAGCUUCAUGUAGCCUUGUCAUGCAUCAUACUUGUUUGUGCAUCAUGUCAUGUUCAUGUGUGGUGUGUUUUACUAUGUUGUGUGUUUCUUCUGGAUAGUUCCUGUUUCGUUGCGAUCGUGAGGAUUCGUUCGUCUACGCUUGGUUCGGCUUCAUCCGUUCGUCUUCUUCAUGGACUCGUUCUUCUUCCUUGCGGGAUUUCAGGCAAGAUGACCGCUACCCUGGAUCUCACUACUAUCACUGCUAUGCUAGUUGCUUCGUUCUAUCGCUAUGCUGCGUUACCUAUCACCUGUUUAUCAAGCCUCCCAAAUUGCCAUGUCAGCCUCUAACUUUUUCACCCUUCCUAGCAAACCGUUGCUUGGCUAUGUUACCGCUUUUGCUCAACCCCUCUUAUAGCGUUGUUAGUUGCAGGUGCAGUUGAAGAUUGCUCCAUGGUGGGCAAGAUUAUUUUGGGAUAUCACAAUAUCUCUUAUUUAAUUAAUGCAUCUAUAUACUUGGUAAAGGGUGGAAGACUCGGCCUUAUGCCUGGUGUUUUUUUCCACUCUUGCCACCCUAGUUUCCGUUAUACCGGUGUUAUGUUCUCGGAUUUUGCGUUCCUCACGCGGUUGGGUGAUUUAUGGGACCCCCUUGACAGUUCGCUUUGAAUAAAACUCCUCCAGCAAGGCCCAACAUUGGUUUUACCAUUUGCCUCACCACCACCUACAUUUCCCUUGGGAGUAAUUAACCCAAGGGUCAUCUUUAUUAUAGCCCCCCCGGGCCAAUGCUUGUCUAAGUGUUGGUCCGAACCAGAGCCCUUUGCAGCGCCCCCUCAGGGAAACUUGAGGUCUGGUUUUAGUUGUACGGAUUGCUCAUCCGAUGUUGCCCUGAGAACGAGAUAUGUGCAGCUCCUAUCGGGAUUGUCGGCACAUCGGGCGGUCUUGCUGGUUUUGUUUUACCAUUGUCGAAAUGUCUUGUAAACCAGGAUUCCGAGACUGAUCGGGUCUUCCUGGGAGAAGGAAUAUCCUUCGUUGAUCGCGAGAGCUUAUCAUGGGCUAAGUUGGGACACCCCUGCAGGGUAUAAACUUUCGAAAGCCGUGCCCGUGGUUAUGUGGCAGAUGGGAAUUUGUUAAUGUCCAGUUGUAGAUAACUUGACACCAGAUCCGAAUUAAAACACAUCAACCGCGUGUGUAGCCGUGAUGGUCUCUUCUCGGUGGAGUCUGGGAAGUGAACACGGUUUUGGGUUAUGAUUGACGUAAGUAGGAGUUCAGGAUCACUUCUUGAUCAUUGCUAGCUUCACGACCGUUCCGUUUGCUCUCUUCUUGCUCUUAUUUGCGUAUGUUAGCCACCAUAUAUGCUUAGUCGCUGUUGCAACCUUACCACUUUACCCCUUCCUUUCCCAUUAAGCUUUGCUAGUCUUGAUACCCAUGGUAAUGGGAUUGCUGGGUCCUCGUGGCUCACAGAUUACUACAACAACAGUUGCAGGUACAGGUUAUGCAAUGAUCAUGAUGCGAGAGUGAUGUUUGCUUGUUUUCGAGUUCUUCUUCUGCUUCUUUUUUGAUCAGGGGAUAGGUUCCAGGUCGGCAGCCUGGGCUAGCAGGGUGGAUGUCGUUUGAGUUUCUGUUUGUGUUUCAUCCGUAGUCGGAUGAUGCUCUUAUGUAUUGUGAUAUUGUAUUUGUGUGGCAUUGUAUGCCUCUUGUAUGUAUCCCCAUCUAUUAUGUAAUGUUGAUGUAAUGAUAUCCACCUUGCAAAAGCGUUUCAAUAUGUGGUUCUAUCCUUGGUGGGUCCUUCGAGUCUCUUUAGGAUAGUAUCGCAUAUUGGGCGUGACAUCCCACUUCAACAAUGCUUGUCUUUCUUACUUUCACUUUCCUUUUUGAAAAGUUUUUAGGUUUCCCUCGUUGUUUUUUGUUUUAAAACUAUAUAAAAGCACUCAACAGAAAUAAAUGACUCUCUAAAACUUCCGGGUUGUCUCCCUGGCAGCGCUUUCUUUAAAGCCAUUAAGUUUGGCAUAUAGUGCUCAAGUAAUGAAUCCACCCGGAUCCCAAGGUAUAUCAAAGCCAAUUUUAAUUAACAAUGAUUUGUAAUUUAGUAGUGAGCACAAAGUAACAUAUAUCAAGCAACGACAAAGUCUAACUCUCUUCCUAUGCAUCGGCAUGUCAUAAAAGAACAAUUCAUGCACACCAAGUAAAGGCCAAUGCAUAGUAUAAGAAGUUUCUUGCAAUUCUAUCGUGUUGGAAACAUAGAGAGGUGUAGAUAUAGUUCCUCUCUCAUAAUAAUUGCAAGUAGGAGCAGCAAGCACAUGCAUAUUAUAUCUAUCAAAAUCAUCAUGUGAAGUAGUAAAAGGCAACCCAUCAAUAUAAUCCUUAAUAAGCACAAACUUCUCCGAUAUAGUGUAGUAGGGAGAAUUCGAAAAGAUAAUAGGACUAUCAUGCGUGGGUGAAAUAGCAACAAUUUCAUGUUUAGCAUAAGGAACUAUAGAAAGUUCAUCUCCAUAAGCAGAAUUCAUAUUGGCAUCUUGGCCACAAGCAUAUCAAGCAUCAUCAAUAGGGGAUAUUUCAAGAGAAUCAACGGGAUCAUAACAAUCAUCAUAGCAAUCAUCAUAGUAAUCAUCAUAGCAAUCAUCCUUUGGUAAGCACAAAGGGAAAUUAAAUAAUGCAUGAGUUGAAGAGUUACUCUCAUUAGAAGGUGGGCACGGGUAGCUAAUCCGCUCUUCCUCCUUUUGUUCUUCGCUCUCCUCAUCAUCUUUUUCAUCCAAUGAGCUCGCAGUUUCAUCAAUUUCUUCUUCCAUAGCUUCCUGCAAAAUAUUAUUCUCUUCUUGGACAGCGGAGAAUUUCUCAAUAUAUGAUUUAACAUAGGAAUUAGAAGCAUAAUUAUCAUAACAAUAUUCAAGUAUGGCAAAACUUUCAGAUUUGUAAAGAGUAGCAUCAUACUUUUUAAUCAAAGAAGCAAUUUCAAAAGCACCCUUAAAAGCAACAAAUUCUUCAAUUUGUGGAACAUCAUAGUAAUUAUAAACACCCUUAGCAUACAAAGAUAAAAUUCCAUUAUCAAUAAACUCACAUUGGUAGGGAAGGUGUUUCUUAGGGUUUUCAGAACAACAAGUAACAUCAUAUAUUUCACAUAACUUCCAAGCAUAGCAUUGCAAACGUUGAAUUUGAUCCCAUAAUAGUUUCCCUUUUUCAGAUAUACGGUGUCGCACAUAACAAGCAUGCUCAUCUAAAGAUUGGCCCUCAACUAAGCUAGUUGGGGUUUCAACACAAGCACAUAGGGAUCGAAGAUGAUCCAAGUAAAAAGCUUCAGUAGUGUGGUAGAUUUUGAGUGGUUCUUCAACCAUUGGAGUAGUAGGUACAACUAAUAUUUUUGGUAUUUUGCAUUUCCUACCCAUAACUAAAGAUAGAAAACAACUAAGAACAGCAAAUAAAAAUUACUUAGUGAUAAAGCAAACAAACACACAUGAGAAUAUUCACCCACGCUAUGACUCCCCGGCAACGGCGCCAGAAAAAGGUCUUGAUAACCCACCAGUGUAGGGGAUCGCAACAGUUUUCGAUAAGUAAGAGUGUCGAACCCAACGAGGAGCUAAAGGUAGAAUACAUGUUCCCUCAAGUUCUAUCAACCACCGAUACAACUCUACGCACGCUUGACGUUCGCUUUACCUAGAACAAGUAUGAAACUCGAAGUACUUUGUAGGUGUUGUUGGAUAGGUUUGCAAGAUAAUAAAGAGCACGUAAAUAAAAGCUAGGGGUUGCUUAAAUAAAGAUGCAAUAAAGUAAAUAUAGCGAGUGUGGAUAAGUGGUGGUAGGAGUUGUGGAAUUGUCCCUAAGCAAUUGACUAUGUUACUAGACCGGUAAUCACUAUUGCAAUUCUAUUUGAGGGAGAGGCAUAAGCUAACAUACUUUCUCUAGUUGGAUCAUAUGCACUUAUGAUUGGAACUCUAGCAAGCAUCCGCAAAUACUAAAGAUUCAUUAAGGUAAAACCCAACCAUAGCAUUAAAGUAUCAAUUCCCCUUUAUCCCAUACGCAACAAUCCCCUUACUCGGGUUUGUGUUUCAGUCACCCCACUAUAAGCGAAUCAUGAACGCAUUGCAACACCCUACAUCGGGAAUCCCUCACGCUUGCGUGACACGGAGGGCACCAUAGGACAGCACCAAUAAUAAAACAUGCAACUCAAACCAAUCAUAGCAAUUCAUUAAUCAUCGAUAGGACAACGAAAAUCUACUCAGACAUCAUAGGGUGGCAACACAUCAUUGGAUAAUAAUAUGAAGCAUAAAGCACCAUGUUCAAGUAGAGGGUACAGCGGGAUGUGGGAGAGUGGACCACUGGAUAUAGAAGGGGGAAGGUGAUGGAGAUGUUGGUGAAGAUGACGGUGGUGUUGGUGAAGAUCGCGGUGAUGAUGAUGGCCCCCAACAGCGCUCCGGCGCCACCGGAAGCAAGGGGGAGAGAGGCCCCCUUCUUCUUCUUCUUCCUUGACCUCCUCCCUAGAUGGGAGAAGGGUUUCCCCUCUGGUCCUUGGCUCCCAUGACUUGGGAGGGGCGAGAGCCCCUGCGAGAUUGGAUCUAUCUCUCUGUUUCUGCGUUCUUUGUUUCUGCCCCUUCACCGUUUCCUUUAUAUCUCGAGAUCCGUAACUCCGAUUGGGGUGAAUCUUUAGCCCAGAUUUUUCUCGUAAAAUUAGCUUUUUUGCGGCAAAAGAAGGGCAUCAACCGCCUUACGGGUGGCCCACGAGAGUCCAGGGCGCUCCCAGGGGGGGAGGGCGCGCCCCCCUGUCUCAUGGCCACCCCGGACACCGUUUCGCGUUGAUUCUUCAUCCGGAAAAUCCCAAAUAUUUCAAAAUAAUUCUCCAUCCGUUUUUAUCCCGUUUGGAUUCCGUUUGAUAUUGGGUUUCUGCGAAACAUAAAAUAUGCAACAAACAGGAACUGGCACUGGGCACUGGAUCAAUAUGUUAGUCCCAAAAAUAAUAUAAAAAGUUGCCAAAAGUAUAUGAAAGUUGUAGAAUAUUGGCAUGGAACAAUCAAAAAUUAUAGAUACGACGGAGACGUAUCACCCCUUAUGAUAGCAACCUUUAUUAUGCGGUUUGUUGCUUUUAUUUCUUCACCAUCACAAGAUCAUACAAAGCUUAUUUCCCUUACAAUAAAAGAUCAUACAUAUUUUGGAGCAAUUUUUAUUGCUUUAUGCACUAAUGACAACUUACUUGAAGGAUCUUAUUGAAUCCUUAGGUAGAUAAAGUGUACUCUCAUGACGUGGAACUUGGUUUAAGAGUUUUGGAUGCACAAGUAGUAUCUCUACUUAGUGCGAAUUUUUGGCUAGCAUAAGAUCCUAGACAAGCAUCACAUGUUAGAACAUCCAUGCCAAUAUAACCUCUAUGUGAAUGUAAACAAUCAUAACUCAUUACGUUGUCUUCCUUGUCCAAUGUUAACUAAUUGAUUAAUAAUAAGUACAGGACGUCUAUUGAUACUAUACAACUUAAGUUGGUGGAUAUAAGCGUCAAACAAGUGCAGUCUCAUCAGGUUGCUAAGCUGCUUGCGCUGCAGCUCUUGGGCAGGGCUAACCUUUCGUGAACUACGUUGAAGUGUUGUCGGUUCUGUCUAUUAUUUUGUCGUCAUGUUUACUUCCACAGGUGUUGACCUGCCCAGUGUAUGGAAUCUGCUGUCUGGUUGCCCUUUAUUAUCACUGGCGACUAACUUUCAUGCCCAGGGGAUGUAAUAUGUUUUAAUUUCUUUGUUGUAUAGUCCAGGUUUAUUCUUCGUCACGAUGCUGUAAUUUAUUUGCUGUUUAUGAUGUCGUCACUCUGAGAAAAGGUCGUAAUCUUCGAUCGGAGCACAAUGAACCAAUAGGUUAGGUUUAUAUAAAAAUAAUUUCAGUACUAAAAUUGGUCGGUCGCCAAUCGCUAGGAUGGGCCGAACCGUGGGCCUACAAUCAUCUUGGGCCAUUAGUUAGGCCUAGACUUAAUCUGGCCCACUAUUAAUUUCAGGCCUUUAAAAGGCUGAGUAAACUGCUUGCCUUAAUUGGGCAAGAAAAUUAAAUAUACUUUUAAUAGGUUGAGAUCUAGAUUGAGCCUUGACUGUGGCGAACAAAUCACGGGCCAACAACAGGCUAUAAUAUACAUUGGACCAUUAUUGGCCCAUUGGUAUGAUGGGCCAUUAACAGGCUGGAAUGUUUUUGGGCCUUGGCUGACCCAAUUACAUGACGGUGGAAGCAUGCCAGAUGUAUAACGGGCCAAAAUUAGGCCUAACACUAUCAAGGCCUUUAACGUCCGAUAGGAAGUUUGGGCUAGAAUGUAUCAACGAAGACUACGGGCCGUUAAGAGGCCAAAAGUCACUACGAACCAGAAUUAGGCCCAGGUGCAAUUCAGACCUUUAAAUGGCCGAAAGUGAAAUCGGGCCGAAAGAGGCCCAUUUGUAGACAGGGCCGCUGAUAGGCCAAAACUAAUAUGGGGACAAACUGUUAAAUGGGCCAUUAAGGGGCCGAAGAGCAAAUCAGGCCCCCAAUGGGCCCAAUGACAUAGUAGCUGUUAAAGGGUCGUAUAUGUUAUGGGCCGUAAUUUGGCCCAAGAUGUGAAAUCAGUUAACGGGUCGGAUCAAAUAUGGACCGUAAUUUGGCCCAAUCUAUUGUAGGCUGUUAAUGGGCCGGAUCUAAUAUGGGCCAUGAACUGGCCCAGAAUAUUAUAGUCCUUUAACGGACCGUAUCUGACGUGGGCCAUAAUUUGGUCCAGAAAAUGUUUGGCUGUUAAUGGGUCAAUCCAUUAGAUCUGACAAAAUCUUGAGGGCCUAUUCCUAGGCCGACCUUUAAACCUAUAUGGGGCUCUAUUGGGCUGUCCAACGUGUCAACGUUUCAUUGGCGACUCAUGUCCAGUGGAUGGUUGACAUUUAUCCCAACGCUGAGCUGACACGUGGAUCGUCCAGCGAAUGAGACUUUUACACGUGGAAAAUCGCCAUUGGUGCGGGCUCUUAACGGGUUAUCGGAUCCAAAUUGGAACUCGAUAGCUUAACAACGACCCGUUACGGUGGAUGCCAUGUGUCGGUUACCUUGAUGAAAGCACUUGCAUGACACGCCAUUUAUUGUCAUGGAAGUGGACACUUCCGUGAUGAUAAUUUUGGUAUUGUCAUGGAACACUUCUACGACAACAUGGGUAUGACUAUUUUGAUUCUAUCAUAAAAUCGUCAUGGAUGUACAUGCAUGACAGAAAAUGUGACCUACUGUGACAAACACGUAUCAUCACGGAAGUGAUUUUUGUAGUGAGAAGGUUUCCUCCAAAUCUUGAAUCAGGGUCGACUUGUCCUUGGUCUUGACCACAAUAGCAUCCAUGUAGGCUUCUAUGUUCCUAUGUAGCUAUGGCUCAAAACCGUUUUGAACUGCCCACCCGCACUCUUUAGUCCGAAAGGUAUCCGCAUAAAGCAGUAUGAGCCACAUGGAGUAAUGGAUGCAGUUUUCUCUUCAUCUUCUUUGGACAUGAAUAUCUGGUGAUAUCUAGAGUAGGCAUCAAGAAAUGAGAGUAGAUCACAACCGGCAGUGGAGUCCACAAUAUGGUCGAUGCGCGGCCAGGGGAAAGGAUCCUUUGGAGAUGGUUUCUUGAGGUCGGUGUAAUCAAUACAAAGUCUCCAUUUCCCAUUCGCCUUGUGCACGACAACCGAAUUCGCCAACUAGGUUGGAUGUAGCACUCCUGUGACCAAGCGAGAUGCCUCGAGUUUCUUGAUCUCUUCUACUACAAAUUUUUGCCGUUCCAAGGCUUGCUUUCUGACAUUCUUCUUGAUGGGCCGAGCAUGAGGGCAUACAUCAAGGUGGUGCUAAAUUACCUCCCUGGGAACACCGGGGAUGUCAGAUGGUUGCCACGCAAACACAUCGACAUUCACCCGUCGGAAGGCAAUGAGCGUGCUUUCAUAUAUGUGCUUUCACCAGUGCCAUCCUCCCUUGCCGGCACCUUCUUUGUCGUAGGUGGAAUGGCCUUAGAUCUCUUGCCAGCAGAGCUUUUCGGCAAAUCCUCAAUGGGUGUGUAGCACUCCGACGAGGCGCGCUUCCCGGAGGCCUCGCUGGAUGUCUUGCCAUUUUUUGCUAUUCUUUGACUUGGCGGGAGCUAUUGCCUUGCCAGUUUCCACUGUGACCACAUCCGUGUAUAGUUUGUCCAUACAAAUGACUGCAUCUUUCUUGCUAGAGUUGAUGGAGAUGAUAGCAAUGGGCCCUGGCAUCUUCAAUGUGUUGUAACCAUAGUGGGAUGCCGCCAGGAAUUUGGCCAAGGCCGGGCGACCAAGAAUUCCAGUAAACAGUGAGGGGAUCUUAAAAACAUCAACACGACCUUCUUUGUUCUUUAAUUUAGUUCCCCGCCAAACUUCACUGGUAGGGUGAUCUUUCCCUUGGGUCGGCUCCUUCCUGGGUUGAUUUCUUGGAACGUCCCUGUUUUCUGGAGCUCUUGCUCAGGGAUUUGCAGCCUCUCGAUCACCUCAGGCGAGAUCAAGUUCAAGCCGGCCCCACUGUCAACUAAUUUUUUCAUGACCUUGAGGUUGUGUAUAGUUGGUGAUACCAACAAUGGCAAGCAUCUGACCAUGGGUUGUGCAAUCAAGGUGAUCCUCAACAUAAAAAAUAAUAGGCGUGUGGGACCACUUGAGGGACUUUUGUGCAUCCACUAUCGGUUCCGCCAUAAUGACUUCCCGCGCCCACUGCUUGAGCUAACGGUGAGAGAAGUGCAAAGAUGCACCUCCAUCAAUGCACAUGGCCUCCAUUGCCUUAUGGAAUUUGUGUUCUCUGGAUUCUUCGUCAUCCUCCUCAUCAUUUCCUUCAUCUUCCUCUUUCUUCUCUUUACCCGUGGCAGGCUUUUAUUUUUUCUGGCCAGCAUUGCCGCGGCGUCCACCUCGACCACCGCGACCCUUCCUGCCGGAUCCACCUGUACUGUCCUGACCCUUCUCCUUUUCCUGCUUUUCAUACUCAGCUUUCUGUUUCCCAACCAGCUGCUUGACUUGACGACACUCCUGGAGGUCGUGGCCUUUGGUAUGGCGGAUCUUGUAGUAUGGCCCGUCGGACUUGCCAGCUUUCUCUCCUACCACAGCAACCUGGCAAUCAAUGCAUGUAGCUGCUUCCUUGCCGGUACUCUCCAUUUUGGGUUUCUUGGCGGGGCCGGAGAUGCCUGAUCCUUCCACAGCCAUAACCUUCUUACCUUUGCGCUUUCUGUUGUAUCUUCAACCAUUCUUCCCUGGGCGCGGCUGCAUUGUCAUCAUCAGAAUCGACUACGGCAGUGUCAUCCUUCCCGGGAAGCCUCCUCCCUUCUUCAGACACGCACAUUUGUCUGCCAUUAUAUAGAGUUCAUUGACGGACUUCGGCAGGUGGAUAUGCAUCUUAUCCCACAUCUCGCGAUUGCGCACAUUCGUGUGGAAUGCGGCAAUCACCACCGUGGGGUGGAUAUCCAGUAUGCUGUGAUGCACACGACUGAAUCUCUAGAUGUACUUGCGUAGGUUCUCUCCUUCCUUCUGUGGGAUCAUUUACAAGUCGAUGGGUAACCCUGGACCUUUCUGUCCCCCGGUAAAAACACCAACAAACUCAUUGCAAAGAUCUGACCACGAGGAAACAAAGUUUUCUCGCAAGUUCAUUAGCCCAGACCUCAUGUUGGGCUUGAGUACCAACGGGAAGUAGUUGUAUAGGACUUUCUUGUCCCUUGUUCCGACGCCUUGCACAACAAUUGUAUAAAUGCCCAAGAACUCUACCGAGUUCCGAUUACUGUCGUACUUUUCCUUGACCUCGAGCUUGAACGUGUGGAGGGAUGGCCAGCGGACUUGCCGUAGCUCACGUGUGAAGGUGGGGCACCCGACCUCGUAAGUUAAGUACUCACCAACAACGGGCGCUGGCUCAUCGAUGACUGGACCGUUGCGCUUGUGUGAUUGACGGUGCGCCUCCCGAUGUUGUUGGAUGGUAGUGCGAGCAUCUUCUGCUCGUCUGUCCAGCAACACCUUCCUCUGAUCUUGUUGCAUCUGCGGGUCUGAGGAAGCCAUUGAUGCAUCAUCGGGCUGUGCAUCUCGCUAGGCCCGCUGCGAGUGCCGAUGCUACCGCUGAGACUGUUGCCGAGGAGGUGAUUGCACCAUGGGUGCACCACCUACCACACGACCUUCAGUUUGAGGCGUAGACAUAGUUGGCCAACGCCGCAAAGGCUCUGCCAGCUGGGACCUGUUGCCAACAGCAAACUCGACCAAACUCCUGAUGGUGGCUCUCCACUCAUCCAUCUUGUGAGCUACCGGAGGAAAAUCCAGCAACAUCUGUGCUCACCCCAUCACCUCCAUCGCCAUUGAAGGAUGUUGGAAUGCGAAGAGCACGACGUCGCUCAACUCUUCGCAGAGCCAGCAGGAGCGUUAUUGCGUUCUUGUCACCAUGCCGUGAGGGCAACAACGAGUUGGCAUGGCGGAAGCGGCGCCCGAGGGUCUUGAGUUUGGUCGACGGGUGAUUUGCCAUGCCGGUGUUGCUGUGGAGGCACAACAACACCACUUGGUGUCACAUCGCGCUCAUCUUGCGAUGAGUGCGGAGUGUGUUUUGAGGUCGCUCCCAUGGCCGUCGUUGGUGCUGCCGCAGCGGGAGGGUCGCGGUUCAUGCCCAAUCGAGUGGGGUUGCUCUGGUGGCUAUGUUUGCGGGCACAAGGAGGAGGCAGGGGUAGAGCACCCACGUCACCCGUGCCAUGAACGUCGUUUUCACCUGACCGUUGAGGUAAGCAUCCGCCUCCAACAUCCCCACCGCCUGCUCCUGUUGCCGCAGGCUUGGCGACCGCGCUACCUGUGUCGGUCGUGCCCACCACAGUGUUUGCUCCAUCCGCGGCGGUGGCACCGCCUACGCCACCCUCAGAUAAGGGUGAUGGGUGUCGGGACGUAGAAGGCUUGACAACCAUGGAGCCCUUAUUCUUGGGCACCAUGGGUGGUGGUGGUGAUGAUGAACUCGAAGGAAUCGAAGCACCGCCUGCUGCCUCAGUUCUCGCCAACGGAGCCCCUACCCGGUGCAAAAAAGAUGUCAGUAUGGAGCCGACGAUCUAUGGGGUGGGGCUAUCCUUUUGCUGGUUCGGCAGGCGGUCAAUUGGUUCGAAGAGCAAGCACAAUGGGAGACACAACAACUUUACCCAGGUUCGAGCGGCUGAGAAGCGUAAAACCCUACUCCUGUUUUGGUGUAUUGGAUGAAUAUUGAACAAAGUACAUGAAGCGCUCUCCCCCCGGCAAGUCGGUAGGGGAGGGCAUCUGCACGAAUAUCUAUGUGUGUGGGUUGCAAGGGUUCGAAGCCCUGUAAAUGUUGCCCUGGCCCAACUUUUAUAUCUCAAGGGGUUACCACAGUGGCAAAAAGGUCAUUAUAGGGUGAUUAGACUGAUACAGAACUAUCAUACCUAACUCUACAAGUUAGGACGAAAAGUGCAUUAAAUGCACUGCUAGGUGUCGUGUGGAGGGUGAACCCCGGGAGAGAGAAUGCACCACUUAUACACCACCUCAUAUUAGCUUGACAUGCCAUUAGGAUGGGUUUCAAUAAAGGUAAUCCUCCCCCGGCAAGCUGACAUGUAUCGACUGCCUCCACCUAAUCACCUGUGGGCUCAACAUCUUGCUGAUCAGUGACCAGCUGUCCAGAGAGGUGGAGUGCUGGCGUUCUGCGGGAAGUUCGUGCUCGAGGGGCUUGCCGGGCCGCAACUUGCCGGCUUGCUUUUUUCGGGGUUAGUUGCUUUUGUUGUGAAUCCCGUGGCUUUGCUCCAAGCCUUCGUCUUCUUAAUGUGCUCCUUGAUCUCAUGAAGAGCGGCUUCUCUGGUCUGGUUGUGUAUAGAACUUGAUGCUUACCGGGGGGAACGACAAUUCAUCUAUGCAUAAGUCAGGGAAGCAACCGCCCAUGUUCGUUGCACUGACAAUAUGAUAUAUUUGUUUCUAUCAAAUCAUUAUGUAAUACCCUUUUGCCACUCUGGUAACCCCAUGAGCUAUAAAAGGAGGGCUCGGGCAACCUUUACAAGGGUUCAAACCCUUAGCAACCCCACACAUACGUACCUGUGUAGCAGCCUCCCUUUGCUCCUUGCCGGGAGAGAGCGCUCCAUGUACUUGUGCACACACACCUAAUCAAUACACCAAAGUAGGAGUAGGAUUUUACACUUCUUAGCGGCCCGAACCUGGGUAAAAAUUGAUGUGUCCAUUGUUGUUCUUGCUCUUUGCGUGGAGUGCAUCCCCCUUGCCGAACGAGAAAGGGGCAGCAUCGUCCCAUAGAUCGCCAGCUCCACGACGACAUCUUUGGCACGCUGGGUAGGGGUUUCACCGGCGUGAACCAAGGCGAUGAGCAGCACAUCGACUUCAUCGAGUUAACAUCUUAUUCACCUUUCAUGGUGCACAAGAAGAAGGGCUCCAUGAUGACUAAACCUUCAACGUCCAAACUCCCAUCACAUGCGUCUGCGGGCGGUGCAGGCAGCGCUGCCACCGUGGAUGGUGCGGACGCCACGGUGGGCGCGGCCGGCACAGGAGGUGCGAUCGUCGUGCCCACUAUGGUGGAGACGGUCGGAGGAGAUGUUGGAGGCAGAAAUCUGCCUCGGCCCUCCGGUGGAUAGGCGCUGGCGCGUGGCCCCCGCCUCCUCAGUGCAUCGGCGAAAGAAGCCAUCGGAGCCGGUCGGGCGCGAGCCGCAACCCUCCCACUGCUAUGACUCCGGCGACAGUGACCAGGGGAACGACAUCGAGACACAUGUUGUGUCCAUUGCAAGAUGGGCGCGACGUGAUGCCAAGCGGCGUUAUUGUACCUCCACAGUAGCGCCCGCACGGCAAGAUGCCUGUCGAUUAGAUCCAAGAUCUUCAAGCACCACUCCCGCCACGCCAGCCUGCUGUCACUCUCAUAGUUCGAUGAGAAGAUCAUAACGUAGCUCUUGUUAGCUCUACCAGGAGUCGAGCGACGUCACGUUCUUCAAGUUCCAACAUGCCUUCUAUAGCAACAGAAGAGAUGGCGCGCGCUCAGAUGCUGUUAGAUUUCCCUCCAGUAGCUGACAAAAUGGACGAGUGGAGAGCCACUAUCCGGAGCUUCAUCAAGUUUGCCUACGCAAACAGUUCCUAGUUGGCAGAACCCUCGCGGCGGCAGCUAAACUAUGCACAUAGCUCAAACUGAUGGCCGUGUGGCACGUGAUGCACCAACGGUGCAAUCACCUCCAAGACAUCAAUCCCAACAGCAACACAGGCAAUCACAGUAGACCCAGUAGAAUGCAUAGCCGACGAUGUGUCGAUGGGCUCCUCAGAUCCGCAGAUGGAGCAAGAUCAGCGACAAGUGCUGCUGGACAGGUGAGCAGAGGAUGCUUGCACCACCAUUCAAUAACCUCAGGAGGCGCGCCAUCAGUCAGACGAGCGCAAUGGCCUAAUUGUCGAUGAGCCAGCACCUGUUGUUGGCGGGUACCUGCCUGACGAGGUUGGGUGCCCUACCUUCAUACAUGAGCUGCCGCAUGUCCGUUGGCCGUUUGUCCGUGCGUUCAAGCCCGAAGUACCAGAAAAGUACGAUGCCAAACUAAACUCGGCAGAAUUCUUGGGCAUUUACGCAAUCAUUGUACAAGCUGGUGGAGGAAGGGAUGAAAAGAUUUUAGCCAACUAUUUCCCGUUGGUGCUCAAGCCCAAUGUGAGAGCUUGGCUGAUGAACUUGCCGGAGAACUCCAUUUCCUUGUGGUCAGAUCUAUGUAAUGAAUUUGUUGGUGCCUUUACCGGAGGACCGAAGGGCCCCGGAUUUCCCAGUGACUUGCAAGUGAUCCCACAAAAGGAAGGACAAGAUCUGUGUAGGUACAUUCAGAGGUUCAGUCGUGUACACCGUAGCAUCCAAGAUGUGCACCCAGCAGCUGUGAUUGCCGUGUUCCACACGAACUUGCACAACUGCUAGAUGCGGGAAAAGAUGCACGUACGGUUACCGAAGACCAUCAAUGAGAUUUACACGUUGGUGGAUAAAUGUGCGUGGGCUGAAGUGAGGAGAAGGCUUCCUGAGGAAGAUGCUGGCAUUGAAGUCGACACUGAUGACAACGAUGCCACCGCCCCGAAGAAGAAAGGACGAAGGCGCAAUAGAAAGCACAAAGGAAAAUCAGAGAUGGCUGUAGAGGGAUCCAACAAUUCUAGCCCUGCCAAGAAAACCAAGACGAAAAGCACUGGCAAGGACGCAGCUGUGUGAGGUGAUUGCCAGGUUGCUGCGGUGGGGGAGAAGGCCGAUAAAUCUAACGGGUCGUACUGCAAAAUCUACCAUACUAAGGGUCAUGACCUGCAGGAGUGUCAUCAAGUUGAACAUCUAGUUGAGAAAUAGAAAGCUGAGCACAAGAAGCAGGACAAGGAGAAGGGCCAGGACGGUUCGGGUGGAUCCAGUAAGAAGGGUCACGGUGGUCGAGGUGGACGCCGUGGUAAUGCUAACGAGAACAAAGAAAAGCCCGCCAGGGGCAGAGAGAAAAAAGAUGAGGAUGAUGAGAGUGAGAAUGAGGAUGAUGAGAGUGAGAAUGAGGAUGAUGAUGAGUCUAGUGAACUGGAAUUCCAUAAGGCAACAGAGGCCAUGUGCAUUGACUGGGGAGCAUCUUUGCACUCCUCUCACCGCCAGCUCAAGCAAUUAGUGUGUGAGGUCAAUGCAGCGGAGCCAGAAGUAGAUGCCAGAAAACCCCUCAAGUGGUCCCACACGCCUAUUAUUUUCGACGCCGAGGACCACCCUGAUCGCACAACAGCGAUCGGGUGUUUGCCAUUGUUUGUCUCACCAACAAUAUGUAGCCUUAAGGUCACAGAAAUACUAGUUGACUAUGGGGCUAGCUUGAACUUGAUCUCCUCUGAGGCGAUCAAGAGGCUGCAAAUUCCUAGGGAAGAGCUCAAGACGACCAAAACGUUCCAAGGAAUCAACCUGGGAAGGAGCCAACCAAAGGGAAAGAUCACGUUGCCGAUGACGUUUGGCGGGGAGCUAAAUUACAGGACCGAGAAAAUCAUGUUUGACAUUGUUAACAUCCCCUUGCCAUUUAAUGGAAUUCUUGGUCGCCCAGCCUUGGCCAAGUUCAUGGCAGCAUCACACUAUGUUUACAAUACGCUAAAGAUGCCAGGGCCCAUGGAUUUCAUCUCCAUCAACUCUGACAAGAUAGUUGCAGUUAUAUGCAUAGAUAAGCUCUACAGAGGAGCGGUGGCAGCGGAGUCCGUCAAGAUAACCACUCCUACCAAGGAAAAGAAAAGCCAGAAACCCAGUAAGACAUCUAGUGAGGCUUCCGAGAGACGCACCUCCUCGGAGUGCCACGUACCCGUUGAGGACUUGCCAGAAAGCUCUGUUGGCAAGAGGUCCAAAGUUAAUCCACCUACGACAAAGAAGCUGCGAGUGAGGGACGACGGCACUAGCGGCGCUUUCAUUGUUGGUGCCACUCUUGACAACAAAUAGGAAAGCGCGCACAUUGCCUUCCUACGAGCGAAUGUAGACGUGUUUGCAUGGAAACCAUCUGACAUCCCCGGUGUUCCCAGGGAGGUAAUCGAGCACCACCUUGCCGUCUGCCCGCAUGCUCGAUCCAUCAACUAGAAAGUUAGGAAGCAAGCUUUGGAACGGCAACAAUUUAUAGCAGAAGAAAUUAAGAAACUCGAGGCAGCAUGAUUGGUUAGAAGAGUGCUACAUCCAACUCAGUUGGCAAAUCCAUUUGCCGUGCCCGAGGCAAAUGGGAAGUGGAGGCUUUGCAUUGACUACAUUGAUCUCAACAAGGCAGUUCCCAAGGAUCCUUCCCCUUGCCACGCAUUGAUCAGAUUGUGGACUCCACUAAUGGUUGUGAUUUGCUCUUGUUUCUUGAUGCAUACACCGGAUAUUCAUGUCAAAAGAAGAUGAGGAGAAAACCGCAUUCAUUACUCCAUGUGGUACGUAUUGCUUUCUACAUAUGCCUUUCGGACUAAAGAGUGUUGGUUCAAUGUUUGCAAGAGCAGUUCAAAUUGGUUUUGAACCAUCACUACUAGGGAAAACCUUAUACACAGAAUCUUAGCAGCAGCGCAGCUCAAAAAGAGGCACUACGGCUACUUAGCAGUAGCGAUCUUCAGAAAAGCGCGCUGCUAAUGAAAAUUUAGUAGUAGCGCUUGAUGGAUAAACCGCGCUGCUACAAAAAUGUACCGACAGAACCCAAUAACCUCAGUUUACCAGCAGUGCGGUGGCGCGAUGCGCGCUACUGCUAAAGCACUACUAGUAGCGCGCUUUUUUGUCACGUCGCUGCUGCUAAUUUUGAAAUUGUCCUCACAGUUGGCCCGUUUAGCAGUAGCGCGUGUUUGUAAAGCGAGCUGCUACUACACGCUUAGCAGUAGCGCUCUUUUCCUCCCGCGCUACUGCUAAGGCGCAGCACCCCACCACCUUUUCCCCACCCGUCCUCCCCUCCCCCAUAUCCUCUCCUCCCUUUCCCAUACCUCCCACAUCCUCCCUCUCUCACUCUUCUUCUUCCUCAAGACUUCUCCCCCAUUACUCUCCCUCUUCUACCUACCUUUCUCUCUCUUCAUUACUCCUAGCUAACUACACCACCUCCAUUAAUGCAUCUCCUUUAUCUUUUUCCUUCCCACCACUAGUUGAAGUUGUCUCCUCCCAAAUUAGCUAGCUAGGUAGAUGUAGCAUUUAUUCAAGUGACCUAUUUGCCCCCUAACUAGAUCUAUCUUUGUCAAGAAGAGCUUUGUGCACUUUUGAUCUCCCUACAUCAUCAUCUCCACCGUGUGCUCGAUCUCGAGAUAGAGCUGAUUAAAAUUUCAUGCUUUUGCAAAAUGGAAAUAUGUGUAUGUGUGUGUGAUAUGAUAAUUGGCAAUAUUAUGGAAAUUGUGUGUGUGGCAUGAGUUGAUGCCAAAUUGUGCUUUUGAGUUGCCUAUGUUUUGCCGAAAUGUCAAUUUAUUUCUGUUUCGGCGAAUUCCGGGCAAACUCUAGAUCUAUAUAUGUCCUAUUUUUAGGGAAGGUCAUGCCGAAUUUUUGUAUGACUUUGAUGCAUGCACUCAUUUUUAUAAUCAAUUUGUUUUUUAUUAUCGUGCAGACGUUCAUGAUGGUCAGUGGAACGAUGGUGGACAGGUGGUUGCGGUCGGCGGUGCAGGACAUGAAAGAAAAUAACCGGACAGAGGUUUUAUGUCCAUGUCGAAAAUGCAAAGGAAUAGUUUGGCUCGACCCCUGUGAUGAUGGUCGUGUCGAAGCGCACCUGCUCAUGACUGGUUUCAUGGAUGGCUAUACUCAGUGGAUAAUUGAAGAUGAGGAUGAUGAUGUUGAGGACGCCAACGGGGCAGGCAAUGAUGACACGGGGCAAGACGAAGAGAUGAUCGAUAAUGGCGGCGGGGAAGAGGCUGGACAUGGCGGCGGAGAAGGGGCCGGACAUGGCGGAGGAGAAGGGGCCGGACAUGGCGGCGGAGAGAAUGUCAUGGACUCCACGCAGCAGAGUUUGUCGGUACUAAGUUCAAUCGUGCGGGACCCUCAUGUUCAAGCAUUGCUUCGCAAGGAGACGAGUACUGAGAGAGCUGCUUCUAGAGAGGAGGCUAAGCUGGAGCAACUGGUGGUAGACUUGAACACUCCAUUAUAUGAUGGUUGCAAUCCUGAGGUGACCCGCUUGAGUUUCACGCUCCAACUCCUGAAGACGAAGGCUAAAAACAAAUGGACCGAGCCUAGCCUCGAUGAGCAUCUCAAGUACCUAAAGGAUGUUCUUCCCGUGGGGAAUCUAUGUCCUACUAGUGUUGAUGAGUCCAAGAAGAUCGUGUGCCCUCUUGAUCUGCCACAUGUUAGAUACCAUGCAUGCAUCAACGAUUGCAUAAUUUAUCGGAAGGAGCACGCGGAAAAAACAAGCUGUCCGGUGUGCAAUGCUUCUCGAUACAAGAAGGCCAGGAAGAAAUGUCCCCAGAAAGUUGUAUGGUACUUACCGAUCACUCCCCAUCUCCAGCGGUAUUUUGUAGAUCCCAAGGAAGCAAAGCUAAUGCGCUGGCACACGGAGAGGAAGACGUCCGACGAUGGAGAUGAUCCGAAGCUGAGACACAUCAAGGAUGGAAGCCAGUGGAGAGCGUUGAACAUCUUCUAUCGGUAUUUUGAAUGUGAUGCAAGGAACAUCGUGCUCGGCGCGUGUCCCGAUGGCAUGAAUCCGUUUGGCAACCAGAACACCAACCAUAACACAUGGCCAAUGUUUGUAUGGAUGUACAACCUCCCCCUGGUUGUGCAUGAAGUCGACAUACAUCCACAUGAGCAUGCUUAUUCAAGGGCCGAAACAACUAGGAAAUAAUAUUAAUUUGUAUCCGGGGCUACUUCAAGAGGAGUUAGACACGUUAUGGAAAACACUGACCAAGACAUGGGACGCCAGCAAAGGCGAGUAUUUCUACAUGAGAGCCGCGCUGAUCACGACGGUGCACGACUAUCUUGGUUACAGAUAUGUCGCAGGCUAGGUGUGCCAUGGAUAUUGCGGAUGCAUGCAGUGCAUGGAUGAUACAACGUCUCAGCAGCUAACGUCAAGGAAAGAUGGCGGGUCUGGGAAAAUCGUGUACAUGGGGCAUCGAAGAUGGCUCGAACAGGACGACCCAUGGAGAAACCAUGGAGAUCUAUUCAAUGGUCACACUGAGCAUCGAGGACCUCGACGUAAGCAGAGCAGUGCCGAAAUCGAUGAGCUGUUGAAAAACUGGAAGGAGUGCCCCGCACUGGGAAAGACGAUGAGAAAGGUGCCGGAGCCGCUGCUGAAGGUAUGGAAGACGAGGUCUGUGUUCUAGGACUUGGAGUACUUGCACAAACUUGAUACACCUCAUUGCCUUGAUCAAAUGCAUAUCUGUAAGAAUGUCCUUGAGAGCUUGCUCGCGACACUGAUAAACAGGCCGGAUAAGACCAAGGAUGGGCCGAAGGCAAGAAAAGACUUGCAAGAUUUGAAAAUCAGGGAAGAUCUGCACAUGCUGCCCCGUAAAAUGUCAGACGAGACAGAGACGGAGACAGAGGCACGGGAGAAGAAGGGCAAGAAAAUAAAGAAAGAGGAUUAUUGCCCCCCUUCUUGCUUCACCUUAAGUCAGGCUGAGAUCGGUCAAUUCUUUAAGUGCUUACCGGAGUCAAAGUUAGUUCCGGUUACUGUGGUAAGAUAAGCAGAUAUCUAGACACGGACAAGAAAAGGUUCAGCAGGAUGAAGUCCCAUGACUGUCAUGUGAUGAUGAUGCAGAUACUACUUGUUGCCCUUAGAGGGAUUAUGGACAAGCACGUCCGUGACACGCUUAUUGGUCUCUGCAACUUUUUCGACGUCAUCUCUCGAAAGUCGAUCAGUGUGAAGCAACUCCGAAGGCUACAGGAAGAGAUCGUUGUCAUACUGAAUGAGCUUGAGAUGUACUUCCCACCCGCGUUCUUUGACGCGAUGGUGCAUCUAUGUGUCCAUAUUGUGGACGCCAUAAUAGACCUGGGGCUGUCAUUUCUGCACAACAUGAUGCCGUUUGAGAGGAUGAAUGGGAUCAUCAAAGGAUUCAUUCAUAACAUGUCCCGUCCAGAUGGAAGCAUCGUCCAGGGCUAUCUGACACAAGAGUGCAUCUCUUUCCACGAGAAUUUUCUAUAUGGUGCAGACCUGCAGCCACCUGGUGUUAGUGUUGGUUUGCCCGUUAACAAGCACGAUGGGAGGCUCGAAGGAGAAGGUCACUCCAACGGUCGCAGGGAACUGCACGUGGCAUACUCAGAUCGACGCAACGACUUUGAUAGAGCAAACUUGGUAGUGCUACAACACGUAGACGAGGUAGAUCCUUUCGUGGCACUGCACCAAGAAAUUAUCGCAAAGAAGUAUCAUGACCGGGGGGUAUGCAGGAUGGACACCGAAGUUACUAGAGAGCACAACUCCACUUUCCUGCAUUGGUUCAAAGAGCAUAUUAUCCUAAUCCCCCGGAGGAGGGCUCUAAGGACGGAUUGCUCAUAUACGCCUUAGCACAUGGCCCCUCGCCCAACCUUGUAACCUAUCAGACAUACGAUAUCAACGGAUACACGUUCUACACGGAGGCCAAAGAUAUGGACAGUGAUGAUCAGAACUCAGGGGUGACGAUGGAAUGCAUGACCGAAUCCGACAACGGUGGAGCUAAAAGAUUUUACGGAAGGGUCGAGGAGAUCUGGGAGCUUGACUACGCUGGACUGCACAACACGACGAUGUUCCAUGUCAGAUGGGCUAAGAAUGUCGAAAGAGAAAACCGGAAUUUCACUACCAUGACUAUACCCGACGCCAAGAGCGCUACCGCGAACGCUAUCGCAAAAAACGAGCCAUGGGUACAUGCUAAGCACGUGACACAAUGCUUCUUCAUAACUGGCCCGUGCAAUCCCAGCCGUGUUGUCGUGAGGAGAGGAAAAAGGAACAUCAUUGGAAUGGAUGGAGUCGCCUACGAGGAAGACUACGAUCAGUAUGGCAACCCAAUGAGGGAAGAUGACGAUGAUGAUGAAGUAUACGUCAAAAGAAGAAUCAAUACUACAUUACCUAAGAAAAAUCGUACUCCAUGGAAAAGGCAAAGUCACAAUGAGGGGCUCAAUUAUUGUUCAAUGAACAAGAAGGGAAAGAAGCUGACUCAAAAACGAAAAUGUCAAUGCUCUAUGGUUACAGUUUUUGCGAAAAGCCAAUUUUUCCCUACUGCAAAGGAAUAGAUUUUAUUUAACUAUCAUUGUGGUUGUUAAACAUUGAGAAUGGUUGACAGCAUUCUCAAUCCCAAUUAAACAUCAUCAUUAAAACCCAACAAAAUUAAUUAUAAGUAACAUGAUGAGAUCACAUGAUAAUCCAAGUACUAGAUACUCAAAACGUCCAUAACCGGGGACACGACUAAUCAUGAUUAGUUUGUACACUCUGCAGAGGUUGCGCACUUUUCCCCACAAGACUCGAUCGCCUCUGUUUGUUUUCUCGCACUACAUGGUGUUUGAGAAACGGAUGACCGAGACAUAGUCUUUCAGAAGCGCUAGCACCUUACAAUUGGGUAGACCGUACCACCUACAUCCCUACAUCUGCUAGUCUACCACUGUAAGAGUUCACACGACUUACUCAGCUAUGCUAGAGCCCAUAAUAGCAUGUGGCUGCACACGGAAGUUUCUAGCAUCAAUAAUCUUAUGAUCCCUAUGAGCCUGGGUGGCGGCCCAAAAAAAACAGGCAAUCCUGGUCUACCCAGGUGCCUAGACAGGCAAUCCUGGAAUAACCAGGUACCUCAAUCCACCCAGAUGUGUAUUAAUGUUGCCACCUUAAAUAAACCAUUAAAUUAACAAUCUCACAUCUGUCAUGGAUAUUCACUCAAACCCAAUCCACCUCUACGAGCAUAGCAUGGCAUAAUAAGCAAACGUAGAAGUAACUCCCAAGGGUUUGAUAAUAAAACAGGUAAUAGGUACUACCUCAAACUACUUCCCAAAACCCACAAUUUAAUUAGUUCCUAAUCAUGCAAUUGUUUGAGGAUUGAUCUAAUGCAUAAAAAUUGGGUAGUAAAGGGAUAUGAUCAAAGUGUGAACUUGCCUGUACUGUUGAUGAAGAUGAUUCGCACUCAACUCCUGAUAGUUCUAUUCGUCUCACUCCGUUCAAUCUAUCGUAAGCAAGCAAUAGUAACCACACAUAAGCAAUCACUCAAAAGAUCGGAAAGAACGAAGAAAACAAAUCAGAAAACUUCAAAACCAAACAAAUAACUCUUGCAACAGAAAACAAUUUCUAACAGUACCAAAAUUAUGUGAAUUUGGCCUUAUCAGAAAGUUUAGGGCAAGAGCUUCGAUUUGCAAAAAGAAUCAACUAAAACGGAAUUAUAAAACUCCAGUUACGAUCAUACAAAGUUCAAGUACUAAACUGUUUGAAAUUGAAAUUUUACACUUUCAAAAACAUGUUUAAGUUGUUUAUCUGGAUAGAGGGGAUCAUAACGAAGAAGUGGGCAUUGGUUUCGUUGGAUUUGGAUAAAAGGUUGAAAAGUAGUGAGCGUUUGAAGAUUAGGGACUAAUCUGUGAAGAAACUAAUUACAUACGGGUCCCUGGCAGAAAACUAAAAUAAAAGAAAAAGACUAAAUAGCGAACGCUCGUCACCGAUCGCUACCGAACCCUAGCUAAGGAACGCUCACAAACUAAACUAAAUAAAACCGAUCUAGAACUAUAAAGAAAAACCGGGCGGGUUUUUAGAAGUUAUACCGGCUUGGGCGGUUCAGGGCGGUUUACGGCGAAAAACCGACGGUGGCGGUUUGGAUCGGGGCGGCGGCUCCGGCGAGGCUGCGGACUCCGGCGAGUGCGGCGAUGACGGGAUGGCGCGGUGGCGAGGCGCAGAUGCGGCUCCGAUGGGCGUCGUCCUCGUCCUCGGCGGCGGGGCAAGGCGCGGGUGGCUCCGGCGAGUGCGCGGGGCGGCGGCGGCAAAGUGCAGCGGUGGAGGUGAGAUCCGGCGCCGGCGGCGUGUUGCGAGGAGAGGUGAGGCGAGGAGAGAGAGGGGCCCGGGGCGGCGCCCUUUAUAGGAGGGGAGGGGAGGCGCAAGGCGUGGAGGAGGGGGCAAGGUGGCGGGGCGGCGCCGGACUCCGGGAGGAGUCCCGGUCGGGGAUGACAGGCGAGGCGGUGCGGUGCUGGGCCUUGGCCUGGCUGGAGCGGGGCCGGCCCAGUUCGGCGGAAGAAAGUUUUCUCUUUCUUUUUGUUUUCUUUUUUAAACAAAUUUUCAGAAAAUAAAAUAAAACCAAAAUAAAUAAAUAAAUACUAUAGGCAUAUAAUAUAUCAAAAUUUUCAGAAAAAGAUUUCCUACAUCAUGAACAUUAUUCUAGCGUCAAAUAAAAUCCACAAUAAUUUUAAUAAUUCAAACGGUGCUACUGACCUAUUUAAAACCCAAUAAAAUCAUUUUAAAAAUACCAAAAUUAAUUCAAAUUUAUUUUUCUCCAAUUUUCUACUGGAGGGAAUCAUGUUACCCUAAUUUCCAUAUAUUUUAUUUUUUGAGAAAAAAUAAUUUGAAUAAAACCCAAAUAACUCCAAAUUGAAAAUAAAUUCAAAAGAAGUUUGAAUUUAAUUCUUUGAAACUCCCAACUCAUAUUUCAUGUGUUUUGAAGAAGUCAUUUUAUCUUCGCUCGUGAAAAUCAUUGAGUUGCAUAAAGUUCCUGGGUUGGAAAUAUUUUCCAAAUGAAAUUCAAUUAUUUUCAACACCCCUUGUCAUUUAAAUAAAUGGAAGAAGUCAUGUCAUCUUCUCUCCAUGGUUUUGUGGUGAAAAGAAUUUGAAUUCAUGGAGAUCAAAAUGCAAAAUAAAAGUUUGGGAAAGUCCUUUUAUUCCCUCUCAUUUAACUUUCAAAAGUUUCGAAUUUCACUCAAUCAAUCACACAACAAUCAAACAAACAAUCAAAUCUAUCUAUUUAAUAUAACAUUCCAAAAUUUAGAAUUUUGGGAUGUUACAAACCUACCACCCUUAAAAUGAAUCUCGUCCUCGAGAUUCGGAGAGGCUAGAAAGAAAUAGGUUAGGGUCGGGGUCUUCUCAAAAUCCAUCGAUCAUCACAGGGGGUCUGGGGUACUACCACCCUUAGAAACAUUGUUACAGUUCCAUUAAAACUCAUAUACUCCAUCCUUAUUGUUGACAUUGUCAGUUUCUCAGAUUCUCGGGAAAAAUUCCUUCUCUGGGAUCUUCGGGUAGUGGCAUAACCUUUUCCUCAAUUCUUUUGUCCUUUCGUCUUGGUACGUUUCUUCUGGGACUGGGUAUUCAUAGCUGACGGGUCUGGCGCCAAUACUAAACAACUAUCGAUAUCUCAUGGUGGUCAACAAUUUAUGGUUGCUCCUGCAGGAAAUGGGUCUGGGUUGAACCUCACCGUAUAUCCUACGAUUGGCAACAACUGUCAUUUACAAGGAAAAGUACUUAUACCAUUCUAAGGAUUAAACAAGGUUUUGAUCGUCGUCUCUCUACUAUGGGUAAGUCACUCAGAUUUACCGUCCCACAUAGCAAGGCGAAUAAUAAGAGUAAGUCGGUAUGGUGAUCAAUCCAUCCCGCACCCAAAUCAUUACCUUGUAUACGGUUUAGCGAAUCUCGCAUGCUAACACUCGGUCAUCCUCACAAGCAUUGCAGAAUUUCUCUUGUCGAUGAACCAAGUUCGGAUAAAUCCAUUGAUUCUGCAAGUCAAACAAACGUCUAUCGUUCCUUCACAACUCUCGGGUUUUGUGUAAACUCCUAUAAGAUUGUCUGCCGACAAAAUCGUAACUUCUUCUUCUAGGGUUUUUCCUUCAGCAAGAGUGUGCUUGCUUCUUGGCAGGUCCUGGGGCCUGUGGGUUAUGGCCCAUCUCAUCACUUGUAAACCUUGAACUCAUCAUCGGGGCAACUGAUCAUUACUCCAAACAUCAAAGUUCUUAGCAUUCUUAAACCCAUCCAAUUGUACUGUCUCCCUUCCUUCGGUUGGUACCAAACUAAACGUGAUUACUCAGACUCAUCAGAGAGUCACCGUUGCUCCAUAUUACCAACAUCAUACUCCUUUAUAUCCAAAUAGUACUUCAUUCAUUCAUACUCUUGGGGUAUCCCACAUAUCGAGACAAAACUCCUUCUUAUUUUGUCCGAAGUCCACUCCGUGGAAUAUCAUAAUCCUUUCCAGGGGUCAAAUCUCCUCAUAGGGUACUACCACCCUUAAAAUGCUCCAAUCUCAUCCAUAGACCAUAUUUCUCAUAUCCUCGAAAAUGGUCAAAAUCUUUCUUCAUAGAGUAACAACUCAUAAAAUCCAAAUCAGUGCCAACGAUGAUAACUUUAUUGACACUCCAAUUACUACAAUCUCCUGUAUUUCUAUUACAUGCCUCAACUCAACACCUCAAUGUAAAAGAAUUGUUCCCACUACUACUACUACUACAUUUCUUAUGUUGCAAACUCAACUAUUUAUCACAAGUCUCCUUCUCUUUGGGACAAUCCCUGGCAAAGUGCCCUGCUUCAUUACAAAAGAAACAUAUUACUACUGACAAGUCUUGAGGUUUCCUUAUGACUACAUAGCCUCCUUGGGUCCUCGACUUCCUUUUUCGACAUCUAUCGGCGUAUUAACCUAAAUCCUUGCACCUGUAACAGGUGACAUGACUCAGAUCCUUCUCUGCAGAAAUUGGGUUGUUCCUAGAAUCCAAUCUAUUUCUCUUCAUGGACUUUUCCAUUCCAAUCAGGGCUUCUAUUUCCUAUGGGUCAUACUCUACUUCCUCCAUCGAGAAUUCUACUAGAUCCCCAUUCAGACAAUUUUGGGAGAUAGGUCCUUCUUCUCCACAUGAAUAGCAUGACUUAAUGCAGGCUUUAAUUUUGAUUCCUUUGUGUGCGUCCUCCACCUCUUCCUUCAUCAUAGGUUCUUCUAAAGUUUCCUUGAGGGCUCCUUUCUUCUGCUGGAUGGUUCGGUAAAUGUGACACUGGGCAGGGUAGUGGGUAGUUCCUUCACACAAGAAACAAGUAAUCUGCCCAGUUGGGCAUUCUUCAGCUAGGUGACUUCCUUCAUAAUUUGGGCAUUCAUCCUUGUGCUCCUUAUGGUUGUGUCCUAUUUCUCCACAAAGCUUGCAUGCACAAGAUUUCUUCAUAUCCUUUCCAUAAGGCUUCAUCUUCUGAGACACAAGCCGGGACUUUAGCAAGGUCAACUUAAAUUCCUUCCAAGUGGUUACUCCUUGCCAUCCAUUGAUGGUUUGGUACAUCCUCCACCAAGUAGCAACACCUCUUUCAAAGCAUUGAAGAGCAUACUGGGCCAUAUCCUUUCCGUCUAUAGGGUUAUCCUUCAUAUGAUCCUCCAUGUUCUGAAUCCAUCGGUCCGUCUCCAAUUGACUCGUCAAUCCAGAAAAUAUGGGUUCAUCUCCAUUCAUCCUCUAUUGGGUCCAUGGGUUUUGGGGUGGGAUAAGAGAGAUAGGGAGGUAUGCACACAAUACAAACAAUAGUUUUAAAAAGGGCAUUUUUAUUUUGUGGCUGUCGGAAAAAUCAAACAAAUGACAGCUCACAAACAUCGCAUCUAACGUAAGUAUGUAACAGGGGUUUGGUCUUCUAAAGGUCAACAAAUCUUCAAAGUCGCCAAACUCUUCAAGUCUUGUUCAUGUCUCCGAUGGCUUCUUCCGAUCCUGCUUGUCCUUCUCAAGUUCUUCUAUCAGGUCAUUUCUGUUAAUGCAAAGUCUGUCAUGACAUCCUUUAAUAUUCUGGAGUUCCGUUCCAAACUUCUGGGUUUCAACAUCCUUGGCAAUGAGCCAUGGUCCUACUGUCCUUUAGUUCCUGACAAAUCUCUGGUAUGUUGAGGUUUAGCUCCUACAGCUUGGCUACUUUCAGCUUCUGGUUCUUGAAUUCUUCACGAAUUGUUCCAUGUCAAAUAUGACUUCCUAAAGGUCCAUCUUAAACUUCUUGAAUGUAAUACUCCAGAUCCUGGUGAUACACCAGAUAAUAUUAAAACUGCAUCUUUUGCUGACAGAUGCUCCAUCAUCCUUCUACCAUCCAAUCCUUCCAUACAUCUGCAUGCUUACUCUGCACGGUGACAAUAGCAUAAGCGAGCGAUAGCAUCAUGGAUAUCCGUGUUUAUGCCCAUGUUUGUGCCAUGAGCUAUCAUUCCAUAGUUGAUAUCCCAUGUCUUGGGGUUUUCUUGACAAAACUUUGAGUUCUACUGCUCCAUGUUCUGGUCUUUCUCCGAUACGCCUUGAUCUCGGGUAUUGACAACUUCUAUAGUCUGACAAGCUCUAUUAGAGUAGCCUUCCUAGGUCAUACCAAUCUGGAAAUUCUUCAAAGCCUUCAAAUUCUUAGUCUUCGGAGUCUUCACCGUUGUAUUUUCCGUCAUUGUAAUGAACGGUAAAAAUCCUUUUUAUUCCAAGUGGUCUUAAUUGUCCGAUAUCUUGUACUUCUUGGAGUGGUCUCAUCAGUCGAAUCUUCGAGGGGUCAAAAAGGGAAAAGGGGUAUGGUCUCACUAAAAAGGAAUAUUUGAAUAAGCUCAGAAGAGAAGAGAGGUAAAAGAUUCUUUUGAAAAGAAAGUUGUACAGAAAAAUCUUUCCUAUGGGCUUGCCAGUUUCUAGGGUCACGUCCUACAGCCGACAUGUGCUCUGAUACCAUCUUGUAGCGACCCGACCCGAAUGGAUCGAAUCUCUGUGCUUAAGUGUCAUCCCUGGAUCGGCAUGCUGAUACACACAAUACUCGAGGAUUUAUAACAGAGGUAAAUCACAUGUAUAAAGUAACGUAAAUAAUAUUACCUCAAAUCCACAUAGCGAAAGUAACAAGGUUGUGGAUUCCCAUCAACACCAACGGCAAAGUUGAGUGUAGAAACCGUAACCCUAACCUAUCACUUACUCGUCGUAAGAAUCCUGCAACAUGAGACAUUGCAGCCAUGUAGAUCAGUACAUUGAAUGUACUGGCAAAUUCACACCAUAGAGCAAUGUUGAAUAAAGGCUAUCACUACAUGCAUAUAUGGUUGGUGGAAAGCUCUAUGGUUACAGUUUUUGCGAAAAGCCAAUUUUUCCCUACUACAAAGGAAUAAAUUUUAUUUAACUAUCAUUGUGGUUGUUAAACAUUGAGAAUGGUUGACAGCAUUCUCAAUCCCAAUUAAACAUCAUCAUUAAAACCCAACAAAAUUAAUUAUAAGUAACAUGAUGAGAUCACAUGAUAAUCCAAGUACUAGAUACUCAAAACGUCCAUAACCGGGGACACGGCUAAUCAUGAUUAGUUUGUAAACUCUGUAGAGGUUGCGCACUUUUCCCCACAAGACUCGAUCGCCUCCGUUUGUUUUCUCGCACUACAUGGUGUUUGAGAAACGGAUGACCGAGACAUAGUCUUUCAGAAGCGCUAGCACCUUACGAUUGGGUAGACCGUACCACCUACAUCCCCUACAUCUGCUAGUCUACCACUGUAAGAGUUCGCACGACUUACUCAGCUAUGCUAGAGCCCAUAAUAGCAUGUGGCUGCACACGGAAGUUUCUAGCAUGAAUAAUCUUAUGAUCCCUUUGAGCCUGGGUGUCGGUCCAAAAAAAACAGGCAAUCCUGGUCUACCCAGGUGCCUAGACAGGCAAUCCAGGAAUAACCAGGUACCUCAAUCCACCCAGAUGUGUAUUAAUGUUUCCACCUUAAAUAAACCAUUAAAUUAACAAUCUAACAUUUGUCAUGGAUAUUCACUCAAACCCAAUCCACGUCUACGAGCAUAGCAUGGCAUAAUAAGCAAACGUAGAAGUAACUCCCAAGGGUUUGAUAAUAAAACAGGUAAUAGGUACUACCUCAAACUACUUCCCAAAACCCACAAUUUAAUUAGAUCCUAAUCAUGCAAUUGUUUGAGGAUUGAUCUAAUGCAUAAAAACUGGGUAGUAAAGGGAUAUGAUCAAAGUGUGAACUUGCCUGUACUGUUGAUGAAGAUGAUUCGCACUCAACUCCUGAUAGUUCUACUCGUCUCACUCCGUUCAAUCUAUCGUAAGCAAGCAAUAGUAACCACACAUAAGCAAUCACUCAAAAGAUCGGAAAGAACGAAGAAAACAAAUCGGAAAACUUCAAAACCAAACAAAUAACUCUUGCAACAGAAAACAAUUUCUAACAGUACCAAAAUUAUGUGAAUUUGGCCUUAUCAGAAAGUUUAGGCCAAGAGCUUCGAUUUGCAAAAAGAAUCAACUAAAACAGAAUUAUAAAACUUGAGUUACGAUCAUACGUAGUUCAAGUACUAAACUGUUCAAAAUUCAAAUUUUAAACUUUCAAAAACAUGUUUAAGUUGUUUAUCUGGAUAGAGGGGAUCAUAAUGAAGAAGUGGGCGUUGGUUUCGUUGGAUUUGGAUAAAAGGUUGAAAAGUAGUGAGCGUUUGAAGAUUAGGGACUAAUCUGUGAAGAAACUAAUUACAUACAGGUCCCUGGCAGAAAACUAAAAUAAAAGAAAAAGACUAAAUAGCGAACGCUCGUCACCGAUCGCUAGCGAACCCUAGCUAAGGAACGCUCGCAAACUAAACUAAUCAAAAAAAAUAAAACCGAUCUAGAACUAUAAAGAAAACCGGGCGGGUUUUUAGAAGUUAUACCGGCUCAGGCGGUUCGGGGCGGUUUACGGCGAAAAACCGGCAGUGGCGGUUUGGAUCGGGGCGGCGGCUCCAGCGAGGCUGCGGACUCCGGUGAGUGCGGUGAAGAUGGGAUGUCGUGGUGGCGAGGCGCGGAUGCGGCUCCGACGGGCGGCGGCUUCGUCCUCGGCCGCGGGGCAAGGCGCGGGUGGCUCCGGUGAGUGCGCGGGGCGGCAGCGGCAAAGUGCGGCGGUGGCGGUGAGAUCCGGCGGCGGCGACGUGUUGCGAGGAGAGGCGAUGCGGUGCGGUGCUGGGCCUUGGCCUGGCUGGAGCUGGGCCAGCCCAGUUCGGCGAAAGAAAGUUUUCUCUUUCUUUUUGUUUUCUUUUUUAAACAAAUUUUCAGAAAAUAAAAUAAAAACAAAAUAAAUAAAUAAAUACUAUAGGCAUAUAAUAUAUCAAAAUUUUCAAAAAAAGAUUUCCUACAGCAUGAACAUUAUUCUAGCUUCAAAUAAAAUCCACAAUAAUUUUAAUAAUUCAAACGAUGCUACUGACCAAUUUAAAACCCAAUAAAAUCAUUUUAAAAAUACCAAAAUUAAUUCAAAUUUAUUUCUCUCCAAUUUUCUACUGGAGGGAAUCAUGUUACCCUAAUUUCCAUAUAUUUUAUUUUUGGUGAAAAAAUAAUUUGAAUAAAACCCAAAUAACUCCAAAUUGAAAAUAAAUUCAAAAGAACUUUGAAUUUAAUUCUUUGAAACUCCCAACUCAUAUUUCAUAUGUUUUGAAGAAGUAAUUUUAUCUUCGCUCGUGAAAAUCAUUGAGUUGCAUAAAGUUCCUGGGUUGGAAAUAUUUUCCAAAUGAAAUUCAAUUAUUUUCAACACCCCUUGUCAUUUAAAUAAAUGGAAGAAGUCAUGUCAUCUUCUCUCCAGGGUUUUGUGGUGAAAAGAAUUUGAAUUCAUGGAGAUCAAAAUGCAAAAUAAAAGUUUGGGAAAGUCCUUUUAUUCCCUCUCAAUUAACUGUCAAAAGUUUCGUAUUUCACUCAAUAAAUCACACAACAAUCAAACAAACAAUCAUAUCUAUCUAUUUAAUAUAACAUUCCAAAAUUUAGAAUUUUGGGAUGUUACAUAUAUGUUCCUAUUUUGUAUACAUAUUUAACCGUCAAAUGAUGCAAUAUAUAUCGCCUUCCAUUCGUUCACUGCUAUCAGAAAAAAAGUGAGAGAAAAUAAAGGAAAAGAAAAAGGAAAAUGGUUAUAGUAGUAGCGCUUGACUGAAAAAGAGCUACAGCUAGUCAAGGUAGCAGUAGCGGUUUCCGUAUAAAACCGCUAUAGCUGCCUGUAAUAGUAGUAGCACGUUUGGUCUAAACGCGCUACUGCUACGCCCACUUAACCCAAAAUCCUCAGUCUCUCUGCUUCAUCCCGCCUCUUUUCCCCCAAAUCCCCACUCCCCCAUGGCACCGCCGCGCCCCAGCGCUCGCCCUCGACCCGGCGCUCGCCCCCGACCCCGGCCCUCGCCCCCGACCCCGACGCGCCACGCCUCCCUCCUUUGCUUCCUCCCCUCCCAACCUCGGCCGUCGUCGGGCCUGCCUCCUCACCCCUGCACCCUCUGUAAACCCCCCUCUCUCUGCUAGCUAGGGUUCUUCGGUUAAUUUACUUAGGUUUUAGUUAGGGCAGUAGGUUAAUUAGGUUAUCUAUUUAGUUAUGAAUUUAGCUAGGUUUUAAAAUAGGACAGAAAUUUAGGGUUAAGCAAUUGCAGUUAAAAGAAAAAGCAGCAUUUAAGCAAUUAUCCAAAUCAACAUCCCUUGUUAAAGCACAUUUAGGUAGGCUGAAUUUAGGUAGGCUGAAUUUAUAUGUAAAUUUGAACUGGACAUGUGAUAUGUGGACAUGUCAUGUUUGGAAUUUGGACAUGUGAUGUUUUGGUUCAAUUUUGGUAAAUGAUCCGAGUGGCCUAUGUUACGUCGAAUGUUGAUUCAUUUUUGUUCCGGUGAAUUUCAGGCGCUCGAUAUGUCCAUUUUUUAGGAAAGGUCAUGCCGAAAUUUUCCGUGAAUUUUGGCAUGAUUUGUGCUAGAUAGUAGGCAUAUCGAGUGUUGGCACAUAGAUUUCUUUUUUUAUAUCAUUUCUCAUUUUUUUCAUACUUUUAGAAAUAAACGAGGAGACUUAAUCAUAGGAAACAUGUCAAACAACAAAGAAACUGGGCCUUCUGACCAAGAUGCAGACGAGAUGGAUUAUGAGGGUGAACAAGAGUACCUCGACUAUUUGACUACUGAGCAAGGUUUGCAGGUCGGCCUCGAUGAUGGUACUGACGCCGACAUCGACACCGACGGUGCCGGCACCGAUGGCGGCGCCGAGACCGGCGGGGAAGGUACCGGCACCGAUACCGAAAAGAAGAAGCAGAAGAAGCAGAGGAUACGAAAACCUAACAAAAUAGGGAUUGGACGACUAGUGAUCACAAAGAUGGCACCUGGCAAGUUUGAGCCAUUAGAGCCGGAAGAACCUCGCAAGUGCUAUGGGAACCAAGUAGGAUGCAUCCUACGGGAAUGCGCGAGCAUCAACGACGAUGACUUAAGGAGUAAAGAACAUUUGACGGAGUUGCUCCUGACAAAGUUGCACAAGAGAUUCAAGUUCCCCGACCGGGAUGAUAACAUAGAACAACCGUGGGAUGAUCCUAAGAUGAAAAAGAUUAACAAUCACGCCAUGGGCAUGUUCAGCAAUGAUUUGGCCUCCUGGAAAGGGAGGGUGAAACGAGCUAUCGAGGCUGAGGAACCCCUGUCCAAGAUUCUGGAGGAAAAUCCGACACUUACGGAAGAGGAAUUCGAAAAGUUCAAGGACACUUGUGCUACCGAGGCAGCCAAGGCUAAGGCUGCGAAAUUCAAGAGCCUUCAGCAAAGGAACAUGGGGAAGCAUCGCCUCGGAAGCCGUGGCUACCUCGGUAAAAGGCCCAUAUGGGAUAAGGAGGACGCGGAACGUGAAGCCGCGGGUAUCCCAGACCCCUUCGCGAAGUUCACCAACCCCUUGGAGCGUGACUUCAUCAGGACCCACUACAAUUGGGACAAGGAAAAAAGGUUUUUUACACAGACCAGAUCACGAGGAAAUUGAUUAGACUACUGGUAAUUAUUCUUUUACCACCUUACAUUUAGCUCCAUAUCUAGUCGACUACACAUUCCUAAACGGUUCAUGCUCCUUCUGCAGGAGAAGCAACACCAGCUUGUAGCCGAAAGCCCUACUUCUCCGAUGAGGCCCAAGUGGGACACCCCUCUCAACCGGGCCUUGAACGAACUUAAGGGACUCCCUUUGGGCCAGCGACCGCAAUAUGGUCGUGUGCACGGCGCUGGAGACGGCGCCACGUGGAAGGUGUUUUACAAUGAGGGCCCGAAGGCCAAGAAGGAGAAAAAGAAGUUUAGUCAGGUGGACAUCGACGCGAAGGUGAAGCUUGUGGUCGAGAAAAAAGCAGAUGAGGACGCGAAAAAAUAGCCGAGGAGAAAAAUGAGUUGCUACAGCAGGCAGUCAAUGCAGCUGUAACUGCCUGCAGAAAUGAUUUUGCUACUAACUUGGUUCCAGCUAUCAUCAACUGGACGAAGGAAAAUCCAGACAAGACGGUACAUAAUUUCCCGAUGCCCAGUUUCAUCGGGAGCAACUCCAUGAACAACAACAACACCGCACCAUCACUUGCUCACGCAACCGGGCCUCCUCUCGCAGUCGCUCCCGCUCAUAGCAGCCUGUCCUUAGUCUCUGGCGCGCUAGGUGGGCCUUUGUCUUUGGCUGAGCUCGACGCCGUCACGGUAAUUACAUGUCGGAUGUUUUACGCCACAGACAUAUUUGUUUGCAGGCCAUAGAAACCCCGUGCACCAUACUCUACUUGAUCAAAGGCCAAAAGGUGGACGUGGGAAAGGGGAUGGUAAUGAACCCCUUGCAACCCAGGUUCCACAACCAGCCGAUCCCCGCUGGGCACUUCAGCGUUAGCUUGUCCAGUGUGAAAUUGAGGCACGAGGCUUUGCCUCCUCCAGUAUAGCAGGUGGGAGAGGACGACGAGACCCCGCCGCGGAUUGGAAGCUGCAAGCGUUGGGUGUUGCUAUGGCCGAAUAAUCUUAUUUGUCUGGAGCCGGCCAAGAGCACACCAAUAACCACACAUCAACAGGCAUGUGCGGAGACCACCACCCCGCCUACACAAUUACCAGCCCCUGUAGUGCCGGGUGAGAGCGGCGGACAACGUGAUGAAGGGGGGUGCAAUAGUACUGGCUGAUGUAAUCGGUCCUGUACACCAGAGAAUGGAUGAUGAGACGGAGGUCGACCCUAUGGGUUUCCUCAAUACAAACGCGUAUGACUGUGACAUAGAUAUGAUGAGUCAACCAUAUGACGAAUCGGGCUAUCAACAUGCUAAUGAGGAUAUGGAUGAUAUGCCCGAGGAAGGUCGUUGGAAGGAUUGCAAAAAGUCUCUCUUCAUGAAUUCCUCACAGGACACGCCUGAAGAUGCCGCCUCAACACAAGCUCAACCAGCCGGGGGUCGUACAGUGCUUAGCCCGGGAACCCUGGGGCAGGGGUUAAGGAAGGGUCUGGAAGGUGUGCCCAAGAAAAAGGAGAGGAAGAGAUAGGGGAAGAUAACUGCCUCCAAACAAGCCAGAGCACAUAGCAGCCAGACGAUGGAUUCUGAAGAGCUUGUACCCAUGAAAGGUGCAGCCAUGUUCCAUCUCACGGGCGAGCCGAUGCUACCGCCGAAACCGCUAGAGGCACUAUCAGGGGAUCUCCGGAGACUGCACAACCAUGUGAUGUCGACUGAGAAAAGCCUACUAGCCUCAAAGGAUCCAGGAUAUCUGACAUACACGGCUCGUGUGCCCGAGGGGAAGUGCUACGUCGACACACGACCCGCGGAGGUGUUCUUCCUGCGGUUUGACCAUAUCUUUGAGAUGUUUCUGAAAAGGCGGCUCGAUUUUACAAUCGUCCGCCUUUUUGCGCUACAUAUGAGCUCCGUCAUGAAGAGUGAAGAAGUCGCGCAAAUCUGUGUGGCGGAUCCGUACUACAUGCACGAGUCUUUCUUGAGUCUCGGCGACUUUGAGCGUGAAACUGCUAGGGACUACCUCCAAAACUUCAUGGUACAGAAUAAGGACCAGGAAAUUGUCCUCUUGCCUUAUCAUCCAAAGUAAGUCAGUUCUGGACAACCCUUUCGUACAUUUCAAUCAUUCCUUCUCGCUCAUAUGGAGAAUAAUUUGAGGUGUCUUUUCCCCGCAGGAACGGGCGCUCCGUCCUUAUAGUUCUUUACCCGCGAGUAUCCCACGCCGUGUAUUUUGACCCUUCCAGAGACUACGAGAAAAAGGACUACACCCACAUAAUGAAUAUUCUAGAUGAUGCUCUCCAGGGCUUCAGCAUUAGAGGUGGCCACAUGUAGAUCAGGAAACAAAGGAACAAGAAGAUGGGUUUCGUGCAUAAAACUAACUUCUCCUGCAUCCAUGUCCCAAAACCAAGCAAGAAGGAUGGAUUCUACAUCGUCCAUCUAAUGAUUGAGUUUAGCACGGAUCACCAAAAGCUUCGCAUGACAAGCAGAAAUGAUGAUCAUAUCCACAAGUGGCUAGAAUCUCAUGGAGAAGCAGAUUAUAAACUUAGAGAUGACUUCUUUCGCAUCCAAAGGGACAUUGCGAUGAUCAUCAUGAAAGAAGUCGUCGAUGAGAAGGGGAUGUUCCACCACGGCCCUAUAUCGCGAGCUGACGUCCGAACUCGCAUAGGCAUGCAACAUCUAGACCUCACGCCGUUCAAGAAGCUAGGGUCCAUCCUCGAUGAUAUGGAAGGAUGGAACUUCUAGUGAUUUACGAUGCCGAUGAUGAAGAUAUGUGUCGGUUGAACUUGUAUACUUUCUGUAGCGAUGAAACUUUGUGAUGUCUACGGUCCCUGCCGAACUUGCGUAACGCUACUUUGUUAGUUUGUGUACGAUGACCUGCGUACCUCUAGUUAAUUAGUUUGCGUAUUGUAUGUUGCAUCUAGUUGCUAACCCUUUCUUUUUCGUGUUGCUCUAGUAUAUUUUGUUGCAUAUGAUUGUACAUCCUCUUCAUGAAGAUGCAUCUCUAACAGGUACCUAGUUUCUUGAUGGCGAGAUGGCAGUGCUAUGUCAUGUACAAAGGGAAGGUUCCGGGGUGUACAACGAGUGGCCUGGGUGUCAGGCACAAGUGAAUGGGGUCUCAGGCGCCAGCCAUAAAGGCUUCAAAAGCAGACAAGAAGGAGAAGCUAGUUACUUGAGGUUCAUGCUAGCGCGAGAGAGGACUCGUAACCGCCGCCUCAUGUACUGCAUAGUUUCGCUCUCACUCAUAGUGAUAGCUCUUCUCACGUAUACCAUUGUUUGGAUGGAUGAUGUUGUAGUUGCAAGUAUUCGAGACUUGCAUGUAUCUCUAUUUUCAAGAUGAUGAUGAGAUACCACUUUGUGUUGGAUGAUGAUUAUGAUGAGACUAUUUGUAUGUAUAUGCUAUGAUUACAUUUGUGGUCUCGCAGUGUAUGUGUAUGAUGAUGACAUUUGCAUGUGCUAAAGAUUCUUGUAUAAAGCCUGUUCAAAUACAAAACAAAUAUGCAGAAAAAAAUAAAAAACUACUAAAAUUAGCAGUAGCGAGUGGAGGAAAGUUAGCAGCAGCGUCACUAUAACAGUAGCGCGUACGGCCAAAGCGCGCUAGAGCUAUUAGCAGUAGCGAGCAUCCACGCAGCACGCUGCUGCUACACUUGUAUAGCAGUAGCGCGGCCGCGCACGCGCUGCUGCUAUGGGUUAGCUGUAGCGCCCUAUUAGUAGCGCCAAUGCCUGCUCUACUGGUAGGCCAAAAACCCAUGCUGCUGCUAGGCUUUUCCCUAGUAGUGCAUAGUUACAUAGAAAUUUGGAAGCUUAUAUUGAUGAUAUAGUGUUCAAAACCAAGGACAAGUCAACCAUCAUUGAAGAUUUGGAAGAAACAUUUGCGAACUUGUGCAAAAUCAACAUGAAGCUCAACCCUGAGAAGUGUGUGUUUGGUGUUCCAUCCGGCAAAAUUCUCGGGUUCUUUGUGUCCCAGCAUGAAAUCAAACUGAAUCCCAACAAGAUCAAAGAUAUUGAGCAGAUUCAAGUACCCGAAACCAUCAUGGAUGUGCGGCGUCUUGCGGUUGUGUCACAGCUUUGAGUAGGUUCAUUUCAUGGUCUGUUGUGCGCACCCUGCCAUUUUUUCAAGAUAUUGAAGAAGGCAGGUCAGUAAAAUGGACUCCGGAAGUGGAGGCUGCAUUACAUGAUCUGAAAAGGUACCUGUCCUCGGCGCCAACCUUAGUCGCGCCUAAGCCACAUGAACCGUUGUUGCUAUAUUUAGCGGCAAUGAACCAAGUGAUCAAUGCCGCACUGGUUGCACAGAGAGAAGUUGGUGAUGAUGAGACAACGACGACAAAGCCAUACCAUGACAAAGUAGUAUCCUCCCCGGCAAAUCUAAAUGCCGGUAUGGCAAAAGCGUGCAAGAGAAAGUGGAUGAUCAGCAGAUUAUGCCAAAGAAGAAGAUGGUGCAGCAGUCGGUGUAUUUUGUUAGCUCUCUCCUGUAGGGGGCUAGGUCAAUGUAUUCAGGCAUGCCAAAGUUGCUCUUUGGCUUACUCAUGGCCUCAAGGAAGCCGCGCCACUACUUCCAGGUGCAUGAGAUCAUAGUGGUCACUCGCUUCCCAUUGCACCACAUUCUAAGGAAUACAGAGGCAACCGGUAGGAUAGUAGAGUGGGCAUUGGAACUGUCAAGUUUUGCACUCAAGUUCGAGACUAUUCAGAGAAGAGCAUUAGUAGAAUUCAUCGCGGAAUGGAUGCCAACGCAAGAUUAUGAGGCCUCGGAAUCAACCUGCCCCGGCAGGGAAACUAAGAAGAAUUGGAUCAUGUACUUUGAUGGUGCUUUAUCGCUGCAGGGCGCCUGUGCAGGAGUGCUGCUUGUCGCACCUGCUGGAGAAUUGUACGCAGUAUGAAGGACUACUUGCCGGCCUCAGAACUGCAGUGGAGUUGGGAAUCAAAAAGUUGAUCGUCCGAGGAGACUCGUAACUUGUAGUGAAGAAAGUGAACAAAGAUUACCAGAGCUUGUUGAUGGAUGCAUAUGUGGAUGAAGUUAGGAAAUUGGAAGAACACUUUGACGAUUAGCAAAUAGAGCACGUCCCCUGUGCGGGAAACAACAUUGAUGAUCAACUGUCAAAGUGUGCUGCCUAGAAGCUUCCCGUGGAACCAAGAACUUUUGUGCUCCAUUUGAAUCAGCCAAUAGUUGCCUCAUCAAAGAGAGCCAAGAAGAGAAGAACGCUAAGCACUGAUACGUACAUUUUUGCAUCAUGCUUUUAUAUCAAUAUUUAUUGCAUUAUGGGCUAUUAUUACACAUUAUAUCUCAAUACUUAUGGCUAUUCUCUCUUAUUUUACAAGGUUUACCAUGAAGAGGGGGAAUGCCGGCAGCUGGAAUUCUGGCUGGAAAAUGAGCAAAAGUUGGAAACCUAUUCUGCACAACUCCAAAAGUCUUGAAACUCCACGAAACAACUUUUUGGAAUUAAUAAGAAUUUCUGAGCGAAAGAAAUAGGCUAGGGGGCCCACACCCUAUCCAGGAGACAGGGGGGCGCGCCCCCCCUAUAGGGCGUGCCCCUAUCUCCUGGGCCCCCUGGUGGGCCUCCGGCGUCCAUCUUCUGCUGUAUCAUCACUUUUACCCUGGAAAAAAUCGUGGGCAAGCUUACGGGACGAAACUCCGCCGCCACGAGGCGUAACCUUGGCGGAAUCAAUCUAGGGCUAUGGCGGAGCUGUUCUGCCGGGGACACUUCCCUCCGGGAGGGGGAAAUCAUCACCAACGUCAUCAUCAACGAUCCUCUCAUCGGGAGGGGGUCAAUCUCCAUCAACAUCUUCACCAACACCAUCUUCUCUCGAAAACCUAGUUCAUCUCUUUUAUCCAAUCUUGUAUCAAAACCACAAAUUGGUACCCGUGGGUUGCUAGUAGUGUUGAUUACUCCUUGUAGUUGAUACUAAUUGGUUUACUUGGUGGAAUAUGUUCAGAUCCUUUAUGCAUAUUAUUACUCCUCUGAUUAUGAACAUGAAUAUGCUUUGUGAGUAGUUACGUUUGUUCCUGAGGACAUGGGAGAAGUCUUGCUAUUAGUAGUCAUGUGGAUUUGGUAUUUGUUCGAUAUUUUGAUGAGAUCUAUGUUGUCUUUUCCUCUAGUGGUGUUAUGUGAACGUCAACUACAUGACACUUCACCAUUAUUUGGGCCUAGAGGAAGGCAUGGGGAAGUAAUAAGUAGAUUAUGGGUUGCUAGAGUGACAGAAGCUUAAACCCUAGUUUAUGCGUUGCUUCGUUAGGGGUUAAUAUGGAUCCAUAUGUUUAAUGCUGUGGUUAGGUUUACCUUAAUACUUCUUUCGUAGUUGCGGAUGCUUGCAAUAGGGGUUAAUCAUAAGUGGGAUGCUUGUCCAAGUUAGGGCAGUACCCAAGUACCGGUCCACCCACAUAUCAAAUUAUCAAAGUACCGAACGUGAAUCAUUUGAGCGUGAUGAAAACUAGCUUGACGAUAAUUCCCAAUGUGUCCUCGGGAUCUCCUUCCUCAUUAUUAGAAAUUGUCCAGGCUUAUCCUUUGCUACAUAAAGGAUUGGGACACCUUGCUGCACUUUAUUUACUUUAUUUAUUUGUUGCUCGUUACUAUUUAUCUUAUCACAAAACUAUCUAUUACCUACAAUUUCAGUGCUUGCAGAGAAAACCUUACUGAAAACCGCUUAUCAUUUCCUUCUGCUCCUCGUUGGAUUCGACACUCUUACUUAUCGAAAGGACUACGAUAGAUUCCCUACACUUGUGGGUCAUCAAGACUCUUUUCUGGCGCCGUUGCCGGGGAGUGUAGCGCUUUUGGUGAGUGGAACUUGGUGAGGAAACAUUUAUAUAUUGUGCUGAAAUUUUCUAUUACUUGUCACUAUGGAAACUAAUCCUUUGAGGGGCUUGUUUGGGGUAUCUUCACCCCAACCAGAAGAGCAAAGAGUUUCUCCUCAACCUACUGAACUUGAUGAAAAUAUUUACUUUGAGAUUCCUUCGGGUAUGAUAGAGAAACUGCUAGCUAAUCCAUUUGCAGGAGAUGGAACAUUGCAUCCCGAUUUACACCUUAUCUUUGUUGAUGAAGUUUGUGGAUUAUUUAAGCUUGCAGGUAUUCCCAAUGAUGUUGUCAAAAGGAAGGUCUUCCCUUUAUAUUUGAAGGGAGAUGCAAUGACAUGGUAUAGGCUAUGUGAUAAUACAAGAUCUUGGAAUUAUAAGCAAUUGAAGUUGGAAUUUCACCAGAAGUUCUAUCCUAUGCAUCUUGUUCAUCGUGAUCGUAAUUACAUAUAUAAUUUCUAGCCUCGCGAAGGAGAAAGAUUCGCUCAAGCUCGGGGGAGGCUUAAGUCAAUGUUAUAUUCAUGCCCCAAUCAUGAGCUCUCUCGGGAAAUGAUUAUUCAGAAUUCCUAUGCUCGGCUUUCUCUUGAUAAUCGCAACCUGCUCGAUACUUCCUGUGUUGGUUCUUAUAUGCUGAAGACUAUUGAUUUCAGAUGGGACUUAUUGGAAAGAAUUAAAUUCAACUCCGAAUAUUGGGGUUCCGACGAUGGUAAGGAGUCAGGUAUGACACCUAAGUUCGAUUGUGUUAAAUCUUUUAUGGAUACCGAUGUUUUUCGUGGAUUUAGCGCUAAGUAUGGACUUGACUCUGAGAUGGUAGCUACUUUUUGUGAAUCUUUUGCUACUCACGUUGAUCUCCCUAAGGAGAAGUGGUUUAAAUAUAAUCCUCCUAUUGAAGUGAAAGUAGUUGCACCUAUUACAGUCGAAGAAAAGACUAUUACCUAUAGUGAUCCUAUUGUUCCUACUGCUUAUGUUGAAAAACCUCCUUUUCCUGUUAGGAUAAAGGAUCAUGCUAAAGCUUCGACUAUUUUUCGAAAGAGUAAUACUAGGACUUAUACACCUCCUGAGCAAAUUAAUGUUGAACCUAGUAUUGCUAUGGUUAAAGAUCUCUUGGAUGAGGAUUUAGAUGGGCAUGUUAUUUCUUUCUUGGGUGAGACUGCUAAUAUUGCUAGACCUGAUACUAAGACGCGUAGACCUGUCAUAGGCACGCCUGUUAUUUCUGUUAAAAUAGGAGAUCAUUGUUAUCAUGGCUUAUGUGAUAUGGGUGCCAAUGCUAGUGCGAUACCUUAUGAUCUUUAUAAAGAAAUUAUGCACGACAUUGCACCCAUUGAAUUAGAAAACAUUGAUGUUACUAUUAAGCUUGCUAAUAGGGAUACCAUUAAACCUAUUGGGAUUGUUAGGGAUGUUGAAGUUUUUUGUGGAAAGGUUAAAUACCCUACUGAUUUUCUUGUUCUUGCUUCCCCACAAGAUGCCUUUUGUCCCAUUAUUUUUGGUAGGCCCUUCUUGAAUACUGCUAGUGCUAAGAUUAAUUGUGAAAGGAAUAUUGUUAAUGUUGGCAUAGAUGGUAUGUCUCAUGAGUUUAAUUUUGCUAAGUUUAGUAGACAACCUCGUGAAAGGGAACCACCUAGUAAGGAUGAGAUUAUUGGUCUUGCUUCCAUUGCUGUUCUCCAACUGAUCCGUUAGAACAAUAUUUACUAGACCAUGAAAAUGAUAUAUUUAUGAAGGAAAGGGAACAAAUAGAUGAAGUGUUCCUUAAACAGGAGCCUAUGCUGAAACAUAACCUUCCCACUGAAAUUCUUGGGGAUCCCCCUCCACCCAAGGGUGAUCCCGUGUUUGAACUUAAGCCAUUACCUGAUAAUCUGAAGUAUGCUUAUGUUGAUAAAAAGAAAUAUAUCCCGUUAUUAUUAGUGCUAACCUUUCAGAGGAAGAAGAAGAAAGAUUAUUGAAAACUCUGAAGAAGCACCAUGCAGCUAUUGGAUAUACUCUGGAUGAUCUUAAGGGCAUUAGUCCCACAUUAUGUCAACACAAGAUUUCAGUGGAGAAAGAUGCCAAACCAGUUAGAGAUCCUCAAAGACGAUUAAAUCCCAAGAUGAAGGAAGUGGAAAGAAAGGAGAUACUAAAGCUCCUUGAGGCAGUUAUUAUUUAUACCGUUGCUGAUAGUGAAUGUGUAAGCCCUGUCCAUUGUGUCCCUAAAAAGGGAGGUAUUACCAUUGUUCCCAAUGAUAAAGAUGAAUUAAUCCCGCAAAGAAUUAUUAUAGGUUAUAGGAUGGUAAUUGAUUUCCGUAAGUUAAAUAAAGCUACUAAGAAAGAUCAUUACCCUUUACCUUUUAUUGAUCAAUGCUAGAAAGGUUGUCCAAACACACACAUUUUUGCUUUCUAGAUGGUUAUUCUGGCUUCUCUCAGAUACCUGUGUCAGCGAAGGAUCAAUCUAAAACUACUUUUACUUGCCCUUUUGGUACUUUUGCUUAUAGACGUAUGCCUUUUGGUUUAUGAAAUGCACCUGCUACCUUUCAAAGAUGCAUGAUGGCUAUAUUCUCUGAUUUUUGUGAAAAGAUUUGUGAGGUAUUCAUGGAUGACUUUUCCGUCUAUGGAUCCUCCUUUGAUGAUUGUUUGAGCAACCUUGAUCGAGUUUAGUAGAGAUGCGAAGACACUAAUCUCGUCCUGAAUUGGGAAAAGUGUCACUUUAUGGUUAAUGAAGGCAUUGUCUUGGGGCACAAGAUCUCUGAGAGAGGUAUUGAAGUUGAUAAAGCCAAAGUUGAUGCUAUUGAAAAGAUGCCAUGUCCCAAGGACAUAAAAGGUAUAAGAAGUUUCCUUGGUCAUGCCGGUUUUUAUAGGAGGUUCAUUAAGGACUUUUCUAAAAUCUCUAGGCCUAUGACUAAUUUAUUGCAAAAAGAUAUCCCUUUUGUCUUUGAUGAUGGUUGUGUAGAAGCUUUUGAAACACUUAAGAAAGCUUUGAUCACUACACCUAUUGUUCAGCCACCUGAUUGGAAUUUACCUUUUGAAAUUAUGUGUGAUGCUAGUGAUUAUGCUGUAGGUGUUGUUUUAGGGCAAAGAGUUGAUAAGAAAUUGAAUGUUAUCCAGUAUGCUAGUAAGACUCUUGACACUGCCCAGAGAAAUUAUGCUACUACUGAAAAAGAGUUCUUAGCAGUUGUGUUUGCAUGUGAUAGUUUAGACCUUAGAUUGUUGAUUCCAAAGUUACUAUUCACACUGAUCAUGUUGCUAUUAAAUAUCUUAUGGAAAAGAAAGAUGCUAAGCCUAGACUCAUUAGAUGGGUUCUCUUGCUCCAAGAAUUUGACUUGCAUAUUAUUGAUAGAAAAGGAGCUGAGAACCUCGUUGCAGAUAACUUGUCUAGGUUAGAGAAUGUUCUUGAUGACCCACUGCCUAUUAAUGAUAGCUUUCCCAAUGAAAAAUUAGCGGUCGUCAAUGCCUCUCGUACUGCUCCUUGGUAUGCUGAUUAUGCUAAUUACAUUGUUGCUAAAUUUAUACCACCUAGUUUCACAUACCAGCAAAAGAAAAAGUUCUUUUAUGAUUUAAGACAUUACUUCUGGGAUGAUCCACACCUUUAUAAAGAAGGAGUAGAUGGUGUUAUUAGACGUUGUGUGCCUAAGCAUGAAUAGGAACAGAUUCUACGUAAGUGUCACUCUGAAUCUUAUGGAGGACACCACGCUGGAGAUAGAACUACAAAUAAGGUACUACAAUAUGGUUUUUAUUGGCCUGCUCUUUUCAAAGAUGCUCGUAAGUUUGUCUUAUCCUGUGAUGAAUGUCAAAGAAUAGGUAACAUUAGUAGACGUCAAGAAAUGCCUAUGAAUUACCCUCUUGUUAUUGUACCGUUUGAUGUUUGGGGCUUUGAUUAUAUGGGACCUUUUCCUGCCUCUAAUGGUUAUACACAUAUUUUAGUUGCUGUUGAUUACGUUACUAAGUGGGUAGAAGCUAUUCCAACUAGUAGUGCUGAUCAUAACACUUCUAUUAAAAUGCUUAAAGAAGUUAUUUUUCCGAGGUUUGGAGUUCCUAGAUAUCUUAUGACUGACGGUGGUUCACAUUUUAUUCAUGGUACUUUCCAUAAGAUGCUUGCUAAGUAUGAUGUCAAUCAUAGAAUCGCAUCUCCUUAUCAUCCGCAGUCUAGUGGUCAAGUAGAGUUGAGCAAUAGAGAGCUCAAAUUAAUUUUGCAAAAGACUGUGAUUAGAUCUAGAAAGAAUUGGUCCAAAAAACUUGAUGAUGCAUUAUGGGCCUAUAGAACUGCAUACAAAAAUCCUAUGGGUAUGUCUCCUUAUAAGAUGGUUUAUGGAAAAGCGUGUCAUUUACCUCUUGAACUUGAACAUAAGGCAUAUUGGGCUAUCAAAGAGCUCAAUUAUGACUUCAAACUUGCCGGUGAGAAGAGGUUAUUUGAUAUUAGCUCACUUGAUGAAUGGAGAACCCAAGACUAUGAGAAUGCCAAGCUUUUCAAACAAAAAGUCAGACGCUGGCAUGAUAAGAGGAUACAAAAGCGUGAGUUUAACGUAGGAGAUUAUGUGUUAUUAUUCAACUCUUGUUUAAGAUUUUUUGCAGGAAAACUUCUCUCAAAAUGGGAAGGUCCCUACCUUAUCGAGGAGGUCUACCGUUCUGGUGCUAUAAAAAUCAACAACUUUGAAGGCACGAAUCUGAGGGUGGUAAACGGUCAAAGAAUUAAACACUAUAUUUCAGGUAAUCCUAUCAAUGUUGAAACUAAUAUUAUUGAAACCGUAACCCCUAAGGAAUACAUAAGGGACACUUUCCAGAACGUUCCAGACCCCGAAAAGGCAUAGGUAUGUGGUACGGUAAGUAAACCGACUCCAAAACAACUCCAAUGGAAAUUUUUAUCAGUUUUGGAUUAUUUAAGAAUUUUAGGAAGAAAGAAUAAGUACGAAAGGGACACGAGGCUCCCACGAGAGUGGAGGGCCCGCCCCCCCUAUAGGGCGCGCCCCCUGUCUCGUGGGCACCUUGUGUGCCUCCCGGACUCCGUUUCCUUGUAUGUUACGUAUUUUGGUCGGUAAAAAUUCAUUACAUAUACUCCCGAAGGUUUUGACCGCCGUAUCACGCAAAUAUCCUUUGUUUUCGUUUUGAGCUGUUUCUGUUGCAGAUUUGGAACAAGAUGUUGUUCCAAGAUUCUGAGGUGGAGAGCUACAUAGCUGAUUAUAUCGCAAACCCAAAAGUUUGGGGGGAUGUGGAGCAUUAUGGCUGGACCAUGGAGGAAGAAGAAGACUAUGAUCCAAAGGGGAAGGAGGAGACAAGCUCCGAUGAAUAGGAUGAUCCACUACCUCAACCUGGCGAUAUGCAUGUGGAGUUCAAGAAGUCAAGCUUCCCUAAGGUUCAAUCUAUCCCACCAUGUUUUUUGCAGGACACCAAGGCGGCAUUAUGCAAAAAGAUAAUGAAACUUGAGCUCGAGAAUGAGGAUCUGAGGGAGGAAAAUUUUAGCCUCAGACGCAAGCUAGAGAAGAAAAAUGCAACAACUCCCACUUCACCACCUCCGAGGAAAUAAUCACAUGGGUAUGGGCACUCCCCUUGGCAACUGCCAAGCUUGGGGGAGGUGCCCCGGUAUCAUAUCAUCAUCACACUCCUAUCUUUACCGCUUUAUUUAGUUCGAUCCUUUUAGUAGUGUCUUGAUUUAGUAGUUUGAAGUUUUGAUAUCAAGUAGUUUGAGUUUUGCAUUGUGAUCUCUUUAUGUAAUCAAAUCCAUGUGCUAUCUAUAAUAAAGUUUAGUGUUGAGUCAAGGCCUUUGCUAUGUGCUAUGAUCUUGAGAAAGUAGAAAGAAUAAAAGAGUUCAUAUUGAUCUUAUGGAUAGUGAUAACUUCACACAUAGAAAGUAUGAGGCAUAAAAAUUGUUGAGAGUUGAUGAAUGUAGCCUUGGUCAUCGUUGCAAUUAAUAGGAAGUGAUAAGGAAAGAGGGGUUCACAUAUAGAUAUAUUAUCUUGGACAUCUUUUAUGAUUUUGAAGCACCCAUUAAGUAUGAGAUGCUAAAAGAGUUGAUGUUGGACAAGGAAGACAACGUAAUGGUUUGUGACAUCUCAGUUAAAGUAUAUUGUCAUUAACCUUCCAAACAUGUUGAGCUUGCCUUUCCCCCUCAUGCUAGCCAAAUUCCUAGCACCAAGUAGAAAUACUACUUGUGCUUCCAAAUAUCCUUAAACCCAAUUUUGCCAUGAGAGUCCACUAUACCUACCUAUGGAUUGAGUAAGAUCCUUCAAGUAAGUUGUCAUUGGUGCAAGCAAUAAAAAUUGCUCUCUAAAUAUGUAUGACUUAUUAGUGCAGAGAAAAUAAGCUUUGUACAAACUUGUUGUGGAAGUAAUAAAAGCGACGGAUUGCAUAAUAAAGGUCCACAUACAAGGGGCAAUAUAAAGUGACGUUCUUUUGCAUUAAGAUUUUAUGCAUCAACCCUAAACGCGCAUGACAGCCUUUGCUUCCCUCUGCGAAGGGCCUAUCUUUUAGUUUAUGUUUUUACUUUAUGCUUGAGUCAAGGUGAUCCUCACCUUUCCCUUUUUAUUUUUAUCCUUUGGCAAGCUCCUCGUGUUUGAAAGAUCAUGAUAUAUAUAUAUAUAUAUAUAUAUAUAUAUAUAUAUAUAUAUAUAUAUAUAUCCAAUUGGAUGUAAGUUAGCAUGGGCUAUUAUUGUUGACAUCACCUAAAGGUGAAUACGUGGGGAGGCGACACAAUAAGCCCCUAUCUUUCUUAGUGUCCGGCUGAAACUCUAUAAGCACAAGUACUGCGCGAGUGUUAGAAAUUGUAGGAGACUACGAGAUAGUUGAGUAUGUGAGCUUGUUGAAAAGCUCUAUUAUUGACUCUUUCUGAGGUUAUGAUAAAUUGCAAUUGCUUCAAUGACUAAGAUUAUAGUUUGUUAGUUCCCAAUGAAGUUUUUGAACCAUACUUGACAUUGUGAAUUGCUUGUUACUUGAGCAUAGGAAAUCAUAUGACAAAAUCGAUAUAUAUUCCUGUUAUUAGAAUGAUCAUGAUGCCCUCAUGUCCGUAUUUUAUUUUUAUCGACACCUCUAUCUCUAAACAUGCAGACAUAUUUUUUCGAUUUCGGCUUCCGCUUGAGGACAAGCGAGGUCUAAGCUUGGGGGAGUUGAUACGUCUAGUUUUGCAUCAUGCUUUUAUAUCAAUAUUUAUUGCAUUAUGGGCUGUUAUUACACAUUAUAUCUCAAUACUUAUGGCUAUUCUCUCUUAUUUUACAAGGUUUACCAUGAAGAGGGGGAAUGCCGGCAGCUGGAAUUCUGGCUGGAAAAUGAGCAAAAGUUGGAAACCUAUUCUGCACAACUCCAAAAGUCUUGAAACUCCACGAAACAACUUUUUGGAAUUAAUAAGAAUUUCUGAGCAAAAGAAAUAGGCCAGGGGGCCCACACCCUGUCCAGGAGACAGGCCCCCCCUAUAGGGUGCGCCCCCUAUCUCCUGGGCCCCCUAUAUCAUCACUUUUACCCUGGAAAAAAUCGUGGGCAAGCUUACAAGACGAAACUCCGCCGCCACGAGGUGGAACCUUGGCGGAAUCAAUCUAGGGCUCUGGCGGAGCUGUUCUGUCGGGGACACUUCCCUCCGGGAGGGGGAAAUCAUCACCAACGUCAUCACCAACGAUCCUCUCAUCGGGAGGGGGUAAAUCUCCAUCAACAUAUUCACCAGCACCAUCUCCUCUCAAAACCCUAGUUCAUCUCUUGUAUCCAAUCUUGUAUCAAAACCACAAAUUGGUACCUGUGGGUUCCUAGUAGUGUUGAUUACUCCUUAUAGUUGAUACUAAUUGGUUUACUUGGUGGAAGAUCAUAUGUUCAGAUCCUUUAUGCAUAUUUUUACUCCUCUGAUUAUGAACAUGAAUAUGCUUUGUGAGUAGUUAUGUUUGUUCCUGAGGACAUGGGAGAAGUCUUGCUAUUAGUAGUCAUGUGAAUUUGGUAUUCGUUCGAUAUUUUGAUGAGAUGUAUGUUGUCUUUUCCUCUAGUGGUGUUAUGUGAACGUCGACUACAUGACACUUCACCAUUAUUUGGGCCUACAGGAAGGCAUGGGGAAGUAAUAAGUAGAUGAUGGGUUGCUAGAGUGACAGAAGCUUAAACCCUAGUUUAUGCGUUGCUUCGUUAGGGGUUGAUAUGGAUCCAUAUGUUUAAUGAUGUGGUUAGGUUUACCUUAAUACUUCUUUUGUAGUUGCGGAUGCUUGCAAUAGGGGUUUGUCAUAAGUGGGAUGCUUGUCCAUGUUAGGGCAGUACCCAAGUACCGGUCCACCCACAUAUCAAAUUAUCAAAGUACCGAACGCGAAUCUUACGAACAUGAUGAAAACUAGCUUGACGAUAAUUCCCAAUGUGUCCUCGGGAGCUCCUUUCUCAUUAUUAGAAAUUGUCCAGGCUUAUCCUUUGCUACAUAAAGGAUUGGGCCACCUUGCUGCACUUUAUUUACUUUAUUUACUUGUUGCUCAUUACUAUUUAUCUUAUCACAAAACUAUCUAUUACCUACAAUUUCAGUGCUUGCAGAGAAAACCUUACUGAAAACCGCUUAUCAUUUCCUUCUUCUCCUCGUUGGGUUUGACACUCUUACGUAUCGAAAGGACUACGAUAGAUCCCCUACACUUGUGCGUCAUCAAGCACCAACAAAUAUUUCCCGGUAGAUCUCCCUGAAGCUGCCGAUGAAAAUGUUGCCAAAAAGGAUGGUGCACUUGCCGGUGAGCAGCAACCUCAAGCAGAAUCUCAGAUUCUUGUCAUCGAGGUUAGCGCUCCCGCGGAUGAAGAGAUGCCUUUAGUCCUUAUUGUUGAGCCAACAGGCUCUAGCGUGGGCCCAACAGAUAGUUCAGUUUCUCCAAUCAGGAGAACUUCCCAAGGAACAAGAGCGAGCUGAAAAAGUAGCCCGUCAGUCAAGUAUGUAUCUGUUUGUGGACAACAUCCUGUGCAGAAAGAGACCAAACAGAGUCAAAUUGAAGUGCAUUUGCUAGGAAGAUGGACUGAAGUUGUUGGUGGAGAUACACGGAGGCAUAUGUGGUUCCCAUAUAGGAUCAAGAGCCCUUGUCGAGAAAGCUUCCUGGUAAGGUUUUUAUUGGCCCACUGCCCUCCAGUAUGCAACUGAGCUAGUAACAAGAUGUAAAACAUGCUGGUUCCAUUCAAAGAAUAUACAUCAGUUGGCACAAGCCCUCCAAACAAUCCCUCUCUCUUGGCCCUUCUUGGUCUGGGGAUCGAUAUCUUGGGCCUCUUCCCCUAUGCUACCGGGGGAUUUGAGUUCUUGUAAGCUGCUAUCGACAAGUUCACAAAGUGGCCUAAGGUAGAGCCGGUGAGGAAGGUGACUGCACAGUCAGCUGUCAAGUGUUUCAAAGGAUUAGUUGUUGGUUUGGGGUUCCAAACAGAGUCAUCAGUGAUAGAGGCACACAAUUUAUGAGCCGCACCUUCAUGCAGUACAUCCAUAGCCUUGGAAGCAAGGUUUGCUUUGCAUUCGUUGCUCACCCAAGGAGUAACGAGCAAGUAGAAAGGACAAAUGCUGAAGUGCUGUGCAGGCUCAAGAAAAGAAAUUUUGACAAGCUGCACAAGUGCGGGAUGCAAUGGAUUGAUGAGUUGCCAGUGGUUCUUUGGUCACUCAGGACAACAUCAAAUCGAGCUACUGGCCAAACAACCUUCUCCCUAGUCUAUGGUGCAGAAGCGAUACUACCCGUGAAACUCAUAUAUGGGUCACCUCGAGUACUUGCCUAUGAUGGAGUAGGGCAAGAGCAGCUCUGGCAUGACGAUGCUGUGAUCCUCGAGGAAGAUCAUCUUCGGUUGGCUGUGCGAGCUGCAUGCUACCAACAAGCUUUGUGCCGCUAUCAUAGCCGCAAAGUUCAUGCCCAAAGCCUUGAGGAAGGCAACCUUGUCCUUCGGCGCAUUCAAUCCGCCAAGGGAACAAACAAGUUGACACCAAAGUGCGAGGUCCCUUUUUGGGUAGUACAAGUCACCAGACCCGGCGCAGUCCGUCUGGAGACCAAAGAUGGUGUGUGUGUGCAAAACUAGUGGGAUAUCGAGCAUCUUCACAAGUUCGAUCCGUAAGGCACCGUUGCCAAGCCUCAUCCGAGCAACCCCUUUUGUACAAGGAUAGUCUUAUAGACUUGUAACUCUUUGAACAAAGCCAGGCGCAUAACCUGUGCAUAUCUAAAUAAUGCUAAGUGCUCCAUGUACUUUCAUGCAUAUUUACUUACGUACUAAUGCAUAAUAUAGUGUGAUAGUGCUUCGUUUGAAUGAAAUGACUAAUAUACCGCCAAGGUAUCACAUUACUGUGCUUAUCCUUUCUAUUUUCUUCAAGUGCAGAAGGAUUCUCCGCAUACAUGUUUCCCAGGGAGGAAUGAAAAUGGAAUGUUGCAUUGGCGAUUCAUUUCAUUUCAUGUGAUAAGAAGUACAAUAAAGAAAGAUAAGUUAGAAACUUUCCUUGCACAUCCCUAUAUUCAUACGAAAAACCUGCAUGCGAAGGAAUCCUGCUGCAUUUUGUCUCGCGCUCUAGCUCUACCUUGAGUUUGAUCGACAAUCUGUGCAGCUAUGUUCAAGACCACAAGUUGCUUUGCUGGUGGUCGUGCCCCGGCAAGCUUCCAUACAGUUAGGGUACCAAAAUUGAAAAUCGUAUGAGGAUGGAGGCGGGCAAGGAAGAAAUUUCUUUUCAUUAUUUGAGCACAUUGAAUAUCAUACAAUUUUUGAAAAAUGAAAAGUGAUCGGUAAUGCCUUUCUUGUCCCUCUCCUCCUAGGGUUUACAUUGAGUGCAAGUAGUGCAAAAGAAGUGCCUUGGUAGAGCCCUGUUUGACCCCUGCCAGGACCAGAGGUACGCAGCUCGACGGGAGCCCCGACAGGGAAGACGAAGCCAGGGUCUAGGUGCAGAUGAUGGUGCUGAUGGCGCCCAGCUAGUGAUGAAGGUGCUGCCGACGUUCAGCUGGAGUCCGAGUCAUCAUCUUUGGACUUGACUUCUGAAGACUCGCUAUCGUCGUCUUCACCAUCUGCAUCCUCCUUGGCACUAUCGCUCAAGGAGGAGCUUUUGUUGUCGCUCGAGCUUUUCGCGUAGCACCCUAGACAAGCGCUUGAAGGCUUGAAGAUCUUCACGGAGAGCGUGUUGGCCUCCACCAGCUUGAAGUGGAGGAAGUUCCCCUCCGCCAAGUAGUGGGCACGAGCGAAAGAUUUCCACCCACGGGUGAGGUACGUGACGCCGUUUGCGGGGAACUCCAUGUUCACCCAAAUGAUGCCACUCCAACCUCAUUGAGCUUGUGCAUCAAGCUACAAAGGCGGAAUGUCAAGUGCAAGAUAACUUCAAGUACGCCAAGUACUCAUCCAAGAUCUACGGCUUCUCCAACAUCCAAGAUUCAACGACUCCUUCAACAUCUACAUCAACCAAGCGUUCUCCAAGAAACGACGACAAGUCAAAUUACAAGAAAACUUCGGCAAGUUCAAGUCGUCUUCCUCCUACUACAGGCAACUUCAAGCUGCGUGCUUCAUCAUCUACGCCAACCGAUGAGACCGUCAAAACAAGCUCCUUCAAGUGUUUCACUUGCGGUGGCCGAGGCCACAAGUCCUUCCAAUGCACGAACAAGCGCGCCAUGAUCCUCAAUGACGGCGGCACAUAUGACUCAAUGAGUGAAGAGGAGAUGGAAGCCCUUGAGCAAGUGGCCAUGCACCGGCGCGUGAAUGAGGAUGAAGAUGAUCAAGUCUUUUGUGAUGAGGAUUUGAGCCCCGCUCUCAUUGUCUCCAAAGUCUUGACACUUCAACAUCAACAAGAAGAAGACCAACGAUACCACAUCUUCCAUACUAAGGCCGGCAUCAAUGGAAGGUCUGUCAAGGUCAUCAUCGAUGGAGGUAGUUGUCACAACUUGGCAAGUGAAGAACUAUGCUCCAAGCUUCAAUUGGUUAAGAGGAAGCACCCGCACCCCGACAAAGUUCAAUGGCUAAGUGACUCCGACACUAUACGAGUCGAGCAUACGGUCCAAGUCUCCUUCAAAAUUGGUGCUUAUGAAGACACUUUGGAGUGUGAUGUGGUCCCAAUGACCGUUUGCCACCUCCUUCUUGGUCGACCAUGGCAAUUCGACCGUGUUGUCAUACACAAUGGGCGCACCAAUCACUAUAGCUUCAAAAUGAAAGGGAAGGAAUAUGUGCUACGACCUAUGUCUCCUAGUCAAGUGAUAGCCGACAUGCAAGCCACUAAUCAUGGAGAGAAGAGUGAAAAAGUGACACACCCAAAAGUGAGUGAGAGCCACAAGCCAAAUUUGAGCGCCUCUUCGCCUAGAGAGAAAAACCUCAUCCUAUUUGCCACCAAAAGUGAGAUGAGAGAAGUGUGUGAGAACCCAUCUAGUGUGAUGCACUUUGUCCUUGUGUGCAAAGAUGGAGAGCCAACAACUAACACUUCUCACGAGCUACCUUUAGUGUUUCAAUCUCUUUUGCAGGAAUUCCAAGAUGUUUUCCCCGAUGAGCUACCUCCGGGUCUACCUCCACUACGAGGCAUUGAGCAUCGAAUCGACCUCAUCCCCGGAGCGCCACUUCCAAAAAAAGCUCCAUACCGUGUCAAUCCCGAAGAAACCAAGGAGAUUCAACGGCAAGUACAACAACUCAUCGACAACGGUCAUGUACGUGAAAGCUUAAGCCCUUGUGACAUUCCUGUUAUACUUGUGCCUAAGCCCGAUGGAAGUUUCUGCUUGUGUUCCGAUUGUACACCUAUAAAUGCUAUUACCGUUCGCUAUAGGCAUCCCAUUCCUCGCUUAGAUGGUAUGCUUGAUGAGCUUAGCGGAGCCAACUUUUUCUCAAAAAUUGAUCUUAAAAGUGGCUAUUAUCAAAUCUGCAUACAAGAGGGUGAUGAAUGGAAAACCGUUUUCAAAACCAAAUUUGGCUUAUAUGAGUGCUUAGUGAUGCCUAUGGGUUUGUCAGAAGCACCAGGUACUUUCGUGCGUCUUAUGCAUCAUGUGCUUAGACCUUACAUUGGAGUCUUCGUUGUGGUUUACUUUGAUGAUAUUCUUGUGUUUAGCAAAACCAUGAGAGAGCACAUUAAUCAUGUUAAAUCUGUGUUGCAAACCCUUCGCAAGGAAAGCCUUUAUGCGAACUUGAAAAAAUGCACUUUUGGCAUUGACAAAGUGGUUUUCUUGGUUUUGUUGUCUCUUCCAAGGGUGUCCAUGUUGAUGAAACUAAGAUUAAGGCAAUUAAAACUUGGCCCCAACCCACCAAUUUGCAACAAGUGCGUAGUUUUCUUGGUCUUGCAGGAUUUUAUUGCCGCUUUGUGAAAAACUUUAGCACAAUUGCCACUCCUUUACAUGCUUUGAGUAAGAAGAAUGCUCCUUUUGUUUGGGGAUCUUUGCAAUCCACCGCUUUUGAUGAGCUCAAGUCUUUGCUUACUCAUGCUCCGAUUCUUGCUUUGCCCAACUUUGACAAAACUUUUGAGGUUCAUUGUGAUGCAAGUGGUACCGGAAUUGGCGGAGUUUUGAUGCAAGAAAAACGAGCCAUUGCAUAUUUUAGUGAAAAACUCUCCGGUGUUCAACUUAAUUAUCCCAUCUAUGACAAAGAAUUGUAUGCUUUAGUGCGUGUGCUACAUGUUUGGGAACAUUACCUUAGACCUCAUGAAUUUGUCAUCCAUACCGAUCAUGAAACGCUUAAGUACUUAAAAGGUCAAACUAAGUUGAACAAGCGUCAUGCCAAAUGGAGUGAAUUUUAUUGAAUCUUUUCCUUAUGUGAUCAAGUACAUUAAGGGUAAGGAAAAUGUAGUUGCGCAUGCACUUUCACGCAUAUGCACACUUGUCACUCAACUUGAGUUGAAUGUUAUUGGUUUUGAGCAUAUAAAAGACUUGUAUGAGCAUGAUCCUUCUUUUGCUACUCCUUAUGCUAAGUGUUUGACACACACGUCUUGGGAACGCUACUACAUAAAGAAUGAUUAUCUUAUGAGAGCUAACAAACUAUGCAUUCCCGAGUCUUCUCUUCGUUUGCUCCUUUUGCAAGAGGCUCAUGGAGGUGGACUCAUGGGACAUUUUGGACGCGACAAGACUUUCGCCACGCUCUCCAAGAACUACUUUUGGCCCAAGAUGUACCGUGACGUCUCACGCUUCACCAACCGUUGCUCUACAUGUCGCAAAGCUAAGUCUAAAGCUCAAUCCCAUGGUCUUUACAUGCCACUUCCUAUUCCUUAUCAACCUUGGGAAGACAUUAGUAUGGAUUUUGUACUUGGUUUGCCUAGAACUCAAAAUGGCAAGGAUUCCGUCUUUGUUGUUGUGGACCAAUUUUCUAAGAUGGCACAUUUCAUUCCUUACAACAAGAUAGACGAUGCUUCACACGUUGCAAAUCUCUUUUGUAGGGAAAUCUUGCGUCUCCAUGGAGUCCCAAAGACAAUCGUCUCCGACCGCGACGUCAAGUUCUUGAGUUACUUUUGGAAGACCCUAUGCGCCAAGCUCGGAAUCAAGCUAUUGUUCUCUUCGGCAUACCAUCCUCAAACCGACGGCCAAACGGAGGUGACGAACCGUACACUCUCCACUCUACUUCGCGUGUUGAUCAAGAAGAACAUCAAGGAGUGGGAGGCAUGUCUACCCAUCGCCGAGUACGCCUACAACCGUGCAAGGCAUUCGAUGACCGGCAAGUCCCCCUUCGAGGUUGUCUACGGCUUCAACCCAUUGUCCCCAUUGGACAUUCUACCUCUUCCUCUACAAGAGCGCACCAACCUCGACACAAGUGCCCGUGCAAACUACAUCAAGAAGAUGCAUGAAGAUAUAGGGCACACCAUCGAGUGCCAAGUACAAUGCCUCGCGACCAAGCUCAACGUCAACAAGCAUCCCAUGAUAUUCAACAUUGGAGACUUCCUGUGGCUACACCUUCGCAAGGACCGCUUCCCCAACGAACACAAGUCCAAGCUUCUCCCUCGAGCCGGCGGACCCUUCAAGGUGCUAGCACGCUACAACAACAAUGCUUACAAAAUCGAUCUCCCACGUGACAAGUACAAUGUGAGCGACAUCUUCAACGUCUCCGAUCUCUCCCCGUACCAUGGUGAUGAGGAUUUAGAUCCGAGGUCGGAUCUUUCACAAGGGGGGGGGGAGAUGAUGCGGAGCAUCCUUCGGUCAUCCCCAUGGACCUUCCGUCGCCUCACCAAGCACCAAGAGGACCCAUGACUAGAGCACGAGCUCGAGCUCUCGAGACCGAGGUGACUUCUCUCCUUAGUGAAAUAUCAUAUGACCCUCUCGAGACAUGGCUACUACCUCAAUCCGGAAUUUUGUGCAUGAUUAGGUACCAGGAGGACCCUCCCGAGGAUGCACAUGAAGAUGGACAAGAACCCAAGUCCAAGGAAGAAGUGAACCAACGGAAGAAGGCAAAAGAAGCUUCCAGGCACCGGACAUCCGGCCAAGGUCCCGGACAUCCGGUCCCUAGAGAUCCACACGACCAGCUCCUGCAAAAGAAGGCUACAGCGACCAGACAUCCGGCCACCCACCGGAAAUCCGGCCUCCCACCCGGAUAUCCGGCCCAGGCUUCUCGAAUACACUGAAGAUGGCCCCAACAACCCGGACAUCCGGCCUACUGUCAGGACCCCGACUCGAUGUCACAUCGAUCUAGCCGGUAACACUUCAUAUCACUUUGCGGCCUCACGCACGGUAUUCCCACGGGUGUCGCCUUACCUUUGCCCGGGACCGUUUGCGCCUUUUGGCUCACGUAUAUGAUAGUGUCGCUAGCAUCCAUAUGAUAAAGAGCCCGGGCUGACAUGACUAGUCGUAAACCCAAAGUGGCACAGACUUACAGGGACAGGCAUCCAUGACCCAGCUUCGAACGUGUCGGUCAUCAGCAAGUGGGUCCGGGCUGUAGCACUGGGCUAGCAGGACUCCGAUAAACCGGGCUGUAGCGGGCUAACAGGACUCCGGUACUCAAAGCGUGACAUUUCCCCGAAGGGACAGACACAGGAACGAAGAAGGACACAUGCCGGCCAGCCUAAGUGUUCCAGAGCAGUAGCAAGCUACCAUGGCUCAGCGGUAACACUAGGAGACAUUUCCCGGUAAGAGAGGCUACUAAAGAUAAACAACUAGAUAGUCAGAACCCACACAUACCAAGCAUUUCAAUCAUACACACAAUAUGCUCGAUAUGUGCAAAUACAACGAAGCAUCACAACAUGACUCUAUGACACAAGUACUUUAUUUAAGGCUCAGGGAGCCAUACAUAUCAUACACACAGGUACGGGUCUCACGACCCAACAUACAAGUCAUACAGUCAUACAAGCCAACAGCGGAAGUACUUUGUCUGGGUACAGACAACUAGUAAAAUAAAAGAGGCUUGGAAGCCUAACUAUACUACGUGGUCCAUCACAAGCUCAGGGUCACCACCUGGGUCUUUAGCCUACUCGUUGAUGUCAACGUCUACAUAGAACCCAUCGGAAGGGGUUGCAGCGUCUUCUGUAAAAAUGUAGAUUAUAGCAACAUGAGUACAAAGGUACUCAGCAAGACUUACAUCAGAUCCUACAUACAUGCAUAGUAUCAAGAAGGGUUGGUGGAGUUAUUGCAGCAAGCCAGCUUUGACUCUUGGCUAGGCUAUCCUACGAUACUCCAACUGAAAUUGUUUUGCGCACACGAGUCCACUACUCACCACUUCAAUACACUACCGAGGAUCCACCUCCGUCUUCCUACGGAAGAGCCAUCCUCGGCACUCACACUUAUCUUGAGGCUUUUAGUAGUAUCCAUUUACUUGUCUAUGAACUGUAUAGGCAACCAAGUAGUCCUUUACCGCGGACGCGGCUAUUCGAAUAGAUUAUGAUAACCCUGCAGGGGUGUACUUCUUCAUACAUGUUUCCACCACUUAGCGUCUGCACACGACAUGUGCUCGGCAGACUUCAAGCGAAAGCCGACGUGGGUGUAGACCACGACCUACCUAAACACUUAAGCCUCUAGUCCAGGUUUAUCGCCUAUUCAGGUUCCACCCGCAGGGAGUCCGGCCGAGGUUUCCCAUACGGCCCCGAACGAUGUGAACAGGGUUCCCGAGAUACCUAACGGGUAUUCGGUACACCCGGCCACGUACCUACUGCAUCACAGCCCACCCCUACGGUCAGCGCUGUCCACGGCCUCCAGUAGGCUACAAACACCAGAAACUACUUGCAACUCCUGGACAGAGUGCUAGGGUGAAUAAGAAGUCGAGCGGGGUCAUAUUUCAGGGCCCAAUGUAUGGUAGUAGCUGAUUCUUAAAUCACACAUACAGAUCUCAGUGCUUAAGGUCGGCUUCAAUGAAACAACCCACCAUGUACUCCUACAUGGCCUCUCAUCGAUACCUUUACCAAAUCGUGUUCACCACACCACUCUCAUUACCGACAUAAUCAUUUCACUCUAGCCCAUCACCCAGAUGAACCAGACCUUACACGACUCUAAGCAUAGCAGGCAUAGCAAGGUAGGAACAACACAUACAUAUGGCUCAAUCAACUCCUACACAUGCUAGUGGGUUUCAUCUAGUUACUGUGGCAAUGACAGGUCAUGCAGAGGAAAUGGGUUCAACUACCGUAGCACACAGCAGUUUGAAUCGCGUUGUCUUAAUGCAGUAAAAGAGAGCAGGAGCGAGAACAUGGGAUUGUAUCGAUAUGAUCAAAUGGUUGGUUGCUUGCCUGAUGGUUCGUUGCACGGAUACGGUUCUUCGUUAGGGUAAUCACGGUACUCCUCGGGAACAGAUCCUGUCGCAAAGGACACCGAUACACAAACAUCACCAAACAAUAUGCAACAAUAUGAUGCAUGCAUGGAACAUGGCAAUAUGAGUGUGUUGGGCUAAUGCAACUAAAACCAGAUGGGUUUGAACAAAUUUGAACCAAAGAUUCAAAUUCCAAAUUCAAAUAUGGCCUUUUAAAGUGCUUUUCCUUGUUCUGAUUAAAACAUCAAUUUAACUUGUUUGAUCAUGCAUGAAAAUAGUACAGAUGGAUAGAUUGGAUUUUUCUGAUCAUUUUUCAUAUAUAAUUUGUCCAAUUUGGAGUUACAGAAUAAAAGUUAUGAAUUUUUGAAGUUUAAAUAAUAUUCUGGAAUUUCCUGAUUUAAUUUAAAUCCAGAAAUUCAAUUACUGCGUCAGCCUGACGUCAGUGUGACGUCAGUGGUCAACUGUGGCUGGUUGAAGUCAAACCUGACGUGUGGGGGCCACACGUCAGUGACAGGGGGGGUUAAACAGAUUUAAAUUAAUCCUAAUUACUAAUUAGUGGCGCUGGGGCCCACUGUCAGUGUCAGGGGGGGUUGACUAAUAGUAGUUAGCGCUAACCUAACCACCUGGCCGACAGGGCCCACGCGUCAGUGACCCUGGGGGGUCAAACCCCAGGUCGGUCAAGUCAAACCCCACCGGCGACAUGACGCCGGCGAGAUCCGAGACGGCGGCGAGAGUGCUUUUUGCCAUUCCGGCGACCAAAUGGACGGCGGAAGGCAUCUACGUGUUGCUGAGGUUGAGCCGCGUCUAUUGGUGGUGGUGGUUGGGCUCGGGGUGGCCGGAGUUGACGGCGGCGAGCUCGGCUGCGGCGGCCGGAGUUCGGGUGCGGUCGGGAUCAGUGUUGCAGGGGGUUUGGGGAGGCGUUGGUGCGUUCUACGUGCUCCUGGUGAUGUGUGGAGCACGAUGGCGAGCUCGGUUGGGCGCUACGGCGACCGUGGCCACGACGGCGACAUCGCCGGCGGCGUGGAGCUCUCGGUCGAGGUGGAGCUAGGGCCUAGAGGUCGGGAGAGACCAGGGAAGAAGGGGGAAACGCUCCGGGGGCUCACCGCGGUUGCAGUGGGCGUCGAAGCGGGCUUGGGGACGCGCCGGAGACGACGAAUUUGACGGCGACGGUGGUCGGAGUCCGAAGGGGGGAACGGCGACGUGGCGGCGAUGCAGGGCUUCCGGGGACCCGUGGAGCGGUGGGGAGGAAGAGGGAGUUGUGGCGGAGCUUCUGAGCUAAUCGGGGGAGCGAGGGGUGGUCGGAGGCGGUGGCUAUGGCGAACGGCGGCGACGGUCGUGUUCGGCCGAGCGAGAGAGAGAGAGCGAGAGAGAGGAAGGAGAGAGCCAGGGAGAGUGAGAGAGAGCAGGGGGGAUCGGGACGGGCUGCGGGCGUCGUCCACGCGGCCAGGAGGGCGUCGGCAAGCAGGAGGUGGCCGCGCGGCCGCGCGCGCGCGAGCACGCAGCAGCUUCGGGGCGUGGGGAGGAAGACGACGGGGAGCUACAGUGCUGGGCUGGGUCGGUUGCUGGCUGGGCCGGCCGGCUGGCUGGGCCGCACAGGUAAGUCUUCCCCUUUCUUUUCUGUUUUCUGUUUUUAUUUAAUAUAUCUGCAACUUUGUUGAAUUAAAUAAAAUACCUAGGCAAUUUCCAAAAAUCACCAAACUACUCCUGGCUCAUAGUUGGAUUAUUUCCAACAUGAAACAUUUUAGUUUGGAGAUAUUUGAGCAUUUAAAUAUUUUAUAUUAUUUUAAAUGCCCAAAUUCAAAUAGUUAUGAUUUAAUUCAAAAACCCUAGGAUGGCCUAGGAAAAUGUGCACCACUUUUGCAGAGGUUCUGAACCAAGACAAAAAUGAUGGGCAUUUUAGAAGGGCAUUUCAGGUUCAUUGAAAAUUAUUUUAGUAAACCCUAGUUGGUUUCAGAGGGGGCUGGGGGUUCUGUCAUCCCCAUUUCAAGUUUCUGCUGAAAGAGUAAACAUGAUGCAACACUCUAAUGCAUGACUAGCUAGGGUGUGACACCUACUCACCGGACAUCGGGCCCCUCCGGAAGCAUCGGACAUCGGGCACCUCCAGCCCGGACAUCCGGCCCCUCGUGAACCACCGGACAUCCGGCCCGACGCCCGGACAUCCGGCGCCCCUGCCUGCGCGCAGCCUCUUUGGGCAGAGACCCGUGUACCCCUUCGCCCCUUGACUAUAUAUACUCCCUCCGCCCGUAUGUUUUAGGGUUAGCGUUGAUUUAGCUCAGAUUAGAGAUAGAGCUUCGCUCAUCCAUUGGAUCUCCUCUUCGUGAGAGAGCGCGGCCUCCUCGGAGAAGAUCCAAUCGGAUUCAAGACCCCCUCGUGGGAAGAUCCCCUCGUGGAUUCAAGACCUCCUCACGGAGAAGAUUGGUUACCUUUGUAUCCUUACCUUUGUUGAUUGUGGAUCAUAUGUAUCUCUUUGUGUUCGGUGAUCUAGCACUCGUGUGAUUGAUUCUAUGUCGGUUUCGUGAUUCUCUCUCGUUUUCCCGGUGUUUCCCCCUUUGUGCUUCCGUGUGUUCUUCGUGAUUCCCCGUAGGAUCCACUCCAAACGUGAAAGAUCGUCCACAUAGGGUUCCGCCCUACAUCACUUCUACACCACAUUUCCUACCACUUCGGCAUUGUUAAGAAUGCACAAGGACACGCUUGCAAGGUGACAUCAUUCUUGAGCUUGGAUAUUGUGGAUCAUACUUCAUGUGUUGCUUGCACCAUUUGCACGCAUGUUCGAGAUAUUGCUUUCACCCAUGAUUGCCACAUUUCCAUGCUUCAUGAUAUAUAUACCUUGUGUGUUGCAUCCAAUUCUUGGACUACUUGCUACUAUCAUAUGCGGUUGCACCAAGAUCAUUUCUUCACAUAUGCCAUGUUCCUUUGCUUGUCACAUGAUUCACUUGAUUGCCUCACACAUGAUGAAAAAUUGCUCUUUCUAUUGUGUUGAGUGCCACACUAUAUUCACUACACCCUAUGCAAAUUAUGCUUGGAUUGUCUUGCACUUGACCCAUGUGUUUAGACACUUCAUUUUAUUUGGUGUUGUGAAUGAUUCUUAUGCCUACCAUAGACCUUUGAUUGAGCAAUUUGUGAAUGCUUGCUAUGACCUCGAGGUAGAUGCUUAUUAUCUUGUCACACAUACUUGCAUCUCUACCUCACAUUUGCAUCCUUGUCCCCUUGAUAUCUUUGCUUGUGCUCAAUUGAUAUGCUUACAUGCCAUGUCACAAUCCUUUGUCACACCCGAUGCUAUACUUGAUGACGACACUUGUUUGGUGAAUCACCUCUUGAAUGCUUGGUUUUGCACUAACGCUAACCACAUUUGUUUUUCCAAGUGUUUGUUGUUCUUUCUUCUUUUGAAGGAAUCACUAGACGGUGCGGCAUUGGAGAGUUCCCAUUUCGAGUUUCAAGAUGAUGAGUGCUUGGUGGCCGACCACUUCGAAACGGCACCGCCAUCUCUUUCCCAUGGUGAUUUGGUUUUCGAUCCGAGGUCAGAUCUUUUCCAAGGGGGAGGGGAUGAUGCGGAGCAUCCUACGGUCAUCACCAGGUCAAGAGUCCGUUUGGCAAGUGACACGUGCGACCUCUACUUCUCAUACAUAAAGGUGAAUCUUCUCCUUUACACGUGUUCACUUGACCCCUUCGAGGAUGGUAUACUACUUGACACUUCUCCCGUGUGCAUGCAUAGGUAUUGUUGGAGCUUCACGGAUGUCGAGGAGGAGUGCAAGCGCCAAGGAACCACUACACCAUCCGCGAGGGAAGCCUGGAAGCGACGACGGAAGAAGAUGGAGCUGCUGAAGCUACAUCGGUCGGACAUCCGGGCCAGAGGCCGGACAUCCGGCGCCUGGACAGCCGCGCCGGAGCGGCCCCAACAGACGGCCAAAAGCAUCAGCGGCCGGACGUCCGUUGCCAGCCCGGACAUCCGGCGCCUCAGCAACGCCCGGACAUCCGGCGCCUCAGCAACGCCCGGACAUCCGGCGACCAACCCCGGAACUCCGGCGCCCCCUGUCCAGAGAACACCGAGGCCGACCUCGCCAGCCCGGACAUCCGGCCCGUGCCCCGGACAUCCGGGCUCCCGCGAACGGCCGGACAUCCGGGCCCAAGCCCGGACAUCCGGUGCCUGCCUGCAUGCAGAGUCGGGCCAAAGGCCGAUGUAUCCCUUCCCCACUUAUCCCUUCGUGGCUAAGACUAUAUAUACUCCUCCCCUCCUCCUAGUUAGGGUUAGCAAAAUAUGAUAGCUCAUUCUUAGGUGAGCUUUGCUCCUACCUCUACUCUUGAGAGAGAGAGAGACACUACCACUCCCAUGGAGUUCAAGACCUCCAUGUGAGAAGAUCCCGCGGGAUUCAAGCCCCCUUCGUGGGAAGAUCCUUCUAGGAUUCAAGCCGUCAUCUCCUUCAUAGGAUUUGGGAUGAACUCUACCUUGUAUCUUUCUCUUUGUUGUUCAUGUACCUUGUGGAUCUUGUAUGUUUGAUUGUCUAGUGGAUGUGUGAUUGGACUUGUUCUUGAGUAUUUCCCCUUGUGAUUUCUCCCUGUUCUUCCCCGUAUUCAUCGUGUUCUUUGAGGGAUCCCACUCCAAUCGUGAAAGAUCAGCCUAUACCGGGUUAGCCCCGUAUCAACUAAGCAUACAUGCAAUAAUUGGAGGCGAGCGACAAUGAACAAGAUGUAUCAUGUGAGAGGCAUGAACAAAUAUGAUGAGGACAUGACUACCUUGGAUACGACCAAAAAUAUUGCAUACAUGCAUAUUUGUCAGGUGAUUUCUAGUGCAAACUAUUCAAUAAUCUAUUUAUAUUAUCCAGAACUAAAAUACUUCACACACUUUUGUGUUUUGUCUAAUUGCAGGUGUAUGGGACAUUUGUACAAUUCACAUAUGAAGAUAAGGGAGAAAGAGAUGUUUAAGCCCUGUUCAAAAAGUUCUCUCACGUCACUUUUGGGCCAAGAGAAGAUAGAGGUCAAGUCUCUCAUGUUCUGGAUUCAGAUUCGGACUGCACAGACAUACCUGACUUAAAACGCCAACAACUUUUUCAUACGGACUCCGAAUUGGGUGAUUCUAUUUUUGUUGGAAUCUAGAUUUUGUGCUCUUUCCAUCCCAAUUGGAUUCACGUUCAAAUUCGUCCGGAGCGUUGAGAUAUCAGUGAAACAAUCAGACGCUGCAGCAGAAUCUGAGUCAAACAACAAGUCCAAAGGUGUUGCAUCACCUUCACUUGGGCCCAUGAGCCUUGUACGACCUAGGGUUCGUUUUAGGAUGCCUUGGGACGUUCUCUCACCUCCUUGGCUGCCACCCCUUCGUCCUAUAUAAGUAGAUCCAUCUAGUAGCUUUUUCCUUGGGAUUUGUUUAGUUAAAAGUUAGCCAUUGCAACUUCGUGUACUUCAUUUGUGUCCAACGACCAGACCAAGUGAUGAGGACAUGACUACCUUGGAUAUGACCAAAAAUAUUGCAUAUAUGCAUAUUUGUCAGGUGAUUUCAAGUGCAAACUAUUCAACAAUCCAUUUAUGUUAUCCAGAACAAAAAUACUUCACACACUUUUGUGUUUUGUCUAAUUGCAGGUGUAUGGGACAUUUGUACAAUCCACAUAUGAAGAUAAGGAAGAAAGAGAUAUUUAUUUGCUGUCCAAAAAGUUCUCUCACGUCACUUUUGGCCCAAGAGAAGAUAGAGUCCAAGUCUCUCACGUUCUGGAUUCAGAUUCGGACUGCACAGACAUACCUGACUCAAAACGCACACAAGUUUUUCAUACGGACUCCGAAUUGGGUGAUUCUUUUUUUGUUGGAAACUAGAUUUCGUGCACUUUCCAACCCAAUUGGAAUCACCUUCAAAUUCGUCCGGAGCGUUGAGUUGUGGACGAAACAAUCUGAUGCUGCAGCAGAAUCCGAGUCAAACUACAAGUCCAAAGGUGUUACAUCACCUCCACUUGGGCCCAUUGGCCUUGUACGACCUAGAUUCAGUUUUAGGCUGCCUUGGGACGUCCUCCCACCUCCUUGGCCGCCACCCCUUGCUCCUAUAUAAGUAGAUCCAUCUAGUAGCUUUUCCUUGGGAUUUGUUUAGUUAAAAGUUAGCCAUUGCAACUUCGUGUACUUCGUUUGUGUCCAACGACCAGACCAAGACCGCUUCCGGAUCCCCACCAUUAUCAAUACUUCAUAUAUAUUUGCAAUAUUCAGAUUGCUUUAUCAUAUUCUUGCUCGUUCUUCGAUUGCUUGCAGGAAUAGACCUUCGUGGUCAGGCUAACCGUGCUUCCAGCAUCGUCAGUAAUCUCAGGAGAUUGGUUUAGCGAUUGCUAAGGCGCAACAUCGUGCACGUUUGUAGUCGGAUCAUCAAAGUCGUCUCCACCAAAUCGAUAGUUAUCAUCUCAUCGAAAGAUCGGGACCCUCGCCUCUAUCAAGUGGUAUCAGUUUUCAGGUUGCUCGGUGAGAAUUUCCAGUUUUCCUAGAUUAGAUUUAUUUUCUUACCUAUUGUCCGAGAAAAAGCCACAAAAAGAGUUAGAUCUAUUCAUCCUUGGUCCAAGCCAGUCUGAGCCUUUGCAAUUUUCUUUUCAUUGCUUGCAUAGUUGAAUUAUCGGUUGCAUCGUCGUGUCGAGUUGCCGGUCUUAGUGUCUAGUUCCUUUAGAGUUUUGAGUUCUGUUCGCAUUAGUCACGCAGCCGCUGCAUCAUUAUCCCAUCCGUUGUCCACCAUCCCAUCCACCAAUUUCCACCAUGUGUUAUGCACUGUUUAUUGUCAUAAUCAUAGUUGAGGUCACUCACAUCUUCGCCUGAUCGAAUCUGUAUCUUAUCUAGUUUGUCUUGGAAAGAGGGAG